AACAUUUUACAUCUCAUCUAAAUACUGAAAUACUUAAAAAAUUCCUAAAACGAUCAAAAACCUAAUUGAAAAAAUAUUGUUGAUUUGGGUUGUAAAUGAUUGGCAAUUCAUAAACAUCAUGAUUAGGAGGCAUUGCUUCCAACCAAUGAUUCAAAUCUUCCAAACUCAAAUUGUCAAGCCAAUCAUUCCCAUCAUCUUCUCUUUGGACCAAAUUUUCCAUUACUUUCAUGCUGCUUUGCUCACUUGUACCUUUGACUUUGGUCAAAGAUUCAGGUGGCAUGUCGCUUAAGAACAUGACAUCACCUUCAAAGUUACCACCAAAUUCACCUUCUGAAUUUUCAAAUGAAUUCGUACUAUCGCUGUUGUUACUCUGUGAUUCAUCUAAUGGUGAUGCAGGAUGAAGAUCACGGCUAUGGUGGAUGUUAUUGUCCUCUGGAGUGAUCUUCUCUUUCGGAUUGUUCUUCUUGUUAUAAAGACGACACAAAACCCAAUCUUCCAACUACAGUUAUUAGAACAUACCAAUGUCAACCCCAAUGUUUUUUAUAAAAUAGUUUAACUAGAAGCCACCAAUCGAUCAAAUAUAUAAAAUGAAAUGUCAACGCACCUUGGAAAUGGUUGAAUCGGUGUGUUUAUUAGAAGGGGUAGAAUUUGGUCUAUAUUCAUGCAUGAUCCAAUUCGUCUUGAUCCCUUUAGGCCCUUUUCCAGCGUAAAAGACCAAAGCUUUCUUGAUCCCAACGAUUGUAUUCGGGUCGGAUUUUCUCUUUAUGGGUUUAUCGGCUCCAGUAGCUUUCCAGUACCCGUUUCCUGUGACCCGGUUUGGUCUUGAUCCGUUAGGGUAUUUCCUGUCUCUUGGUGUGAAGAAGUACCACUCCUUUGUUCCAAACAGAGCCAAUUCUGAAGAGAUUUAGGGACAAAUAACAAAUUCAUCAGUAAUCAGAAUUGAAUAACCUGUAAAUUGCGAACUAAGAUGUCAUGGAGUUGAAAAGAAAAGUUACCAGGAAGCUCCCAUGGAUCGUGUUUGUAGAGAUCAACAUCGGCGAUGAUUGACGGCGGUGGAACGACACCAACUAGCUCCGCUGUAGAUCGGGAUUUGCGGCAGAGAUAGUGAACGAUGAGCUCCUCGUCCGUUGGGUGAAAUCGGAAACCGGGAGGCAAAUUCAGCUCAGCUUCAGCAUCUCUUACCCUUUUUGUUACGGAUUUCGACGGCGAUCUCAUCUUCUAAUGCGAUUGAACCAAAGUUGACUUGAAUCGAAUCUCUAUCUGGUAAUCUUCUAUCCGGUUGAAGCUGAAACGUGUGAGAAUUGAAGUCGGAAUCUGGAAGUUGAAGAUGAGGAGAAUUGAGGAACCCAUGGGAGUCUUUUAUACGUGCUUUUGUAUGGAUUUGGAGACGAGGGAAUUAUUUGGAGAGUUAAAAGGGAAAGACCGAAGGACAGAAGUGUCUCAUGUGGACUAGACAUUAGGGCCCCACCUCAUGUGUGGGCUCCACAGAUUCAAUGAUCGUGCAAAUUAUAAAAAAUUACAAAAAAAUGAAACAUAAAAAAAUAGCUUAAAUACAACCUGUGUGCAUAUAUGGUACGUAUAUUAAUAUCAUUAGAAAAGUUUUUAUUGUGUUUCUAUUAAAAAAUAAUUGUGUAGGGUAAUAUAGGGGGAGCCUGGCCAGGCUACUGCUUCGAUUCUUUUCUUUUUUUAAUACUAUGUCUUAAAAUACGAGUGUAAUUAAACUAGAUAGUAAUUAUUAAUUUAGAUUUGUUUGGAAAUUUUUUUUGGAUGUUNNNNNNNNNNNNNNNNNNNNNNNNNNNNNNNNNNNNNNNNNNNNNNNNNNNNNNNNNNNNNNNNNNNNNNNNUAUAUAUAUAGGUUAUUUUGUUUCUAGUAACUAUUGUGUGCCGGAAUGCACAGAUUUGAACCAUUGGAUGUAAUAUAAUCAAAAAUCAUGAUUUGAGGGUCUAUGAUAGUAGAAUAUGAUAACAUGUACCAUAUAAUCACACAAAUUUGAGCAUAAGAGCAUUUUAGUCAACUAACCUAUAUUAAAAAAAGGAAAUUUUCGGAUUUUUAGGGAUUCAUUUAUUUUUAAAAAUCUGAAUAUUUUAAAUUAAUUUAAAAGUAAAAAUCCGAUUUUAUUCUGUCAGAAUGAUAUAAAUUUAACCAUAAACUAGUAAAUAUAUUUUUCGAUUUUAUUCUGUCAGAAUGACAGAAUGCCAACCAUAAACUAGUAAAUACAUUCUGAAAGAAUACACAAAAUCGAUUCUUGAACUAACAAUAUACCAAAUAAUUACAUUGUAUGAUUGUGAUUCAUUGAAUAAUAACAAAAACGUUCUGAACGAAGAACAAAUAUAACUCUUAAAAAAUAACAACAUUCUUAAACAAUGAGUGUGAUCAUUCUUUAAUUUAUUCUUCAAGCCUUUCCCAUAAGGUAUUCAAGCCAUUCUUCAAGCCAUUUCUAUCAGAAUUUAUUGCCAAGUAAUUUUGUAGUGAUACACUUGUAACAACUACACAUUAAACAUACAAAUAAUUAACUACAAUUCUAUCAGAAUAUAACAACAGUAUUCUUACAGAAUAAACUAUUCUUGCAGAAUGGUUUUGAAUAUUCUUAAAGAAUUUGUAUUAUCUAGAAUAUACCCAACGAACAAAAUAUUUGAAAUAUAAAUGCAUGAAAAGAUCAUGUUAACACAAAAGGUGACUAAGAAAAAAAAACAAGUAGAAUAUAUAAACCAUCUUCGGCUCACAAGUUUUUUAUUGUGAAAAAUGAUGAUCUAUGAAAGCACCAGGAUGAAGACUCCCUGUAUGUAUUCCAAAUACAUUAUACUCCUAUUUAGUUUCUCUUUACGUAUAAAAAAUCCUGUUACAAGAAAAAAAAGAAACCAAAUAUCCAAACCACAUGGAACACAGUAAGGGGACAAUAAGUAGGAAGAAGACCCUCCAAGGGUAAAAAGGUCCAAAUAGAUGGUAUCUAUCCCACCAGGUAUAAAAACCACAUUUGUUUGCACCUACAACUUGUGUAAAUUAUUACAACAAAAAAGUAGUUCAUGUGUUUGCAUUCUAAUAUGAAAAAAAAUCAUCAACUUAACCUUUUUCAUGCAAAUUCUGACAGAAUAUCAACUUAACCCUUUUCAUCAAAGACUAAUGACAUGUACCACUACAGUUAGAAUAAUUCUUAAACAAUGCAAUUGACACAUUCUUUUUUGAACAAUAUAACCAAAUUAUUAAAGAAUGGUGAACAAUAUGUUAUGUACUCUUAUAGAUAUAAUAUGUUUCUUUAUUUAAAAAAUAAAAAAAAGAGUUCAUUGAGGCAUUUCAUCGAACGGUGUAUGAGCAUACAUAAUAUGCAAAUUUAGUAAGAACAAAAAUUAUCAUUGCUUUUUCUAACUUUGGAAAUUCAGGGGGACUUUGCCCUGCUUUGAAUUCAAAGUUUUCCACUAGUAAAUGGAUUCAACUUACAUUAUAAGAAAAAUGGUUGCUUUCAAAGGAUUUUUCAAGACCAAAUUAAGUCAUCGACAAUUGCAACAAAAAAAAAUUCAGUUACGCAUCAUAACAAGAGAACAAAGACCAGAUAGGGAGAAAAGAGACAUUACAUUGGAUAUAGAACCCCUCUCUUCUACUCUUCCAUCAGGAUUAUGGGGAAUCGGUAGUGGUCAAAAUGAGAAGACCAGACUUGAAAAUCGGUAAAUUGGGGUUUUCUUCACUGACUAAGCCGACGGUGGGUUGUAAGGAGGACUCGACCUCGCCAGGCUGAAGAACUGGGCGACCGCUACUGGUGGUUUCCGCCGACAGCAAACAGUUUCCGACCAACUUCAAUUAAAUAGUCGGUCUCAAGGGGAAUCAGUGGUGGUGUUUUUGGGUCAGUAAAAGAAGAAGAAGAAGAAGCGGUGGAUCAAAAACAAUGGUGUAAUAUCCAAAAAUACGACCCAAAAUUUUUUGUUUUAAUAAUAAUAAAAACCAUAUACUGAUCGUCACAUCAUAAAACCAUGUGUCAAAUAUCUCAACCCAUAAUAAAAUGUCAUGAACAUUCGUGCCAAAUCAAACUGUGAAUCAAAACAAACUCCCAGGAAAAAGACUGAAGCUGUGGUGUGUGCGAUGCCAUCAUCCCGAGCUCUUCCCUUUACUUGCAGAAGUACCUGAAACAAAAACUGAAAACGGUAAGCACAAAUCUUAGUGAGCUCCCCCAAACUACCACAUACCAUACAUAACAUAUAAAUCAUCUACUGGGCCUUGCCCACUGCAUCGAACCGAAGUCCGGAAACUAACCAGGGCCUUGCCCUCUGCAUCGGACCGAAGUCCGGAACUAACUGCAUCGGACCGAAGUCCGGAACUGAUUGGGACCUUGUCCCCUGCAUCAGACUGAAGUCCGGAACUGACUAAACAUAACAAAGCAUAAACAUAUCAGCUAACAUGGAUGCAUAUACUACAUACUGCAUCGGAACAGAGUUCGGAACACAUAACACCAAACAUGCUUGAAUCACAAAGACAUCAAGCACCCUAACUACUGCAUUAGAUCGAGGUCCGAAACUACUGCUAACUAAACAGGCCGGGAUUAUGGCUGUAGACCCGUUCCUACUGGAAGGAAACUCACCUCGUAGUCUAGCUGCUGAAAGGACUGCUCCGGAAUCUGUUUGCUGCGGCUCCGGUUUCACCCCAGCUACAAUUUCCAUAAGCACCAUCAAUCAAAUACUGAUAAUAAUACUGAGGGUAAAAUGACUCUCUUACCCCUGGUCCAAGUCAACCUAACGGUCAAAGUCAACAUUCAGUUGACUUGACUCGUCGAGUUGGGUCACCAACUCGUCGAUUCCUUACUCUUACUUUCUUGAUUCUACUCGCUACUACUCGUCGAGUUUUGGCACAAACUCGGCGAGUUCCUCUUUGUUACUAACACUCUGACAAUCUGCAUCCGACUUGCCGAGUUGUAUGAACAACUCGUCGAGUUCUCCUUCAUCAGAUGAACACUCUAGCUGUGACUCACCGAGUUUUAUGAACAACUCGUCGAGUCUGUUCUUGAGGCAUGAAGAUUGCCUUGGACUCGCCGAGUCAGGGCAUUGACUCGCCGAGUUCUUCCACGAAUGAGUCUAACCCUCUAGCCCACCGAGUCCAUCUCUCACUCACUGGUUCCACUCAACAUAACUCGAAGAAGGGAAAAACAGGGGACUCGCGACUCGACUCGCCGAGUCUGAAGAACGACUUGCCGAGUCGUAUACAUGCAAACACUAUAUACUCGAUUCUGCUUGAAACCAAUCCUAUCCAUUCAUAGAUCUGGGUUCCCGGGACUUGAUUAGCACGUAAAGUUUCCAACUUUACGUGUAAAUAACAUCAAAUGAAGGUUUUAGGGUUCAAAGCACACUAUAAGAGUAGAUCUAGAGCUUUCAUGCAAAAAAGGCUCCAUAAAGGUGCUAGAUCUAAGCUUCUGGAAUUCAAACCUAGCUAGAUCCGAAGGCUAAUCAACUCCAUGAGUCCUCUAUGCUACUACUAAGCCAAGAAAUGGUUCAAGAAUGGCUUUAAUGGCUUCAAAAAGGGGAUUUAAGCAUAGAAACAGAAAAGGGUCAAGAUAUACCUUACUAUCUUAUGAAAUUCCUCAAGGAUCUAGGAUCUCCUCCUUCUCCUCUUGAUCUACCUUCCUUUUUCUCUCAAGAUCUUCAAAGAACACACCAAAAUCACACAAAAAUGCAAAGAGGGCUCUAGGGUUUCGAGAAUGAUGCUCUGAGGGGUGAUGAGGGCUGACUUGAGGUCCCAAAAGUUGCUUAAAUAGGGUGCAAACCCUUGAAAUUAGGGUUUCAUCCAGACUGGCGGACUCGUCGAGUUCGGAAUAUGGACUCGUCGAUUCGCCAACUUAAACGUGCUCGAAAUCCCGACUCUACUCGACAAGUAUAGCUACUGACUCGUCGAGUUCUCCUUAAAACUUGAAGAAAAAUAAAUAUAUAAAUAUCAUACCAAAAUUAGGGUGUUACAACCCUCCCCCACUUGUCUCAGACUUCGUCCUCGAAGUCUGCUGCCGCUGAAUCUGGGAACAGCUCUGGGUAAUUCCCCUGCAUCUCCUCCUCGGACUCCCACGUCCACUCUGAACCCUUCCGGUGCUGCCACUACACCUUCACCAACUGAAUCACCUUGUUCCUCAAGGUCUUCACUUUCUGAUCCAAUAUCGCAACUGGCCUCUCGACAUAAUUCAGGCUGCUAUCAACCUGAAUAUCCUCAAUGGGCACUAUUGUCGACUUGUCCACCAAACACUUCCUCAACUGAGAAACAUGGAAAGUGUUGUGGAUCUGGCUAAGCUCUGACGGAAGAUCCAACCGAUAAGCAACCCGACCCACCCGGGCCAAAACCCUAAAAGGACCAAUGAACCUGGGGCCCAACUUGCCCCUCUUCCGAAACCUGAUAACACCCUUCCAGGGUGAUACCUUCAGGAGGACCAUAUUGCCCACCUGGAACUCCAAAUCUGAACGCCUCCUAUCAGCGUAACUCUUCUGCCAACUCUGCGUAGUCUGCAGUCUGCCACGAACCUGCUGGAUCAACUUUGUCGUCUUGAGCAUCACCUCGGUGCUUCCAAUGACUCGCUGACCGACCUCGCCCCAACAAAUCGGGGUCCUGCACUUCCUCCCAUAGAGCAUUUCGAAAGGAGGUCAAUCGAUACUCGCGUGGUAACUGUUGUUAUACGAAAAUUCCGCUAACGGAAGAUACGUAUCCCAACUGCCACCGAAGUCUAUAACACAUGCCCGCAGCAUGUCCUCGAGAGUCUGAAUUGUUCUCUCGCUCUGUCCGUCCGUCUGAGGAUGGAAAGCGGUGCUAAAAUGGAGACGAGUACCCAUCUCGUCGUGAAACCGCUUCCAGAAUCUGGAAGUAAAACGGACAUCUCGGUCUAACACCACUGAAACAUGCACUCCAUGACGUGCCACCACCUCUCUCACAUAAAUAUCAGCUAACUUUUCUGAUGAUAUGCUCUCCUGGAUUGGUAUAAAAUGAGCACUCUUCGUCAACCGAUCCACUAUAACCCAUAUAGAAUCCACUCCACGCGCAGUCCUGGGAAGCUUCGUGAUGAAAUCCAUGGUAAUGUCUUCCCAUUUCCACAUCGGAAUGUCUAACGGCUGCAUCUUGCCGUGAGGUCUUUGGUGUUCGGCCUUAACCUUCCUGCAGGUCUGGCACCUCUCCACAUACCAGGCGACAUCCCGCUUCAUGCAGGGCCACCAAUAAUAGGGUCGAAGAUCUCUAUACAUCUUCGUCGCCCCUGGAUGAAUGGAAAAUCGAGACUUAUGAGCCUCAUCCAUCAACACUUGCUGUACUCCGCCCCAGUACAGCACCCAAACUCUCCCGUGAAGGGUAAACAAUCCUCUACUAUCAUAGUCAAAGGAAGCUACUCGGCCCACGAUCCUCUCACACUUUUGUCUCUCCUCCUUGAGGCCCUCUACCCGUGCCUCCUUGAUUUGCUCCAAUAAUGGAGUAAUCACCGUCAUCCUCAAAAAAAUGUCUCUGAUCGGGGCCGCUACUGCCUUGCGGCUCAAGGCGUCGGCCACUACGUUGGCCUUCUCUCGGUGAUAAAGGAUCUCACAUUCAUAAUCCUUCAACACAUCUAACCAUCGCCUCCGCCUCAUGUUCAGAUUCAGUUGAUCCAUGAGGUACCUCAAGCUCUUGUGAUCCGUGUAAAUGGUACAACGGACCCCAUAAAGGUAAUGCCUCCAAAUCUUGAGGGCAAACACAACUGCCCCCAGCUCCAAAUCAUGGGUAGGAUAAUUAGCCUCGUGAGGCUUCAACUGUCUCGAGGCAUAAGCUAUCACAUGGCCUCGCUGCAUCAGAACUGCUCCCAAACCUGUGAUCGAGGCAUCACAAUAGACUACAAAGUCCUCUACUCCCUCUGGCAAGGUAAGGAUCGGAGCCUCGCACAAUCUCUGCCUGAGGGUCUCGAAUGCUGUCUGCUGCUCCGGACCCCAACGAAAUACCACUGACUUCUUGGUCAGUCGGGUGAGCGGCACUGCUAUCUUGGAGAAAUCCUGAAUAAAUCUCCGAUAAUACCCUGCCAACCCUAGGAAGCUCCGAAUCUCAGAUGGAGACUUCGGGACCUCCCACUGCAUCACGGCCUCAAUCUUGGCCGGAUCUACCAAAAUACCCUUCUGGUUGACGAGGUGACCAAGGAACUGCACCUCGCGCAACCAGAACUCGCACUUGGAGAACUUCGCGAAAAGUCUCUCCCUCCUCAAAACCUCUAGCAACUCUCUCAGGUGCUCCUCAUGCUGCUCCUGAGUCUUGGAAUACACCAAGAUAUCGUCUAUGAAUAUUAUCACAGACCGAUCCAGCAUCGGCCUGUACACGCGGUUUAUAAGGUCCAUGAACGCGGCCGGAGCUUUGGUGAGCCCAAACGGCAUCACCACAAACUCAUAAUGACCAUACCUAGUCCUGAAGGCAGUCUUCUGCACAUCCUCGCCUCUGAACCGCAUCUGGUGAUAUCCGGAGCGUAAAUCGAUCUUGGAGAACCAAGAUGCUCCCCGAAGCUAGUCAAACAAGUCAUCUAUCCUCGGGAGUGGGUAACGGUUCUUCAACGUUACCUUAUUCAGCUCUCGGUAAUCUAUGCACAUGCGAUGCGAUCCAUCCUUCUUCACAAACAGGAUCGGGGAUCCCCAUGGCGAACUGCUCGACCUAAUAAAACCCUUGUCUAGCAGCUCUUGCAGCUGUGUAGACAACUCUUGCAUCUCUGGGGGAGCCAACCGAUACGAUGCCUUGGCUAUCGGAGCCGCACCAGGGAUUAGAUCAAUCCCGAACUCAACCUAUCUCUCAGGAGGUAUCCCCGGCAAAUCCUCCGGAAAUACAUCCGGGUAGUCUCGCACCGCCGAAACAUCAUCAACUGUCAUCUUGCCCUUCUCCCGUGCAUCUAAAACAUAGGCAAUAUAGCCGAGGAACCCCUGCUGAAAGUAGCGUCUUGCUCUCGCUGCUGAACACAGAACUGGUCCGCGCUGUGGCUUCUCGCCAUGAAUCACUAACUCUCCCCCACUAGGAGUGCGAACCCUCACCAACUGUAGCUCAUAAUCUAUCACCGCCCUAUUGGGGCUCAACUAAUCCAUGCCUACUAUGACCUUAUUCCCUCGCAAGGGAGUAGGAACCAAGUCCACCGAAAACUGCUCAUCGAAUAACUGUAGGGAACACCCUCUGUGCACCCUUGCAACCCCAACGGUCCUAUCAGCUGCUAUCUCAACCUCAAGUGGACAAUCUAGCUCCCCUGGAGCUCUGCUAAACCUCUUGCUAAGUGCAAGAGAGACGAAUGAUCGGGUAGCUCCCGAAUCAAACAAUACUGUAGCUGAAAUGCCGUUCACCGAGAACGACCCUAUACAAAACAUAUAACCAUAAGAAACAANAUACUGAGAUAAGGAAAAAAUCCAUCCCCGCCACCACAUCAGGAGUCGCUCGCGCCUCCUCUGCUGUCAGCUGGAAAGCACUACUCUUCGCCACCGGCGUCUCGACUCGGCCCUGACGGCCUUCUGAAAUCCUCAAAGUAGCAGGAGCAGGUGCUGACACCUUCCCCGCAGCUGCUAAACUCGGACACUGGGACUUUUUAUGUCCCCUCUGAUUGCACUGGAAGCAAAUCAGAUCUGAUGCCGCAACGGUGGUAGUAGUGGCUGUACAAUCUCUGCUCAUAUGCCCAGUCUGGCCGCACUUGUAGCAGCCGGCACUCCCUGCCUUGCACGCCCCAUCGUGCAAUCUCCCACACUUGCCACACCGAGCGUGGCUCUGCUGACUCCUAGCUCUGUGAUCUGAACCCUUGGGCUUUUUGCCCAAAUUCCCUGAACCUGGAGCCGCCUCCGGCUUCCUCUUUCUCUCCAUCUCAAGGUCAAUAUCUCUCUCUCUCUCUCUCUCUCUCUCUCUCUCUCUCGAGCCCUAGCAAUCAUGUCAUCCAGCGUCUUACAGCUGGACCGGCUCACGAACUGGCGAAUAUCACUCAGCAGCAUCUCAUGAUAACGGGCUUUCUUUAUUUCCUCAUCAGCUGCGUACUGAGGAACGAGAAGUGCCCUCUCUCUGAACUUGGCGGUAAUUUCCGCCACUGUCUCUGUAGUCUGAGUCAACUCCUGGAACUCACGUGCUAACUGCUACACCUCAAUAACCGGUGCGAACUCAGCUCUGAACCUGGUAGAAAAGUCUGUCCAGGUCAUGGCAUCCAAAGCCACGUCAUCCCCAAUGGCAUGACCAACCUCCUCCCACCAAUCUCGUGCCCUAUCCUUCAGAAGACAGGACACCAAUCUGACCUUGUCCCCCUCGGGACAUCUGCUUGUGCGGAAUGCGUUGGCCACAUCCGCCAACCAUCUGGUACUCGCAAUGGGGUCCCGUGCCCCAUGGUAAUCUGGAGCUCCACAUGCACGGAACUCCCUGAAGGUAAGCGUGCGGGACCCCAUCAUGACCGCUACCUCAGCACGGAAAGUGCUCAAUCUCUCGUCCAUCAACUCCAAGAUACCCUCCUUGAUCGAACCAAAGAUCACAGGAGUCUGCUCAAGUAUGGUGUGAGUAAUCUCUAAAGAGAGAAACUCCCUAGUCUGCUCAUCCAUCUGCCCGGCCUCCGGGUCUGAUCCUGAUCCCCCUUCGGCACCUGAACUGCCGACUGCUGGUCGAGGACGCAAUACCACCAUUCUGAAAACACAUCAAAAUAAACUUCAGGAUCAUAAAUAUAUCUUGAGGGAUCACUACUAUCACAAGUUUCCUGGUCUCAUCUCAGCUUUCUUGAUUUGAGUACGUAUCCUCUGUUUUCAGCAGUACGGGCCCAUACUACCUUCCACAUCUAUCCGUACUUUCCUCAAGAACUGCCUUGACUCUACCAAGUUACUUUACAACUACUGAUCUCUAAUACUACCUUCCUAGGCUUUCCUUAGGGAACUUCUGACUCCACCCAAACCAGUCCUCAGCUACUGAGGGCCUCCUUGUAAUGCCAAUUAGCCAUUACCUGAAUACCAUCACAUGUGGCGAGGCUUAAAUAAUCCUUUGAGUAAAUACCCGUCCCUACUACGGUCAGACUCAUACCAGAGCUGCGCAAUAGGGCCAAAUCUAGCACUCUGAGAUUAUUCAACCCUGUUCACAUGUGACGUGACGUAUUCACCUAAUGGCUAACUCCCAUCACUCAGAGCCCCACAAAGCACAAAGCAAGCAACAUUCAGACACAGAAAACUACUCAAGCAACUCUAUCCUCAUAACAAGGACCUAUACUAGCAUACAAUGCUAAGCUCAUGAUAUCAGACAUAACCUAAACAGGUUGUCCUACUGUUGCCCACUCAACUAGUAUGAAAUUCUCAUAAAGCUGAAGCACAUAUAGAAGGCACAUAAGGCAUUCUCCUAGACCUUAGUUCUAUUCUAGCAUGCUGUUCUACUGAGACUGAAACUGAUAACUCAUAACAUAAACUUGUCUGGGUAAUUUGGGAGUACUUACUUGAGCCCGGCUGAUCGCAUGCACCACACCCUUUUCUCUUUUAAAAGUUCUUUUCUUUUUAAUAAUUCUUUUCACUUUUCUAAAACUCUUUNGGUCUCAAGGGGAAUCAGUGGUGGUGUUUUUGGGUCAGUAAAAGAAGAAGAAGAAGAAGCGGUGGAUCAAAAACAAUGGUGUAAUAUCCAAAAAUACGACCCAAAAUUUUUUGUUUUAAUAAUAAUAAAAACCAUAUACUGAUCGUCACAUCAUAAAACCAUGUGUCAAAUAUCUCAACCCAUAAUAAAAUGUCAUGAACAUUCGUGCCAAAUCAAACUGUGAAUCAAAACAAACUCCCAGGAAAAAGACUGAAGCUGUGGUGUGUGCGAUGCCAUCAUCCCGAGCUCUUCCCUUUACUUGCAGAAGUACCUGAAACAAAAACUGAAAACGGUAAGCACAAAUCUUAGUGAGCUCCCCCAAACUACCACAUACCAUACAUAACAUAUAAAUCAUCUACUGGGCCUUGCCCACUGCAUCGAACCGAAGUCCGGAAACUAACCAGGGCCUUGCCCUCUGCAUCGGACCGAAGUCCGGAACUAACUGCAUCGGACCGAAGUCCGGAACUGAUUGGGACCUUGUCCCCUGCAUCAGACUGAAGUCCGGAACUGACUAAACAUAACAAAGCAUAAACAUAUCAGCUAACAUGGAUGCAUAUACUACAUACUGCAUCGGAACAGAGUUCGGAACACAUAACACCAAACAUGCUUGAAUCACAAAGACAUCAAGCACCCUAACUACUGCAUUAGAUCGAGGUCCGAAACUACUGCUAACUAAACAGGCCGGGAUUAUGGCUGUAGACCCAUUCCUACUGGAAGGAAACUCACCUCGUAGUCUAGCUGCUGAAAGGACUGCUCCGGAAUCUGUUUGCUGCGGCUCCGGUUUCACCCCAGCUACAAUUUCCAUAAGCACCAUCAAUCAAAUACUGAUAAUAAUACUGAGGGUAAAAUGACUCUCUUACCCCUGGUCCAAGUCAACCUAACGGUCAAAGUCAACAUUCAGUUGACUUGACUCGUCGAGUUGGGUCACCAACUCGUCGAUUCCUUACUCUUACUUUCUUGAUUCUACUCGCUACUACUCGUCGAGUUUUGGCACAAACUCGGCGAGUUCCUCUUUGUUACUAACACUCUGACAAUCUGCAUCCGACUCGCCGAGUUGUAUGAACAACUCGUCGAGUUCUCCUUCAUCAGAUGAACACUCUAGCUGUGACUCACCGAGUUUUAUGAACAACUCGUCGAGUCUGUUCUUGAGGCAUGAAGAUUGCCUUGGACUCGCCGAGUCAGGGCAUUGACUCGCCGAGUUCUUCCACGAAUGAGUCUAACCCUCUAGCCCACCGAGUCCAUCUCUCACUCACUGGUUCCACUCAACAUAACUCGAAGAAGGGAAAAACAGGGGACUCGCGACUCGACUCGCCGAGUCUGAAGAACGACUUGCCGAGUCGUAUACAUGCAAACACUAUAUACUCGAUUCUGCUUGAAACCAGUCCAUUCCAUUCAUAGAUCUGGGUUCCUGGGACUUGAUUAACACGUAAAGUUUCCAACUUUACGUGUAAAUAACAUCAAAUGAAGGUUUUAGGGUUCAAAGCACACUAUAAGAGUAGAUCUAGAGCUUUCAUGCAAAAAAGGCUCCAUAAAGGUGCUAGAUCUAAGCUUCUGGAAUUCAAACCUAGCUAGAUCCGAAGGCUAAUCAACUCCAUGAGUCCUCUAUGCUACUACUAAGCCAAGAAAUGGUUCAAGAAUGGCUUUAAUGGCUUCAAAAAGGGGAUUUAAGCAUAGAAACAGAAAAGGGUCAAGAUAUACCUUACUAUCUUAUGAAAUUCCUCAAGGAUCUAGGAUCUCCUUCUUCUCCUCUUGAUCUACCUUCCUUUUUCUCUCAAGAUCUUCAAAGAACACACCAAAAUCACACAAAAAUGCAAAGAGGGCUCUAGGGUUUCGAGAAUGAUGCUCUGAGGGGUGAUGGGGGCUGACUUGAGGCCCCAAAAGUUGUUUAAAUAGGGUGCAAACCCUUAAAAUUAGGGUUUCAUCCAGACUGGCGGACUCACCGAGUCCGGAAUAUGGCCUCGUCGAGUCGCCAACUUAAACGUGCUCGAAAUCCCGACUCUACUCGACGAGUCCAGCUACUGACUCGUCGAGUUCCCCUUAAAACUUGAAGAAAAAUAAAUAUAUAAAUAUCAUACCAGAAUUGGGGUGUUACAAAUGGUGAGUACGAUUUAGGGCUAAAUGUUUUAAAUUUAUAUUUGCUUAUUGUGUAAUAUGAGGGAUAUUGAAUAUCUACCAUAAUUAACUAUGCAAAGAUUACUAUAAUACCAUUAAAUGAUUUAUUUAUUUAUUUAUUUCUAAAUUCCUAUUGGUGCAUUCAUGCACACAAUAGUUGCUAGAAACAUUUGAACCUAGCUCUCUCUCUCUCUCNAGGUUCAAAUGUUUUUAGCAACUAUUGUGUGCAUAAAUGCACCAAUAGGAAUUUAAGAAUAAUAAAAUUAUUAAAAAAAUAAUAUAAGGGUAAUUUUGUAACUUUACAUCACCUUCAUUUAUUAAACCAAAAAUAAUUCUCUUAUAUAGAUAGAAAACUCCUUAAUUAAUGGAACAGUUACCAUAAAAUGCCCUAAACUAACCCUAGUCGUCCAAGUCCAUUGUGUGAGGACGUGUUGCGUGGGUUCCUUUUUGCUAUCGGUCGAGAAAGAGAAAUUUGGAGGGGAGGGGAUGUGUGAUAGGAAGAGAAGAGGAUGAAGGGAAGUGAGGCUGAAAUCGAGUAGGAAGAAGAAAGGGGUGCAUGGUGGUGUCGAUUUUGAGGUAAGUAGGCAUUCUGUUUCAUCAUGUAUCAUUAGUUGCCAUAAACGACCAAUUAACCAUAGUUGCAAGUAUGUCUUGUGUUUUGAUUUUUGUUUGAUGCUAAUCGAUUCUAAUUUUCAACCACGCUUCCAUCAUUGACUUAUGUUGAGGUUGUUUUAUUUUCUUUCCAUUAAUUUCUAUAGAGGGUUGUAUAUAAAAUAGUAAUCAAUUUUUGUAGAAAUUGCAGCUUUUCUUACAAAUUCAUGUUCGUUGUGAAGUUACAAUUCUAAUCUAUUGAACUCAAAAUUCGAUUUUCUUUGUCAAUAAAUUAAUUUUCUAUGUUAUUUCUUAUUUUCUAAUGGAGGAUAUGAUUGUUCAAACAUUCAAGAAUGCCUAGAUUUUUGUUUUCAUGGCAGAAUUCUCACAUAUUGUAAAUGCCUAGAAUUUGAUUUCAUGACAUUCUCAUAGAAUAUAACUUUUUAUCAAAGAUAGAUUUUAAUGGUUGUAGAUUGGAAAUCAUUUUACUGAAAUUCACAUGGUUCUAAAUUUCACAUGGAUAUUGACAAAGUGGAUUUUGAUUGCAAAAAAAGUUAUUUAAGUGCAUUAUGUAAUGUAUUCUGUUAGAAUUUAUUUAUAUAAACGCAUUCUGUUAGAAGGUGUUUUGAGAAUGUUUGAAUGAUAUUUAUGUGCAUUCUGUAAUGUAUUAUGUCAGAAUUUAUUUAUAUAAAUGCAUUAUGUUAGAAUGUCUUUUGAGAAUGUUUAUUAACAACAAGUAUAUUUGUUUAACGGGUAAUACUAAGUAAUACUAACUAGUAAUAUAUCUUAUUCUUUAGAAUUGCAUGGAGAAGAAUUCAAUAUUGAUCAUACAAGAGAAAUAUUUGGAAUCGAGUUCAACAACAAGUAUAUAUGCGAAGAUCAAGUGGAUAUUCUGUUAGAAUAUGUAUAACUAUAUUUAAAAUGUACAAGGAUUUUAGUCUGUAAGAAUAUGUAUGAAUUUGUAUUUAAGUUCGGAUGUAUAAGAAUAUAUUAGAAUGAUUGUUAUUUUUCAACAUUUGAUUCAAGAAUUUUGUUUUUCUUCAAUAAUAUUCUAUUAGAAUAAAAUUCUGCAAGAGCAUCAUCAUAACAAAAAAUAUUCUGACAGAAUAAAAUCGGUAAAAAUUGAAAUUGAAUUAAUUAAAAAAUUCAGAUUUUUUUAAAUUAGGAGAAUUAGUCAUCCCUAAAAAUUCGAAAAUUUCAUUUUAUAAAUGCAGUUAAUUGUCCAAAAUACCCCUUUGCUAAAAAUUGUGUGAUUAUAUGGUACAUGUUACCCCAUUGUAAUAUCAUACACUCUCAAAUCAUGUCCAUUGAUUAAUUUCAUCCGUUGGUCCAGAUAUGUGCAUUANAUAUAGAGAGAGAGAGAGAGAGAGAGAGAGAGAGAGAGAAAGAGAGAGAGAGAGAGAGAGAGAGAGAGUGAGUGUUUAACAUUAAAUUUAUUUGAGUUGAUAAAAUCUAUAAUUUUAAGGGUUAUGUAGGUUAAUGUUUUUUAUGCAUGUAAUUUAAACAUUUUUAUACAAUUAAAUGUCCUUUUCAGGUUAACACCAUCCACUCUCACCACUAUCGUCCAUUUUCUACUGCCACCAUUCACUCCAACAAUAAAAACUAAAUUUCAUUAUCCAAAAAAGUACAAUUAAGUUAUGAUUUUUCGAUGGUUGUUUUAUUUUCAUUGGGUUCAACGGUACACAAUGAAGAUUGAACCAAAAAUGACAAAAUCUUAAUGUAAGUCUCCUAUGAAUCUAAUAAAGUUUGGGAAGGGUUCCGGGCAUUGAAAAUGUGAUGUCUAGCAAACUCAGGAGAGACAAUGAGAAAGAAAAAUAAUGUUGUCUCCAGUGGGUUCGACCAAACAUGCUAGGAGUAAGUGUGAGUGUGUAUGGUAAACCAUCUACUUGUUUUUCUUUGCAUCAAGCUCUAGUAACUACAAAACAGAGCAUGUAGAAUGGAAGUGAUGUUAAGCUCUGUUGUGACAAACAAGAUGUAAACCUUACAUAUAUCUUGGAUUCAAUUAGGAAACAAUUGGUAAUGGGAAAGUUAUGACUAAAGGUGACCACAAAAUUGUUGUUGGGUGGUAAUGAUGUGAAGCUCUUUUACGUAACAUGACUUUAAAGAUAAAUACAAGGAUAAAGAUAGCUCCCACCAUAAUAAUCCAUAAAGAUCGAACCAUCUUGAUUUAUGAUAAAGGAAUCAAAAUCCACCAUGAUACUCUACAAAUGGAUAAGUCACCAUGAAGGAACCACCAAGAUCAAAGACCUAUAAAGGUAAAGAAAAUUCAUCAAAGCGAGUUUUAAAUCCCAAAUUUUCCCAGAUGUGUUUACAUGUUGUUUCCCACAAUUUCCCUAUAAAUAGUAGAUAAUAAAGAUGAUGAAAAUAGAGUUCAGUAGUUUUCUUUUUCUCUUCAUUUUAAUAUAAAACAAACAAGAGAAAUGGAAAUAAUUCAAUUUCCCAUCUCUUAUUUCUCUGUACCAAACACCUCCUUAAUUCCUUUUAGUUCUCCAGAUCCUUCUCUCAUAUUCUCCUUACCCUUAUAGGAAUUUUGAACCGAAACGAUCUUUUUCCCUUAGUAUCCUUCAUGGGGAUAAUAGAUUUUGUUAAAGGCUUAUAGGGAGUUUGUAUUUUAUGUAUGUUCUCUACUUUUAUGGCAAGUUUGCAAGCAGCUUCAAAGGUUCAUAAAGGAUGUAACUUAUUUUUCAAUAGUGGAAGUGUUUAAGCCUCUGAGGAAUAUUGAUAUUGUAUGUUCCUUGACCUCUUUAAUGUUGGUGUAGAUCUUUAGUUUCUCAAACUCUCUGAUGUAGUCCAUUACUUCCUUAGUUCCUUGCCAUAGGCUACUAAUCCAAAUACAAAUGUCCUAUUUGUAGGCAUGAUGAACAAACAUCUUUUGCAUGCAUUAUUCGAGUUUGGACCAUGUAUUUGUUAGAAUAGUGUCAAAUGUCAUAACCAACUGGUAAGACUUUCCAUUAUAUCAAAGUCUUUUUUAGGUUUCCCUCAAUGAUCCAAAUAAUAUUAGAAUGUUAUGAGAGAGAUACAAAUAGUUUAUUAAUUAUUUAUACGAUGAUAAAUUAAUUAGAAACUAGUUUAGAAUUAAUUUGUAAUUAAUUUAUACUAAUUAAAAGUGCAUGGACUAAAUGUUAAUUAUUCAAUAACCGAAUAAUGAAAGGUUCUGGAUCCCAUAUGACGGGCGACAGAAAUCAACAAGGGAUAAGCCUUGCGAUUUUUAUCCCAUGCUAUUCUAGGAAGGAGGUUUGAAUUUUGAUAAAUUGGAUUAUUUAAUUAUUAUAUUUAUCCAGUUACCAAUUCAAAAUCAACUUUCUUUCCAAGCAACCAAAAGCUAUAAACCCCUCUGUCACCUCAUAAAUACGUCACACUCUUAUCUAAGGGUUAUUCUCAUCUCUUGGUUAAUUUCUUAGUCGAUUUCUAUUGUUCUAAGGGUUAAUCUUCUUAACAACUAAUAAUUUGGACUUAUUGGAUGUGAACCAUUAGAUGUAAUCUACUUUGGUUACUAUCUUCCGUGGCUUGGAGUACUUCAAUAUCUUCAUCAAAGGUUCUUCAAGCAAAUCGGUUAAUUUGUGUUUCCGAUGCUAUUGUUAGUCUAAGUAAGUAUAUAUAAAACCUAUCAGUCUUGACCUUUGGUUACUAUCUCCCUCUUCAAGCAAAUUAGUUAAUUUGUAUGUUUCCGAUACCUUGGUUACUAUCUCUCUCUUGUAGUUGUUCUUAUUAUUUAGGUUAAAGAUCCUUGUAGGUUUUAAUGGUUUGCUUGCCUUAGAUUAAUUUGUAUGUUUUCAAUGCUAUUGUUAGUCUGAAUAAGUAUAUAGAAAACCUAUCGGUCUUGAUUUCUUCUUUCCUUCAAACUCUCUCCUUCACGCUUCCUGUUUUGUAUUACAACAAAACAUACUUCUCAAGUUUGAUCACCACAAGCUAUGACACUUUCUUUUCAUCAUAUUUGUUAACCUCAAUGAUUCUAUCCAUUCGAGAUAGUUUCUGGGGUUGAGGAGCCUUCAAAAUCUGGUGGAUUAACUUUGAUAUCUCCUAAAUCAUCUUUCUCUUUUCAGUUGUGCCUUCUUCUUUGCGAUGAUCUACGGGAACCACCAAAGGAUGGUAAAGGUGAUAUUCGUUUAGCAAAAUCAUUACAUAAUAUAAUAAUUUAGACAUUAACCCUAAUUUUUAAAGGCUUGAUAAAGGUGCCAUUUGUUUAGCAAAAUUGUUACUUAAUAGUUAAUAAUAAAUAUUAAGAUUAGGUCAACGAGAUUUUCUUGGUUUAUAGUAAUUUUCCUUAUUUAGUAUUAUGCCUAUAUGUACUAGUUCAUAUAUUAUUUAAAAAACGAAAAGAAUCCCGUCACACGUUUUUAAUUAUUGUUGACACCAAGCACCAACAAAUAAAAAGGAUACCAAGUAUUGAUGCAUUUAACCCAUAUCGAAUUUGUAUUACAAUGUGACGAAUGUGUGUGAACGGUUUCCAUUUUCAGCAAAAACGUAUGCGUGGUAUUAAAUGCAGAUUUUUCUUGAGUACCCAACAUUUAUUAUUAUUAUUAUUGUGUUUGAACAUAUUUAUUAAGGGAGGUUGUGUGGGAACCUUCUUCAAAAUUGGGACCAUUUUUCUAUUACAAUAUUAAUUGGAUAUAAUAUAUCCGUAAAGGUUCUUACUUCUUACCUCCUGAUCUUUCAAAUGGGUCAAACGAUAUUUACUAUUUGUUAAAGGGUGAUGUUGUCUUUACAUACCAUUGAUUGUAACCAAUGAAUAAUUUAAUAAAAACACUUUCAGUCAUACCCAAUUAGAGUUUAAUAUAAGAUUCAGUGCAUAUAGUAAUGAUUCUUGUAAAAGUUACUUGUUUUAAAUAUUAAAUAUUAACAUUUAUUGACUGAGACUUGUAUAUUAAAAUAAAUUAAUUAUGCAACUCAUCAGGUCUAAACUGGAAGUUUUCAAAGACAUAUUUUAUUCUUAUCAUACGAGAUAAAUAAUUGCUACAAAGUACAAACCCAAUUGAUAAGGAGAAAAAAAAAAGAAAUAUAAUAUAUUGAAUUGUAUUAAAGAACUGAAAUGAAUUUUAAAUAACUUGUUUCAGAUUCCAUGUAAUGAAUAAUGAAUUGAGAAUCUUUUAGUAUUUUGACUUUGACUUAAAAAAACUAUAACUUGACUUCAAAAAGAGCAGCUCGCUACAUACGCAACUGCUGACGUUUAUGUGUUUCAACCUCCCCGAUGGCAGAGAAUGAAUUUGAUGACGUAUUUGCUUACGUCAGUUAAUUUUAUCAUUAUCAAGGUCAAUAUCAGUUCUUUUUUGUUUGACAUACCAUUAAAAAGCUUUGUUUAGGUUUUUUCAGUUUCACGUAAAUGUUCAUUCAUUGUAUCUCUUGCUUUUUUAUGCAAUUGUUUUUGUUUACUUAGGUUUUUAUACAGAUGUUCUUUAUAGUAUUAACUAAACAAAAUUAGAUCUAUCUAUGGAGGAAUUACAUGGGGUGGUGGGAUAUUACAACAUUCCCAAAAAAAACAUUUUGGGUAAAUUACACAGAUGGUCCCUGUGGUUUAGGGUAAUCUGCUAGAUUGGUCCCUAACAACUUUUUUUAACUCGCACCAUCCCUAAUUUAUUUUUUCGUUACACGCUUGGUCCCUAACCAUUAUAAAAAGUCUAAUUUACCCUUACUGAUUUCUUUUACCUAUUUUAAAUUAUCAAUUAAUUAAAUGUGGAAAAAGUGUUAAUUAAAAAAAUAUGUUGGUCUGAUUCAAGAACCUACACAACCGAAGCCUCAUCCCCUCCCUUCCUUCCUUGAUUUCAGUCGCCGGAAAAUAUCACUCCUCUCGUCGGAAAAUCUCACAGAUAAACGAUGUCUUCUCCAGCUUCACUUCCCCNNNNNNNNNNNNNNNNNNNNNNNNNNNNNNNNNNNNNNNNNNNNNNNNNNNNNNNNNNNNNNNNNNNNNNNNNNNNNNNNNNNNNNNNNNNNNNNNNNNNNNNNNNNNNNNNNNNNNNNNNNNNNNNNNNNNNNNNNNNNNNNNNNNNNNNNNNNNNNNNNNNNNNNNNNNNNNNNNNNNNNNNNNNNNNNNNNNNNNNNNNNNNNNNNNNNNNNNNNNNNNNNNNNNNNNNNNNNNNNNNNNNNNNNNNNNNNNNNNNNNNNNNNNNNNNNNNNNNNNNNNNNNNNNNNNNNNNNNNNNNNNNNNNNNNNNNNNNNNNNNNNNNNNNNNNNNNNNNNNNNNNNNNNNNNNNNNNNNNNNNNNNNNNNNNNNNNNNNNNNNNNNNNNNNNNNNNUUUGUCACUUCUGAUUCGAUAACAUUCUUUCAAGUGCGAGACAAAGAAAGAGGUCAACGCUCAAGUUUGUAUUGUCUCGUCAGAUUCGAGUGCUUGCAUCACCUCCGCCUUCUCUGGUGUUGGAAAUAGAUGUUGGUGAGGAAAACGUGAGUAAGGCAAUUGGAGUUUCAGCCGUCGUCUGCUUUCAAAUGGAAUAAAGCGUGGCAGAGUAAAGAGGCAGGUUAGUCCCGUGAGUGAAGAUGGGAAGGAGAUGAAGGGUUUUCUCACCAGCCAUGUGUGAUGUUGUUGGAGUCGUCGGAGAUGUAGCUGAUCAAGCAACUGGUGAAUGGUGAUGAUGGAAGACGAGAGGUGAAGGAGCCAAUGAGGGGUUGGAGACGCUGCUUGGGGCUUUAUUUACUAUAUUUUGUUAAUUUUAUUAAUAUUUUAUUAAUAUAUUAUUAAUAUAUUAUUAAUAUGAAAAGGUAAAAUAAUGAAUAUUAAAUUAUUAAGGGUAAAAUAGUCUUUUUAUAACGGACAGGGACCAAGCGUGCAACAAAAAUAUAAAUUAGGGACGGUCCGAAUUAAAAAAAGUUGUUAGGGACCAAGCUAGCAGAUUACCCUAAACCACAGGGACCAUCCGUGUAAUUUACCCAAACAUUUUAUAUAAAAAAAUUAUUUAUAUGCAUGUUUUAUGUUAAUGUAUUUCCAAUUAAAAGGAUUUUACCAUGUUUUUUUAAUUCUCAGGAUAAGAUAACUAAAUAAAAUAUAUCUUGACAAUGUUUGUAUCCUGUAUCAAAAUUCCUGGCUCCGCCACUGUGAUUUGAAAGUCUUAUAUGUUUGGUUAAUAUAGUUUCAAUAAUUGCUUAGUAGGUCAUUUUUGUUUAUAAACUGAUUUUCAUACCAUUUUAAUUUAAUUUAUAUUUUUUGUAGUUAUGAUUUAAAAAAAAAUAUUUUUAAUUUUGUUUUUAAGAAAUAAAUAAGGGGCCAUCCUCUCUCUCUCUCUCUUUCUCUGUCUCUCUCUCUCCCUCUGACGCCAUCCUCCCAACACCAUCGCCGCAACAACAUACAUGUUGGAGAACUGAUGUGUAUAUUUAAUGCACUGGUUUUUUAUUUAUAAUUCCUAAUUUAUCGCAUCUAAAUCACACCUUACAGGCAGUGAACCCGAUCGAGUAUAGUAUAGCUUUGAUAAGCAAGGGUGUCGAACACAAGGGGAACAGUAGUGAAUUAAUUUAAAAUAUUUGAUUAUAGGUUACAAAACAUACGAAAGGAAUAAAUAAAUGUUUAAUUAAAUCUCAAACGAAUUUCUAAAUAGCAAAUCUCGAUAAACUGGCAGGAAGACAAAUCUCUUUAGGCACUUUGGUUUAGACAGAUUACACCUUAAAAUCAUAGACAAUUGCACACACAUAUUUAUUUAUUCAUGUUCACCGAUUUCUAAAAUGAUUAGGUUCAUGUUCAUUAUUACUAAUCCUUUAGCAAACAAGUCAAUUNUUAAAACAUAGACAAUUGCAUACACAAAUUCAUUUAUUCAAUGUUCACCGAUUCCUAAAAUGAUUAGAUUCGCGUUCACUAUAACUAAUCCUUUAGCAAACAAGUCAAUUCAAACAGUGAUCAGUUGAUUAAACUAACAUGUUUCCUAGUGUUCAGUUCGUAUCAAGCAAGACUUGUAAAAAUAGUUAAUCAAAUUGGUCAUUCAAUUAACCUCUUGUUGAUGGUCAUCAAACAAGGCUCACACGUUAACUUACUUAUUUCCAAGUUAAUCCUAGUUUCACAUUCGUUAUUCCUAGACUUAUAAUCUCGAUGGUCAUCAAAAUCAUAAGAGACAAGCAAUCAAGCAGAUGUUCAUACAACUCAAUUUACUUAAUAAUUAACAGCAAAUAAUUAUCAUUAACACAUAAGGAUCUUUUAACAAGCUUGGAAAGAUAAAUUAAACAUAAACAAACAAUUAAAUAUAGCAAUUAGUCCAAUAAAUAAUGUUUCAUUCAAUCAUAAACACAAAGUAAAAGGUUUUUACACCUAAAUCAGAAACUAAACACAUAAUAGUAUCACAAUGGAAUGCUAAACAUGGUCACGUUAACAACCCAUAUGAUUACCGACAUGUAUCCGCUCUCCAAUCCUUCCGGUCUCCGCUCCCGUUAACUUAACGGCCUUCCGGCCGCCUUCUAGACCCUCAAAACGGAUUAACAGAAGUUAAUUAUCGACUAAAUUAGGUUAGAAGUCGAAUCCCCCCUUCUGGUUAGCUGAUAAUCGCUUUUUAUAACCCGUGUAACCGACUUACGUACGCUGGGCGUAAGUCGGAUUACCCUGGGCGUACUGAAGAUUAAUUCGCGAUGAGGAAAUCCGGAUGCAAGCAGUUACGCUGGGCGUAACCAUAUAUUACGCUGGGCGUAACUCUUUUUUACNUUCGCUAUUACGCUUGGCGUACAUGUCCAUUACGCGGGGUGUAAUUGACUCUUCCAACAUUUUUUUCUUUCUUUUAGCUUGUAAGCCCUAAUUCCGCUCUAGUCUUUUCUUUUGUGCUCCAUCAACAACGAAUAGCUGCAAAUCAUAAUUCAAAGCAUUAUAAGUACUUUUUAGUUCUAAAAGAGAAUAAUAAAGGCUAAAAUAUUAAGAUAUAAUGUAUAAAAAUAUAUAUAAAAAUACACAUUUCAAAAUACCCCACACUUAACCUUUGCUUGCCCCCAAACAAAUUUACUUUUAUUUUACCAAUAUCGCACUAAACAAUCCAUUUUAAACUCAACCAUUAUGUCAAAACCGCAACCAUGCAUUUGUGUCUAAAAUUUUCCUAAAGUACCCCCCAUACUUUAAAUACUCACAAUCUUCAUAAACACUUGCCCAAUUCUUUCGAACAAUGCUCAUUUUAUGCAUCCCUCAGAAUCCAUCCGCAGAAAACCUCCUAACCUCAAGGUGUUUUUGGUUGAGCAACCCAAGCAUACAUAAUCUAGAAUUACAAUUUACGAUACCACUAUGGAGCUCUUUUUGAAUUCUUCACUUCCUUGAUAAUUUAAUCUUUGAUUUCUUUGAAUUCACCACCUUGUUUGAUUUGAUUUCUGGUAUCUUCAAUUUUUGAACUCUUGGAAUUUUGAUCUUUUGUUCUUCACUUUAGUUGCUCCAAAAUUCUUCAAACUUUUCUUGCAAUUCUCUCUCUCUCUCUCUCUCUCUUUUAACAUGUACCUCACUUUUUUUUCACUCAAAACCCUACAUGCUUAAGCAGGGUCGCUCAACUUCAACCUUUAUUGGCUAACGAUAAUAAUUUUCCUGGAUAUAUUUCUGGUACACGAUGCUAAACAUAUUGCAUCCCUCAAACCAAGCGGGGUUAUGUUUUUGUUCCAUGAUUUCACUAAAAUAAGGGAGGCCACAAAUGCACUAUAACGUGUAUUGGCUCAACUAAACAUUUGAGUUCUCAUCGGAUCAUCUCAUACAAUAUUAGCAAAAAAUUUUAAAUUAUCACUAGAUCUAGCAAUUUCCAAACUAUUAUUUUAUUUUUUUUAUAAUUUACUUUUACCGACCCCCUACCCCACACUUAUUUCAUAAAAUGUCCUCAUUGUAUGCAUAAAACUAAUUAAGCACAUAAAAAGGGAGAAAAAGGAACAGACUCCCCUGGGGUAGUUGUAGCGAGAUCGAAUGGGGCUGCUACAAGUUGCUUCAAAUAUUGCUGAAAGACUGAGAAUUGGGACUGCUGCUUCUAAAUUUGCCGAUAGAUAUAAUCAAGAAUGCCGACUUCGAGAAUGUGGUGCAAAAGAUUGCAAACAAAUGCAAUGUAUAGUAACCAUGACGUGGGAAAGUGUCGACCACGUCGUCUCGUCAAGAAUGACAACCUCUUCUCGCGAUGAAAACUCCCCACAACAUAGGAAAGUGUCAACCAUGUCGUGGCAGCCGGGAUGAUACUUCUACCUCGCGUCGAAAUAGAACUCUAUGGUGUGGGAACAACUCAUCCAUACCAUAAAAGUUAAAAAUAAAAUGUCACUCUUCUAAAUAAUCGCUCACGAAAUCAAUAUGCACCCCACACUUAUGACAAAUCGUGGGUCUUGACUAUAAUCUUCAAACUCUCACACGGCUCUCUCUAGCAACAGUCGGACCUAGCUGCCGAACUUACUGCUAGCUUUCUAAGGGCGAAAAUUCUGCAAAGAUCUAAACAACCAAAGAGCAUCAACAUGGAAAACAAAAGUAAAAACACCCUAAAUUAAACUUAAUUACAUACCAAAUAAAAAAAAUACUAAUACUAAGCAACACAAAAAUAAACUAAAAAUAACACAAAAAUAAAAAUAAAAAGGAUAACUAAAUCACUCGUCAUCUCCUUCAUCAUGCUGCUGUGUCCCAGAAGUACCGGCUCCAUCAGGUCGUGACUGAAAUGGUGGAAGAAAAGGAACCGAGUACUGAAACCCCUGGUGGGCAAAGAAUGCGGUCAACGCAUCCCCAUACCACUGAUGUUGUCUCUCCACGUGUGCAACGCGCUCCCCCAGGCUCUGAAAUCCCUCGUCCAUAUGCUGAGCCAGAUAACGUAUAUCAAUCUCCGGCUCAGGUCCUUGCUGCGCUCCCCGAGGAGCAGGUCUACGCCACUGGAUUCGUCUCGGCUGUGGCUCGACUGCACCCUCCUCGUCUGCCACGUCAUCUGGUCGUACCCGCAAGACACCAUCUCUGCCCCGCUCAAGUACACGCAUCGACUCUAAUAACUGAAGGCUCAUCGGCCUCAUAUCAUGAAAUACCAUCUAUCUCGUAAUCUAACGCGUCAACAAUUGAUAUGAUCGAGCUAAUUGCGUGAUAAAAUGCCCCCCGCAAAUCGGGCUAUCCUCCCGAAGUCCCCUGGCCCUCCUACCCAAAUAUGCGGCUAAAGCAACUGGAAGGUUCAGGUGCCUCCCUGGAGUAACAAGUGCCCAUAAGAAAUACAAGUCUGUCGAAGGCACUCUCUCACUGUUCUUAUGGUGCGUGAGAGAUAUGGAAAUCAAACGGUGCAGCAGUCUGUAUGUGGUAGACCGAAUCAUCCUCCCCCGUGCAGUAGAUAGCGUAUAUACUCCCCCUGUAAUCUCGACCCAAAAGUGUUUUCAUUAUAGUCAUCUAGCCGGCCCGUGAGACAAUCAACAAGGAAUGCCGGGAAGUGGACACUCCUCGUCUCAUCUGUUGUAUAUAUCCCAACUCGAGUGGCGAGCUCAAUCACACUGCACUCCCGACUCACACCACCCAGUCUGAAAGGAAAAGGGUGUCCUAUCAUCGCGUGUCUUCCUAGGGUCAUAGGAAACUGUAGCGUAAAACUCCAGCAAAAAUUCCCAAUACACCGGCUCCUGGAUCCUGAACAGUCGUGCCCAUCCCUGACAUACGAACAAAUGCACUCCACUCGCGUCCGAGUGCGUGUAUUGCAAAAAAUUCCGGAUCAGCGCAGCAAGUCCAGUCUGGGUCGCCAAUUCCCAGUCAAAUGAAGGUUCUAUGUCGAUCUCCUUAGUGAGCAGCAAACUCAAAUUGUUGACAUAUCGGGCCCGGGUUGCAUCAUUUAGAGUUUGCGGAAAUUGUAAGAAACGGUGAUCCGUCACGUCCUCGGGUGGGUUGGUCCUUUGAGUUCUUCGGGCCAUAAUCCGCACAAAUAAAUACCAACACAAAACCAAACAAAAUAUCCACAACAUUAACAAUUUUAGACUAAAAUAGUGGUCCUGGUCAUGGUUUGUACGCUGGGCGUACAUCCAGCAUACGCUGGGCGUACGUCCAGAUUUACGAAUCUGUCCUGGUGUCCCAGCUUGUUCUAAGGCCAUAAACAGUCAACAUAUAUUCACACGAGAAUCAUGAAGGGUAGUCAAAAUAUGGGCAAACUACUUAGGCAUACGUCGAACGAAAUCGUAUCUGAACCUAUUCGUCACUGCCCUAAACCGUAUCACUCUUUCAACAGCAUUAUACCAAGAACUGCGCAGGGCAGUCCGUCAAUGGAAGGUUUUCGCUAGGCCCAAACCCCUAAAGACGAAUCGAUGGCUAUUGCUCGGGAUUAAGGCCAAAUUAAGUCCUAGGGUUUAGUCUAUUGACCGAAAUUGGCCUUAUUUAUGCCAUAAUCAAACAUACAACUGUGAAAUCGGCCCCCAUUCAAGAAAAAGAUGAACCCUAGAAUUCGAAAAAGGCAAUAUGCAGCUAAUUUCACUGAUUUAAACACAAAUCAAAGACAUAGAGUAUCCGAAUAGCAUACCUUUGUGUCGAUUCUACAAGAAAAGAAGAAAAAUCGGAGAUCUUUUGGGAGAACUUGUCGUCACAGCGUAUGCAGCGAAGGAAGAGAAAUUGAAAGAAUAACAAAAAAGUCAAAGGGUAAAAUGAUAAAACCUGUCGUCGAUUUACGCUGGGCGUAAAUUCACAUGUACACGGGGCGUACCUCCAACUCCGGAAAGAAGCAUCCGCGAUCAAUGGUUCAUUACGCUUGGCGUAAGUUAAAAUUACGCUGGGCGUAAUUUUAACUGAAAUAUUUCCUUUCCCUUAUUUGAAAUUCCUUUUUCCAACUAAUUAAUUUGGGAACUUAUAAUUAUUAUUAUUUUUUUUCUUUUAAUUGCUUCACAACAGCCAUGACUUUCCGAUGAGUGACAUUAAAAAAUAAAUGAGACGUCAUGAUCACUUGUGUUUGUCGAGAUCAAACAACAACGGUUGAUUAAAACCCUUGCACGCAAGAAAUGGUUUGUGAAAACAACCACUUUCGGGACCCGUUAGAAUAUUUCCUUUGUUUUCUUCGCACCUUUAACUAAAAGUAGAACAAGAAGUGACCUAACUAGUCAAGAACAACAAGAGCUCGGUCUUCCACUUAACCACCAAAAUACGCCUUACUAUACUACGCCUCAUGGAUUGAGUUGGACAAAUCAACAAAGUAGUAGGUUAAGCAGGUCAAGAAUUCCCUAAUCGCUUGCAUUCUCGAAACCCAUGCAAAAGGCAAAGUCAAACAAUGUGUAUGAUCCCAAAUUCCUGAAUUAACAACAAGAACCUUCCUGACAAGUGAAAUGAUAUCAUCCAAAAUAAAACUAUUAGAAAAUUAAAAACUAACCAAAAACAAAUAACGAAUAAUCAAAUAAACUAAAUUAAUUUCAAGCCGUUCCCCGGCAACGACGCCAAAAACGUGAUGUGUAUAUUUAAUGCACUGGUUUUUUAUUUAUAAUUCCUAAUUUAUCGCAUCUAAACCACACCUUACAGGCAGUGAACCCGAUCGAGUAUAGUAUAGCUUUGAUAAGCAAGGGUGUCGAACACAAGGGGAACAGUAGUGAAUUAAUUUAAAAUAUUUGAUUAUAGGUUACAAAACAUACGAAAGGAAUAAAUAAAUGUUUAAUUAAAUCUCAAACGAAUUACUAAAUAGCAAAUCUCGAUAAACUGGCAGGAAGACAAAUCUCUUUAGGCACUUUGGUUUAGACAGAUUACACCUUAAAAUCAUAGACAAUUGCACACACAAAUUUAUUUAUUCAUGUUCACCGAUUUCUAAAAUGAUUAGGUUCAUGUUCAUUAUUACUAAUCCUUUAGCAAACAAGUCAAUUCAAGCCGUGAUCAAUUGUUUAAACUAACAUGUUUCCUAGUGUUCAAUUCGUAUCAAGCAAGACUUGUAAUAAUAGUUAAUCAAAUUGGUCAUUCAAUUAACCUCUUGUUGAUGGUCAUCAGUCAAGGCUCACACAUUAACUUACUUAUUUCCAAGUUAAUCCUAGUUUCACAUUUGUUAUUCCUAGACUUAUAAUCUCGAUGGUCAUCAAAAUCAUUAGAGACAAGCAAUCAAGAAGAUGUUUAUACAACUCAAUCUACUUAAUAAUACCAGCAAAUAAUUAACAUUAACACAUAAGGAUCUUUUAACAAGCUUGGAAAGAUAAAUUAAAUAUAAACAAACAAUUCAAUACAACAAUUAGUCCAAUAUCAAGGUUUCAUUCAAUCAUAAACACAAAGUAAAAGGUUUUUACACCUAAAUCAGAAACUAAACACAUAAUAGUAUCACAAUGGAAUGCUAAACAUGGUCACAUUAACAACCCAUAUGAUUACCGACAUGUAUCCGCUCUCCAAUCCUUCCGAUCUCCGCUCCCGUCAGCUUAACGGUCUUCCGACCGCCUUCUAGACCCUCAAAACGGCUUAACAGAAGUUAAUUAUCGACUAAAUUGGGUUAGAAGUUGAAUCCCCCUUCUGGUUAGCUGAUAAUCGCUUUUUAUAACCCGUGUAACCGACUUACGUAUGCUGGAUGUAAGUCGGAUUACGCUGGGCGUACUGAAGAUUAAUGCGCGAUGAGGAAAUUCGGAUGCAAGCAGUUAUGCUGGGCGUAACCAUAUAUUACGCUGGGCGUAACUCGUUUUUACUAUUACGCUUAGCGUACAUGUCCAUUACGCGGGGCGUAAUUGACUCUUCCAACAUUUUUUCUUUCUUUUAGCUUGUAAGCCCUAAUUCCGCUCCAGUCUUUUCUUUUGUGCUCCAUCAACAACAAAUAGCUGCAAAUCAUAAUUCAAAGCAUUAUAAGUACUUUUUAGUUCUAAAAGAGAAUAAUAAAGGCUAAAAUAUUAAGAUAUAAUGUAUAAAAAUACACAUAUCAAGAACCAUAACUUCAUCGCCGCCCCACUUUGUCGGAUCACCAUUUUCUAAUGGUAGACGUUUAUUUGGGGCUUAAAUCUAUAUCAUCUCCAUCUCUGAGGCCUUCAAGACGGUGACCAUCCCAAAUCUCCUUCUCCCUCAGAAAAGAUCGAUGAAAUUAUUAGUCUUUGACUCGCUUCACUUCCACAAUUGUUGGAUUAAGGUGUCUAAGAUCCUAACUAAAUUUGUAUAAUAUUGAUGAAUAAAAGUAAAGUCCUUUUUGGGUUACCCUCAUAACCAGUAAAUAGUUUGGAUUGAUCAAAUGGGAGAGAUAAAUGAUCUAUUAAUAUAUGAAUCAGAAAUAGUUAAUAAUUAAUUAUGAAUUAAUUAAAGAUAAUCAAUUAAUUAUUAAUCAAAAUUAAUCUGGAAUUAAUUCGGGAUUAAUUGGAAUUAAUUAAAGGUGCAAGAUGUGAAUUGUAAUUGUUCAAUAGUUGAACAAGAAAGGCAAUUCUAGAAUGUACCAAGGCAUAGACGGGUUUGGGAGCCUCUUUAGGGUUUCCAGAAGCCUCCUGGUAGCAGAUAAGGAAAAGAUUUGAAUUAAGGAUUAAAUCUAUUAUUUAAUCAUUCAAAUCCAACUUUGUCUGUAAGUUACCUAAACUAUAAAUAGGACCAUUUGGACAACUAAUUUCGUGGAUUAUCAUACAUAUAAGGUGGAGAGCACAAUUCUCCUCAUCCUCUCCCAUCUCUCCUUCAAUCCUAGGGUUUCUUGAUAUUUGGGUGUGACGUAUUAGAGACCGCCAUACUUUUGGAGCUAGUUUUUCAAGGAGACUAAAAAGGGUAUUUGAUUAGCUUGUUUCGAAUCAAGCAAGAGGUAUGUGGUUCUAUUCAUGAAUUUGAUUAAUAGGGUUUAUAGUUUUGUUUCAUAAGUAUGUUGCUAUUAUUUGAGAAAAGACAUAAAUCCAAUUUAGGUUGCAUGUAACCUUAAGUGUUAAGUGAAAUCUCACAAGUACAUUUGUAACCUAAAGUAUCCUACCAGUGCUAUCAGAGCCUGUGACAACCCGACAUUUCGAAACAAUAUAAUGUAACACCAGUCAAAUUUAGGCCAAAAUUUAACUUUCCUACAAUCUUAUUUGGGUUAAAUAAAGUGGUAGGAAUCGUAUCAAGGUUUUCAUACAUAUAAAGAACACUAAAGUCCGAGUUAUAACGAAGAAGUUAUGACCAAUCGAAGAUUCUCGACAAAACCGACAACACCGAUUAAACGAAAAACGCAAAGUUUCAAUACAAUAGUUUUUAGCCUUAAGUAUCUAAAUGAAAGUUGUAGAUAACAUUAAACCGUAAACGUACGUAAAAAGAACGUCCAAAUCUGACUUCAUAUAAGAAAGUUAUGAUUUUUCCAAGAUUCGGAUAUAGCAGCAGACAGCUAAAAACUCGAAAUAGAGAUCGAGAGACUUUUUGCCAAAACAAACUAAAUGAUAAUUGAAGGUCUCAAAAAUAUUAGCGCAACGGUAAAAAUUCUGACGAAAACGGACAACGGAUGAAGAAGUUAUGGAUUUUUAAUGGAUUUUUCGUGUCCCGGCCCGUUAAAAAUAAAUAAUUAAAAAUAAAGUCAAAAUUUGCCAAUGAAGUCUAAACGAGAGUUGUAGAGCAUAUUUUCAGCUACACGUGCAUAUAAAGAACGUCGAAAACAGAGCUCGUACGCAGAAGUUACGAAUUUUACAAGUUCGAGACACAAAAUUCGAGGCCGUCAGGCUGGCCACGACGUGGCACAGAUGGCCACGACGUGGCACAUUGACUGAUGGGGUUUUCAGGCUUCGUAGAAGACGUCUUGUCCAUGGAAGAAGAUAAGGAUCGACCACACGACGUGGCAACCUUAUGGCCAUGACGUGGGACCCCAAAAGUUGGCCUAUAAAUAGAUUUCAAGGGUUUUCCGAGUUAGGUGCUCAUCUCUUUCCAUCUAAGUGCUGUUACUUUGCGAAAUUACCUCGAUAAACCAUCCCGAAGCCCCAGUUUUCACACUCAAGUCCCGAAGGAAGUUCUACACUCUCUAGAGUCCCGAGAAUCCCGAGAUUUUCCCGCGUUUUCAACUUUUCAUGUCGAAGUUCUGCUCGAUUCUUCUCUCGACUACUUCAAAUCAACCACUUCAAUCAAGUGAGUUCAUACCCCUAUAAUCUACACUUUCAAAUGCUUUAUAAAUGCUUUUUAUACACUUUUAAGGGGGGAAUACAAGUAAACACACGGUUAUCCCCGUGUGAAAGACAUAAAUCUUUGUUAUACUUUUUGGUUAUGUAAUCAAUCACAUGUGAUUUAUAAUUAACAUACAAUUGGACUUACUACACUUUUAGCCGUUUCACCAAACAGAGUACUUCAAAUAGCUUUCUCAAACGUUUUUACAUGUUAAAACACUUUUAGAAACUGUCUUACAAACUGUAUGUUUCCUCUUUGAAUCUGUUAUAGCUGUGCUUCAAACAAAGGUUUUCUUACACUUAAAUUGUCUUGUCAACUGUUUUCGAAUCGUUUUAUAAACUGACAUCAAGUCAAAAAUUCUUAUUUAUUAAACUUUUCAAAGGUUUUACAAAACUUCUUUUAUACUUUUAUAUUGUUAAAUGCUUGCCUAUAUAUGUAUAGUUAAAUAAGAAAGGUUUAAAAGACUUAGAACGGCUAGCUCGCCUUAUUUCUUUUUUUUUUCUCGUUGGGAUGUGGCCUUAGGGUAUUAGUUAUUCGUCCGAAUGCCAUCUAAAUAUUAGUUAUAUAUCAUGUAUACCUAUAUAGACAUAAAAGUUCCAUCAGUUAGUUCAGUUCCGACACUCUUGGGUAGCAAGGGUGUAUAAACCUACUUGGACACUCAUCAAUUACAUUCCAGUAAACUAUUAUAGGAAUAGUUUAGGGGAUACAAAAAAUUAUUCCUAUUACAAGGAUUUACACCAGAGUCAAUUCAUUCAUGAGUCUAUACUAAAUGCUAUAUGAAGGGAUACUCUUACAGAGAUUCCUCUUACAUGGAUACACUUAUAUGGAUACUCUUACAGGGAUACUUUUACAUAGAUACUAUAUGAUAAGAUACUAUUACAUAUUAUUAGUGUAGAUAUUAUUAGAUUAGAUCUGUCUAUACUAGUACCAAAGGAUAGUAUAGGGGGUUAACCACUCCUAAUCCCUCUGUUAGCUACAGAGGUAAAUGCACAUCUACGAAUGUCUACGGUUGAUACCAUUACAGGUAUACUUAAGGGACUAACUAUUCCUACACCCGACUGUUAGCAACAGAGGUAAAUGCACAUCUACGAAUGUCUACGGUUGAUCCAUUUACGGCGAGUUUCUACACAGUAUUUUUUCUAGUACCAAAGGAUAAUACCUAAGUUAUUAGCUCAUUAUCUUUAUUUUGUGAUACAUUCACAUAAGGACGGGGUAGACUAAUACCUAUAUAAUUAUAUUGUUACCUUUAUUUGGUGUCACGUUCACAUAACCGACGAGGUAGAUCAUACGGGAAUAUCUUAGUACCAAAGGAUACAACAUAAGUUAUUAUAUUAUUACUUUUAUAGCUUUAUAAUAAUAGUUAAACAUGGGAAAAACCGUCACAUUUACAGUGAUGCGUACUUCCAAAACAUUCAGGUCUUGGCAGAAGACUACUUUCAAAACAGUUAGGUCUAGGUAGAAGACUACUUUCAAAACGAUCAGGUCUUGGUCGAAGACUACUUUCAAAACAUCCGGGUCUUGGUAGAAGACUACUUUUUAUACUAGUAGGAAAUAUGGGAUUUUUUAGGGUUUUCAUACUUAUACUAAAUGUUUCAUCAAAUAUUCACUAGUCUUUCAUAACAACUUUUCCAAGCAAUAACAUUAAAAUACUUAUGAAUUCACCAGCUUUAUUGCUGAUACUCGCUUUCAAAAUAACUUGUAUUGUCAGGUUACAAAUAGACAGGUACCGAUGCAAGGUUUAGAGAAGACGGAGCAGUCAAGACUCGUCUUUUAUUUUGAGUAUUCAUUAUGUUGUUUUAUACUAUGAAUGAACACACUUGUAAGCAGAAUUAUUCUAUUAAUGCAAUGGAUGAUGUUGUUGCUUGUUUACUACUUUACAUUGUUGUGAUACAAUACAUGACGUCCUCCACCCCAGAACGUUUCCGCUAUUCUCGGUUUUGGGGUGUGACAGAGCCACGCUUUUCUAUUAGUAGUGCAUAAAAGAUGAAACAAGAAAACUAAUAAAAAUAAAAAAUUUGUUAUGACCACUUCGUGAACAGUCCUCCGCCACGAGGUGACGACUGCUAAAAUCCGAUUUUGGGAUUUUCUUGACUUAUUCAAAAGAUAGGAUAAUUAUUAGUUAUCUCAUUAUUUUAAAUGUAUAAAAUCAGAAUAUAAUAACCGGAUAAUUAGAAAUCCUAAUUUGAAUACAAGGAAGAUUUAAAAAAGGUAAUUAUCUAAUUAUAAAAUAAUUAGAUCAUAUGAUUAUCCUUCAAUAAGAUUUCUAUUAAUUAAUCAAAGGUUUAAUUAAAGAUAAUUAUAAAAUCUUAAUUAGUUCAAAUAUUAAUUAAUUAAAGAUUAAUUGAAUUAAUAUGAUUUGAACCUUUUAAUUUAAAAGGUUUUAAAAUAUACCCUAUACAUAUGUAUAAAAGUAUAUUACUAUAUGUAUAACUAAAAGUCAAUCAAAUUAAUAGUAGACCUCAUUCAUGUAGCUACACUCUAAGAGAUGUAUAAGAAAACGACCUAUAAAAUGACCGUUGAACGGGUGUUCUUUUCACCCAUCGUUCUUUGUAUGGUGGAGGGUCGUUAACCGAACGGGUUUGAUAGGACACUAAUCACAUAAAAAGUAUAAUGUAUAAAGUACUAGAAACUUCUAUAAAAUCCCACUAUAGUUACUUUAGGAAAAAUGUGAAAUUGUAUGUUAAUCCAUGAAAACGCACUGUAACACUCAUUUCAGGUAUCUUUUUAUUUUUCAGAAUUUAGGGUUUUAUAGUGGAACUCGACGAGUUGGGGAGCUACAACUCGUCGAGUAGAGUUCAUUUAUGGGACGCGGAAUCUAGGACCUACUCGACGAGUUGGAAGGCCUAACUCGACGAGUAGGCGUUGUAAAGGAAAAACCCUAAUUUUAGGGUUUGCACCCUAUAUAAUCUCCUUAAAACCUUGAGGCUGACCUUCCAUCAGCCUCCAAACCCUAAGAACGUCUGUGCUAAACCCUAAUCCCCAUUUCCUCUCAUAUUGUGAGCUAGAUUGACUUUUGGAGCUUAAGAAGAAGAAGAUAGUGAGAAGAAGGAGAAGAUCCAACAAGCAAAGCUCUUACUCUUGAGCUUAGCAAUCUUGUGGACUAUUGGGUUUAGCCUCUUUGCGAUGGUUGUAAUAGUAUAAUUAUGACAGUUCUGAUAUAUUUUUAGUUCAUUUCAAUAUGGUGCUCAUGAGAGGAUUUGGUUCUGGAGUUGGUGGCUAGGAUAGGUGUGACAUCCCCAUAUUUCUCGGCCAGAAAAGACCGAUUUUAUUUAUGCUUUUUAAAAUAAAAUCAGAGAAAUCUUUUUAUAAGAUAUUGCGGAAUUGGUCCCCAAACAAUAUAUGAUAAAAGUUUAUCAAAAUCCUUCAUUAAGAAGGUAUAUAUUUUCCAUAUAUAUAUAUCAAAACCUCGGGAUGUCAUGUUCCGAUACAGAUCAAAAGCAUAAACAAGACAUUAUAAGCCUUUCAACAGUUAUUUACAACUACUGGCCUAUAAUCCAAAAAUCUCUCGUCAUCCUCCGACUAUGCUCGGGGUCCACUACCUGUAAUCAUAAAACUGAGUGGGUCAGGCUUGGGAGCCUGGUGAGCAUAUAGGGUUUUCAACCCACAAUAAUAAUAUACUUAUUAAGUUCACCAAUCAACAAUAACCCUGAUUACCCAUUCCCGUUGUCCUCACUUUACGUCCCUAAACCCCUAUCACAAGGGACCUAGCCUAAGGAUUAUCAUCGGGAUGGACACUACUGCUAAGGGGUUUCCUCAGCCAUACAUGUCCUUAAGGCAACCAUGAGGGGGAUGAAGUACGCCAAUGAACAUUUAAUUCAUCAACACCUACAAGUUGCGAACCUGCUAGUGUUCCACUGGACUAUCUAGAAAGUCCGUGGUCGUCAUCUAUACUUCGCUAGAUGACUACAACAACAACACAACAUCGACAUCGAGGCCUCUCACCAUUUUAACACACAUCAACUAUUUCAUCUACCCAUGUUCUACCCAACAUAUUUUGUAGAUAAAAAGCAUAUACAGUUUAAAACUUGUAUAAAACAUCAAUUCAACAGUCACCUCGAAUAAACAAUUAGCAUAUUUACACAUAACACGUAUUUCAAGGUAAAUACUUCAUAUCUAUGUGUAAAUUGAAAGUAACUACACACUCACUUAUUUUGGUGAAAAUCGGGCAGCAAUUCGUUUCCUAAAACGAUCGUUUCUAAUAAAACCGGGAGUUUUAUUGAGAAACCGGGCUCUGCAAAAGUCGGGCUUCGAAACCGAAAAGAUAAAUUUUCCGGGCUUCUCGGGCACUUCGUGGGGUAUUCCGGGCUUUACAAUUGAUACCGGGGCUUUGCGGGAUGUUAAGAUGAAGAAAAUAUGGAGAGAGGGGCUAAAAAUGGCUAAAUUCCAAAAGUAACCGGAAACCCUCGCAGGUACCCUUCUAUUUAUAGGGUCCGAAGUUUGAUCCAACGGCUGAGAAGUCUCCUGAUCCGACGGCUAAGAGGCUUCGCAGGGGGGGUCUCGCACAUGGCUCGCAUGGCUCGCACAUGGCUCGCACAUGCGAGGGCUCGCUGUCGGCUUCUAAGUGGACCGCGGCUUGCUGGCGCACCUGCGAGGCUCGGAGCUAGGCUAUGCGAGGCUCGGACACACGCGGCAGCUGGGCGAAGCUUCGGCUGGGGAGCUGGCUGCUUCGGAUUGGGCCUCCUCCUCGGUCGAAUCAGAAGAGGACACGUGGCUCGCAUGACUCAGCAGCCUCGGUGACUCAGCAGCCUAAUGACUCAGCAGCCAGGUGACUCAGCAGGACACGUGUCACUUUCUAAGCGAGGGUGACGUGGCAAUUGUGACUAUGCGAAAUUUCUCGGUUUUCGUGCCAAAACUUCUAAAAUCCAUAACUUUCGCAUACGAGCUCCGUUUUUGACGUUCUUUAUAUGCACGCGUAGCUAAAAUUACGAUCUACAACUUCCGUUUAGACUUCGUCGGCUAAUUUUGACUUUAAUUUUUAUAUUAUUAUUUUUAACAGACCGGGACAGGAAAUCCGUUAAAAAUUCAUAACUUCUUCAUCCGACGUCCGUUUUCGUCAGACUUUUUACCGUUGUGCUCCUAAUGACGAGACCUUCAAUUCUCGUUUAGGUUGUGUCGGCUAAAAAUCGCUCGAUCUAAAAUUCGAGUUUUUAGCUGUCUACUGCUACGCUGAAACUUCGAAAAAUCAUAACUUCCUCAUACGAAGUCAGAUUUGGGCGUUCUUUUUAUCGAACUUCUCGGUUUAACGAAUACUACGACUUUCGUUUAGAUUACUAAGGCUAAAAAGUAGUUUAUCAAAAACUCACUUUUUACGACAUUCAGCACCGUGCCGGUUUUGUCGCGAAACUUCGACAGGUCAUAACUUCUUCGUUAUAACUCGGAUUUUGGUAUUCUUUAUAUCCCCGAAAUCCUUGUUUCGACCACUACAACUUUAUGUAAAGAUAUCGGGCUUAUCUCACACUUUAAUUUUGACGCUUAUUUUUAUUCUUAAUUAAUUAAGCCCUAAUAAUUAAGCAUAAAACACAUAAUUCACAUAAUAUUCACAUAAUUCCUUUUCAUUUCUUCAAAAUGAGUUACAAAGGUUAACCUAGACUAUCAACUCAAUAUAAAUGCCUAGGCUAGAAACACGAGUGUUACAAUUCUCUCCCCCUUAGGAUGAUUCCGUCCCCGGAAUCACAUAUCACCAAACAACUGCGGGUAGCGACUCAUCAUGUCACUCUCCGUUUCCCAAGUGAGAUUUGGUCCAUUCGUAUGUUUCCAGCGCACAAGCACUAAAUCGACCAUCUUGCGUCGUAACUUCAUAGUCUUACGGUCAACGAUUGCCUCAGGUUCUUCGAUCAACCUCUUGUUUUCAUCCAACCUUAACUCAGAAAUCGGAAUUAUGUCGGGCACAUCUCCUGUGAACUUUCUCAAAUAACACACAUGAAAGGUGUUAUGAAUACCCUCUAGUUCUUCCGGUAACUCUAGCUUGUAAGCUUGAUUCCCGAUUCUCUGAAGAACUUUAAAUGGUCCAAUAAACCUUGGACUCAACUUCCCUCUCUUACCAAAUCUUAUAAGUCCCUUCCACGGCGAGACUUUAAGUAAAACCGAAUCUCCAACAUCGAAGGAUAUCGGUUGUCUUUUCUUGUCAGCAUAACUCUUUUGUCGAUCUUGAGCAGCUAACAUCCUUUCCCUUAUCACUUUCAACUUUUCAGCAGUCUCAUGGACUAUUUCAGGUCCCAUAAACUGCUUUUCCCCAGCUUCCAGCCAACAUGAUGGCGUUCGACACUUCUCCCCAUACAAAGCGUGAUAAGGUGCCAUCUUAAUGCUUGAGUGGAAACUAUUAUUAUAGGAGAAUUCUACUAAAGGUAAGUGUUCAUCCCAGUUACCUUGGAAUUCUAGGGUACAUGCUCUCAGCAUAUCCUCCAAUGUUUGAAUCGUUCGCUCGCUCUGACCAUCGGUUUGCGGAUGGUAAGCUGUACUCAAACACAACUUGGUACCCAAUUCCUCUUGUAGACUCCUCCAAAACCUUGAGGUAAAACGGCUGUCACGAUCGGACACAAUCGUUAACGGAACACCGUGAAGCCUCACAAUUUCCUUCACGUAAGAAUUCGCAAGUUUAUCCAUAGACCAUUUCUCUUUGGCCGCUAUGAAAUGCGCACUCUUAGUGAAGCGAUCAACGACCACCCAAAUCAUGUCGUGACCGUUCCUUGUUCUGGGCAGUUUAGUCACAAAAUCCAUGGUGAUGUCUUCCCAUUUACCCAUGGGUACGGGUAAAGGUUCUAAACUCCCAUACGGUUUCUGAUGUUGUGCCUUAACCCUAGCACAAGUUACACACUCGGCCACAUACUUAGCAACAUCGAGCUUCAUCGUCGGCCACCAAUAAUAGGGUUUUAGAUCCCUAUACAUUUUCGUACUGCCGGGAUGAAUUGAGUACAUGGUCUUGUGAGCUUCUUCCAUCAGAAGAUCUCUUAUUCCGCCCGUCUUAGGUACCCAAAUUCUAUCUUGAAAUACCUUCAACCCUUGGUUGUUUGUACCGAACACUAACGUUUUGCCCAAACGUUCUUCCUUUCGGUCAUUUUUCUCUAAAGCUUCCUCUUGAGCUUUCUUUAUACUUUCCACAAUUGUCGAGACAACUUCAAUUCUCAACGCUCUUGGCCUUUUCUUUUCAAGGUUUACCUUCCGACUGAGAGCAUCGGCAACAACAUUUGCUUUACCAGGGUGGUAAAGUAUCUCACAGUCGUAGUCCUUGAGUAACUCUAGCCAGCGUCGUUGCCUCAUGUUCAAUUCCUUCUGAUUAAAGAGAUAUUGGAGACUCUUAUGAUCAGUGAAAAGUUUACACUUGGUGCCAUAAAGAUAAUGCCUCCAUAUCUUCAAGGCAAAUACUACCGCUGCCAACUCCAAAUCAUGAGUGGGGUAGUUCUUUUCAUGUUCCUUCAAUUGCCUCGAUGCAUACGCGAUCACUUUAUCCCUUUGGGUCAGAACACAACCUAACCCAACUCCGGAUGCAUCGCUAUAAACUGCAAAGUCAUCAACUCCUUCGGGCAAUGAAAGAAUCGGUGCUUCACACAAUCUCUUCUUCAACUUCUCAAAGGCUUCCUUAUGCUUCUCAUUCCAAGAAUAAGUGGCUCCUUUGUGGGUCAAAGCUGUUAAUGGAGUAGCAAUCGAAGAAAAGCCUUGGAUAAACCUUCGGUAAUAUCCAGCUAAUCCUAAAAAGCUUCGAAUCUCCGUAGGACUUUUUGGUUGUUCCCACUUCAUUACAGCUUCAAUCUUUGCUGGGUCGACCAUUAUCCCUUCUUGGUUAACCACAUGACCUAAAAAUUGGACUUCUUGAAUCCAAAAUUCACACUUGGAGAACUUUGCAUACAGCUUCUCCUUUUUCAGGACUUCUAGCACUUCACGCAGAUGCUUUUCAUGCUCCUGCUUGCUUUUCGAAUAAAUCAAGAUAUCAUCUAUGAAUACUAUCACGGAUUUAUCUAAGAAUGGUUUACAAACCCUAUUCAUCAAAUCCAUGAAAGCUGCUGGGGCAUUGGUUAGUCCGAACGACAUAACCAAAAAUUCAUAGUGUCCAUAUCUCGUUCUAAAAGCAGUCUUUUCGAUAUCCUGCUCUCUCACCUUUAGUUGAUGGUAUCCCGACCUAAGAUCGAUCUUCGAGAAAUAGCUCGAACCCUGCAACUGGUCGAACAAGUCAUCGAUCCUUGGCAACGGGUACUUGUUCUUUAUCGUCACUUUGUUCAGCUCUCUGUAAUCGAUGCACAUUCUCAUGCUUCCGUCUUUCUUCUUUACAAAUAACACAGGGGCUCCCCAGGGUGAUGAACUAGGUCGAAUGAAACCUUUGUCCAAUAACUCCUGAAGUUGUGUCAUAAGUUCUUUCAUUUCGGUUGGCGCUAAUCGAUAAGGUGCUUUCGCUAUCGGCGUCGUUCCUGGUAACAAGUCGAUACGAAAUUCUACUUGUCGAUCAGGGGGCAAUCCGGGAAGAUCUUCGGGAAAGACUUCCGGAUAAUCACACACCACCGGAAUAUUCUGCACCUCCUUCUUUUCCAUCUUGGCAUCGAUCACGAAUGCUAGAUAUGAUGUACAUCCCUUGGCCAAACACUUUCUGGCUUUCAUUAGGGAAAUGAUUCCAGAGUUUACUCUGCGUUUGUCUCCGUACACCAUAAACGACUCUCUCCCUGGUGGGUUUACUUUUACUAUCUUCUUUCUACAUAGUAUUUCUGCAUCGUUGGCGCUAAGCCAAUCCAUUCCUAAAACUAUGUCGAAUCCAUUUAACUCGAUAGGCAAUAAUUCCUCUUGGAACUUAUUCCCAUCCAAGUCAAUGAGGAUGUUUUUCAUACGAUGGCUAACAGGUACAAACUUGCCACUAGCAAUCUCGACUAUUAUAGCAUUAACUAGCAUAUCUACAGGCAAAGCUAGCUUUCUACCAAAUUCAUGCGAUAUAAAGGAGUAAUUGGCUCCAGAAUCAAACAAAAUUUGGGCAGGCAAUUCGUUUACGAGAAAGGUACCUGAAGCGACAUCGGCUUCUUCUUUCGCAGCUUCGAGGGUCAUCUGAAAGGCUCUCGCCUUCGGCUUUGGUGGUAGAUUGGGUUUUGCUGCGUCCUUCUUCUUCGGGCAGUCCCUCAAAAUAUGCCCUUCUUCAUUGCACCCAAAACAUACGUUCUUAUUGAAGGUGCAUUCAUUGGCAUAAUGCCCUGGCUUUCCACAUUUGUAACAAGUGACUUCCACGCUGCACUUCCCAGCAUGUUUCUUCUUACACUUGUCACACCACUUGGCUUCGCUUCCUCCUCCAAACUUUCUCGAACCAGUCUUCGAGAAUUUGUUCUUUUUAUUGGAACCUGAAGUUCCUUCAAACUUUCUCUUUUCGCCAACUUCAACCUUGCUGGCGGCUCUCCCUUUUAUCAUAUCUUCAACAGACUUGGCAGCCCAGAUAGCUGCCUCCAAAGUAAGUGCCUGACGUACUGGCACCGCAUACUCCCAUGGAAGUCCCUUUGCGUACCUGUCUAUUUUUGCCAACUCAUCUGGGACAAUACGCAAAGCAAACUCCAUUUUGUCUGUGAAGUUAUUUGUAUAUUCGUCAACGGUCAUACUCCCCUUCUGCAACGUUAGAAAUUGGUUUUCUAACUCAAGUACGUUUUGGGCCGAGCAGUACUUGCGCUUGAAGUGCACUAAGAACUCUGCCCAAGUUAAUUGCAGUGGCUCAUUAGGGCUUAGGGUUUUCCCCAAAGUGCUCCACCAACGAGCAGCACUACCCCUGAACUGACGUACUGCAAACGUAGUUUGUAACUUGCCUUGGCAAUCACAAGUCAUGAAAGCCAACUCCAUUUCCGAGAUCCAGUCCAUUACUCCGACAGGAUCUUCUUUUCCAUUGAAGGUCGAUGGCUUGCAAGUCAUAAAGUCCUUAUACUUGCACCCAUUUCUCUCCACUCUACCCUCGUGGUUAUUCCUCCCAACCACAAGCGGUUCACUAUGACCAACCGAUCUGCUAUUGUUCCCUUCUUCAGAUCGAUCGUCAUUUAGUUCACGUUGUUCAACAGGAACUGAAGGUUCAUCCCUGUCGUUCAGCAACAUUUGCCUCAAUUCCUCCCUCUGUUCAGCCAACAUGGCCUGAAUCAUAGUUCGUACUCCAGCCAUGGUGAUGGGUUCGGGUGCAGCUCCUACUAUAGGCACCUGUUCCACCACUGGAGGUUGAGGUUGUUGGUUUCUGUUUGCAUUUCCAGCUCCACUCCGAGUUCUUGCCAUUACAAUCUAUAUACCGAAUAAGGCGAAAUUUAGGUCUUUAUCCUUGUUAGACAUGUCAAUUCCCUUAUCACUCCGAAACGUUUACAUGUUAGUUCUAAUCUCGUAUUCAUACGCUUAGAAUCCUACACACAUAAGGUUUCCAGAUCCGGUCGGCAACAGACCAUAGAUCCGAACAAAUAAUGGCACACAUGGCAAACACAUAGCAUUUAGCACAUAAGGGCAUUUUAGGCAUCUUCCCUAAAAUAAACUAGUGCUCGUGUCUAAAAUAUGGUAGACACUCAUCUCACAAUCAUCACUUAGCAUUCUAAGUUCAAGUCUAGAAAUUCUACAAUUUCUUAGUUCGCUUAAACUAAUGCUCUGAUACCAACUGUGACAUCCCCAUAUUUCUCGGCCAGAAAAGACCGAUUUAAUUUAUGCUUUUUAAAAUAAAAUCAGAGAAAUCUUUUUAUAAGAUAUUUCGGAAUUGGUCCCCAAACAAUAUAUGAUAAAAGUUUUAUCAAAAUCCUUCAUUAAGAAGGUAUAUAUUUUCCAUAUAUAUAUCAAAACCUCGGGAUGUCAUGUUCCGAUACAGAUCAAAAGCAUAAACAAGACAUUAUAAGCCUUUCAACAGUUAUUUACAACUACUGGCCUAUAAUCCAAAAAUCUCUCGUCAUCCUCCGACUAUGCUCGGGGUCCACUACCUGUAAUCAUAAAACUGAGUGGGUCAGGCUUGGGAGCCUGGUGAGCAUAUAGGGUUUUCAACCCACAAUAAUAAUAUACUUAUUAAGUUCACCAAUCAACAAUAACCCUGAUUACCCAUUCCCGUUGUCCUCACUUUACGUCCCUAAACACCUAUCACAAGGGACCUAGCCUAAGGAUUAUCAUCGGGAUGGACACUACUGCUAAGGGGUUUCCUCAGCCAUACAUGUCCUUAAGGCAACCAUGAGGGGGAUGAAGUACGCCAAUGAACAUUUAAUUCAUCAACACCUACAAGUUGCGAACCUGCUAGUGUUCCACUGGACUAUCUAGAAAGUCCGUGGUCGUCAUCUAUACUUCGCUAGAUGACUACAACAACAACAACAACAACAACAUCGAGGCCUCUCACCAUUUUAACACACAUCAACUAUUUCAUCUACCCAUGUUCUACCCAACAUAUUUUGUAGAUAAAAAGCAUAUACAGUUUAAAACUUGUAUAAAACAUCAAUUCAACAGUCACCUCGAAUAAACAAUUAGCAUAUUUACACAUAACACGUAUUUCAAGGUAAAUACUUCAUAUCUAUGUGUAAAUUGAAAGUAACUACACACUCACUUAUUUUGGUGAAAAUCGGGCAGCAAUUCGUUUCCUAAAACGAUCGUUUCUAAUAAAACCGGGAGUUUUAUUGAGAAACCGGGCUCUGCAAAAGUCGGGCUUCGAAACCGAAAAGAUAAAUUUUCCGGGCUUCUCGGGCACUUCGUGGGGUAUUCCGGGCUUUACAAUUGAUACCGGGGCUUUGCGGGAUGUUAAGAUGAAGAAAAUAUGGAGAGAGGGGCUAAAAAUGGCUAAAUUCCAAAAGUAACCGGAAACCCUCGCAGGUACCCUUCUAUUUAUAGGGUCCGAAGUUUGAUCCAACGGCUGAGAAGUCUCCUGAUCCGACGGCUAAGAGGCUUCGCAGGGGGGGUCUCGCACAUGGCUCGCACAUGCGAGGGCUCGCUGUCGGCUUCUAAGUGGACCGCGGCUUGCUGGCGCACCUGCGAGGCUCGGAGCUAGGCUAUGCGAGGCUCGGACACACGCGGCAGCUGGGCGAAGCUUCGGCUGGGGAGCUGGCUGCUUCGGAUUGGGCCUCCUCCUCGGUCGAAUCAGAAGAGGGCACGUGGCUCGCAUGACUCAGCAGCCUCGGUGACUCAGCAGCCUAAUGACUCAGCAGCCAGGUGACUCAGCAGGACACGUGUCACUUUCUAAGCGAGGGUGACGUGGCAAUUGUGACUAUGCGAAAUUUCUCGGUUUUCGUGCCAAAACUUCUAAAAUCCAUAACUUUCGCAUACGAGCUCCGUUUUUGACGUUCUUUAUAUGCACGCGUAGCUAAAAUUACGAUCUACAACUUCCGUUUAGACUUCGUCGGCUAAUUUUGACUUUAAUUUUUAUAUUAUUAUUUUUAACAGACCGGGACAGGAAAUCCGUUAAAAAUUCAUAACUUCUUCAUCCGACGUCCGUUUUCGUCAGACUUUUUACCGUUGUGCUCCUAAUGACGAGACCUUCAAUUCUCGUUUAGGUUGUGUCGGCUAAAAAUCGCUCGAUCUAAAAUUCGAGUUUUUAGCUGUCUACUGCUACGCUGAAACUUCGAAAAAUCAUAACUUCCUCAUACGAAGUCAGAUUUGGGCGUUCUUUUUAUCGAACUUCUCGGUUUAACGAAUACUACAACUUUCCUUUAGAUUACUAAGGCUAAAAAGUAGUUUAUCAAAAACUCACUUUUUACGACAUUCAGCACCGUGCCGGUUUUAUCGCGAAACUUCGACAGGUCAUAACUUCUUCGUUAUAACUCGGAUUUUGGUAUUCUUUAUAUCCCCGAAAUCCUUGUUUCGACCACUACAACUUUAUGUAAAGAUAUCGGACUUAUCUCAGACUUUAAUUUUGACACUUAUUUUUAUUCUUAAUUAAUUAAGCCCUAAUAAUUAAGCAUAAAACACAUAAUUCACAUAAUAUUCACAUAACUCCUUUUCAUUUCUUCAAAAUGAGUUACAAAGGUUAACCUAGACUAUCAACUCAAUAUAAAUGCCUAGGCUAGAGACAUGAGUGUUACAAUAGGCCAAGAUUGACAGAUGAUUACAUCUGUGAGUUGAUCGCUACUGGGGUAGCUGCUGUUCUCCUGGUUGCCAUCCCUGAGUAAUUUGAGUCUAUCAAGACCGCUAUGAUUGAACUAUUUGAUGAGCAGUAUGCCGUUAUGUAUGAGGAUGCUAUUGCUGCAACUACCGCAACUGUUGCUGCUAAUGUAUGGAUUCAGUGAGGGAGAAAUGAUUAUUUAUGGAGAGGGUACCAGGGAUGGAUCGAACUUUUUUUUCUAAUAUCAGGGCUCGAAAAUAUUUACAUCAUGGGUGUAUGGUUUACCUCAUGUAUGUGGUUGACACUCGGGUAGAGAGGGAGGUCUCGGUUUCGGAUGUGCCUAUGGUCAUGGAGUUCCCAAAUGUGUUUAUGGAGGAAUUACCCGGUGUUCCUCCUGAGAGACAUGUUGAGUUCAAGAUCGAUUUGGUCCCUAGUGCGACCCUAAUUGCUAAGGCAUUGUACAAAUUAGCACCACCAGAGAUACAAGAGUUGUUUUCUCAGCUUCAGGAUCCGUUGGGCAAGUAGUUUAUCAGACCGAACAGUUCGCCUUAGUAUUAGAAAUAGCAAUGAUUUGAGUUUUAUUAAUAUUAUUUUAUCCCAUCAUUUGUUGGUUUGACAGCCAAACAAAUUGGCGCCGUUGCCGGGGAUACGGUAGUACUAAUUGUUUAUGCCAAGAUCUUUUCGCACAGGUACACCUUUACCAGUUGAUUUGGAGAUAGAAAAAUAUGCUAAAUAGAGAAGGAAGCAAGCCAGACUUUUAAAGAAACAACAACAAUCCGGAGCUUCUUCGUCAAAUCCAUCAACUACAUCCUCUCCAACAUCCAAAAAUAUCACCCACCAUCUUCACCUACUCCUACCAUGGCAGAUAACCAUGGAGGAAAUCAAAAUCCUCCACAUCCACCACCUGAACAAACCUUUAGACAAUGGGCCACUCAAGAUGUCACCCAACAACCGUUGUGCAUAAAUUACCUUGCAGCAAUCAACUUUGAACUCAAGUCUGGACUCAUCCAUUUGUUACCCUCAUUCCGUGGUCUUGAGAAUGAAGACCCACAUAAAUUCCUUAAGGAAUUUCAUGUUGUUUGUGUGGGUAUGAAGCCACAGAAGAUCAAAUCAAGUUAAGGGCAUUCCCCUUUGCUUUACAAGAUUUAGCCAAGGAGUGGUUGUAUGACUUAUCAUCGGGGUCAGUCACAACAUGGAAUGAACUUGCAAGGAUGUUUCUGGAUAAAUAUUUUCCAAAAAUGAGAGCUUCAGCUUUACGUAGAGAGAUAAUUGGCAUCAAGCAACAAAAGAGAGAAGCCUUGCAUACUUAUUGGGAACGGUUCAAGAAAUUGUGCUCAAGAUGUCCACAACAUGGGAUUACAGAAUAUCAGUUGCUGCAGUAUUUUUGUGAAGGAAUGUCAUCUUGGGAUAGGAGAUUACUCAAUGCAUCAAGUGGUGGAUCUAUAGCUGAUAAGACUCCAACAGAAAUCAGAGUUCUUAUAAAAAACAUGGCAGAAGAGUCCAAGCAUACAGUCCAAGAAGAAGAGUGGUACGGUGAUGCACCAAGGGGGGUGAACGAAAUUUCUACUCCAAAAAUUAAAAGUCAACUUUCUGAGUUGACUAAGGUAGUAAUGAUGCUUGCAAAGGGCAAGGGCGUGCAACCACCAACAGUUAGACCUUGUGGUAUUUGUACACAAGUUGGACAUCCAACCGACAUGUGCCCUCAACUUCAAGAGGAAGAUUAUGAAGAAGCAAAAGCCAUGGGAGGUUUUCUUGGAUCUAGUCAAAGGGGAUAUGAGCAGCCACGAGGUGAUCAAAGAUGGAACAACAAUCAAUGUUGGGGAGGAAAUCAACAAGGGAACUACCAACCAAGUCAACCACAUCAAUACCAACAAAGACUACCUUUUCCACCACAAAACUUUCAGCCAAGGCAACCACAACACCCUCCUCAACAAGCGGGUUCAUCAAGUAUGCCUUUAGAGGACAUAGUGAAAAGUUUGGCAACUAGUACACAAGUUUUCCAACAAGAGACAAAAGCAAGCAUAAAGAACUUAGAGAAACAAGUUUCACAGCUUGCUAUUUCCGUAAGCAAACUAGAAUCUCAAGGAAAGUUGCCUGCCCAAACUGAAGCAAACCCAAGGCACAAUGUAUGUGCCAUCACAUUGAGAAGCGGGAAGAGUUAUGAUGGUCCAAAAUUGUCGGUUGAUCAAAAGGAAGAAGAAAUAGUAGUUGAAGAGACGACCAAAGAAGAGAAGGAGGAAGAGAAAACAAUUGAAAAGAAGCCCUUCAUCACUGAGUCUAAAGCCACACCUGCUCCAUUUCCCGAAAGAUUAAAGAGCACGAAGAAAGAACGGGAGGAGAAUGAGAUCAUGCAAAUGUUCAAGAGAGUUCAAAUCAACAUUCCACUCCUCGAGGUCAUCAAGCAGGUACCUAGAUACGCAAGGUUCCUUAAGGAUCUUUGUGUAUCUAAAAAGAAAUUAAAAGGAAAUCAAGUCGUAACGGUUGGGGAGCAUGUAUCCGCGGUUUUGCAAAAGAGGAUGCCCCCGAAGUGCAAGGAUCCCGGUGUCUUUACCGUGCCUUGCAAGUUGGGAAAUCUUUAUGUACACCGAGCUAUGCUUGAUCUAGUUGCAUCCGUAAAUGUCCUACCAUAUUCUCUUUUCAAAUCAAUUGGUGUAGGAACAUUGAGCAAAACCGGUGUGAUCAUCUAACUUGCUGACCGGUCUUUGGUACACCCAAAGGGAGUAUUAGAGGACGUGUUAGUGCAAGUCGACAAAUUUGUCUUCCCGGCUGAUUUUUAUGUCUUAGAUAUGGGAGAUGAUGACUCUCCAAGUUCAAGUUCCAUACUUUUGGGUAGACCUUUUCUUAAAACUUCUAAAACAAAAAUCGAUGUCUACAAUGGAACUUUGAGUAUGGAAUUUGAUGGUGAAGUUAUCAACUUCAAUAUGCAUGAAGCAAAAAAGACUCCUUUUGAUGUUCAAUCUGUUAAUUUUGUCAAUUUGAUCAAUCCCUCAACAAAAAAGGGUUUGAACUUGUCUAACAAUGAAUUUCUAGAAUUAGUUUUGUCACGGAAACUAGACAGGGACAAAGCCAAAGAGCUUGCAAAGAAGUUUGAUAUGGAUAAUGAAGUGUUGGAGAUUUUAGAGUUUAUUGAUGACAAGAAGCAUGUGAGGAGUGAUGAUAUGUUAGAGAGGCCCACGUAUCCAGACUGAAGCACAAAUAGUUGGGGCAAAGUCGAGCCAACGACAUUAAAAAGGGGCGGCUAACCGGGAGGCAACCCGGGGGUAUUUUUGUCAUUUCGUAUAUUUUCGUUGUAUUUUCUUUGUUUUCAAACUUCCAAGUUGUUUUUCAUGCUAAAAGAGGGUUAAAAAUCAUUUUUCGGGCAGUAGAGGUUUAGCGGGUAGCAAUUUCAAAAAGUGAAAAAAUCAAUUUUUUUGGCCUUUUCAGAAGUUUACACGGCCGUGUAAACUUAUGCCUUUCAUUUACACGGGCCGUGUAAACGUUUAAACGCGGUAUAUCUGAUUCAGGGAUUUACAUGGCUGUGUAAAUUCUCCCAUUUGAUUUACACAGGCCGUGUAAACGCAAAAACAGAGCUGAACGAUUUUAAGGUCAAAUCUCGAUUUUUCUAACUCAUUCUUCUCUCAAUACCUGCGAUUCCUUCUCUCCCUACUGCCCCCCUUCGAAAAAACCCUUCCAAAUACUCAAUCUUCCUCCAUUUUGCAUCAAAAACCAAGCUCCAAGGUAUAAAAUUCUUCUCUUUUCUUCAUCUUCUUUAUCUUUCACAUCUAUUUCAACCUCUCAUGGCCGAUUUUGGGGUUUUUGAGCAAAACCCUAGAAUUUUUGAACUUCAAAAUUUCGACCUAAUGCUUGAAAUUUCUUGUAGGAUAAGCUUGGGGAUAGCUUGGGGGAAGCAUUGGAUAUCACCCUAUCACCAUUUUCAAGCACAAAUCGGUAUAAUUGUUCCAAACUCUUACUUUGUGCAUUUAGAUAGAACCACAUUUUUUUGGGUGAUUUUUGGUGAGACUUGCUAGUUCUUGUGCUUCAAUUGUCUUAAUUGUGUGCAAUUCUUUGUUGAUUCAUUUGGGUAAUGGCUUCCCGGGGUAAAAGACCUAGAAUUGGAACUUCACAGGAUGAACAAGACCCACACCCCUGGACAACCCUUAUGAAUUUGGUCUAAUUUUUGAGACCAAUAGACAUGAGAUACUGUAUGCAAAUCUUGUUACAAGAACAAUGGGUGCUCAAAAAUUUGUGGACAUCCAACCCCUCAAAGAUUUACAUAUCUAUAAGGUUGUCCACAAGCUCUUUAAAAACAUAGGAUGGGAGGGUCUUUUGAAUCUUCAUGCAGUUAGUUACCAAACACCGAUGUUGGAACUUUUGUCUUCUAUUACCUUUGACUAUCAAACUCAUCUCCUGACUUUCCGUUUGCUCAAUCAAAUCCAUCAGUUUCAUGCUGACAUUCUCUGUGAUAUGAUUGGUGCACCCAAAGCAAAAAGGGAUGUAUACACAACCAAGGGAAGAAAAAAUAUCAUUUUUGAGCAAAACUGUACAAAUUUUUGGAGAAGCAUUUCUUGUGAGUAUGACUAUCAGUCAGGCACAACCAAAGCUUCUAGCAUUAUCCAUCCGGUCUUGAAAGUCACCCACCGGAUCGUUGCUUCUCUCUUAUUCCCUCAAGAAGAGAUUAGCAAGACUAAUAAGAAAGAGCUAGAAGUCUUGUGGUGUAUGGUUCAUAAGCCUGCAGAAGUCCCUCAUUUUGGGUGUUGGGUUAUUCAAAAAAUGCUCAGAAGUGCUACGAGCCAUGGUGGGCAGCUAUAUUGUGGAGGCAUGGUUUCUGUUAUUGCUGAGCAUCUUGGCCUCCAUUUACCCAACAACCCAACAAACAUAGUCAUGGGCCGUACUCGUCUAUCCAUUGAUGUUAUGGAAACAAUGCAUCUCUUCCACCGCCUUCCCAUUGGGGAUGUUCAUUGGAUAGUAGAUGGGAAAGAGUAUCUACGCAUAGGCAAUAGAAACAAGAAGAUACUCAAUUUAGCCAAUGACAUUCCAUCAACCACUUGGAAACUCAGAUCCAGUUUAGGUGUUAUAGUAGAUCAUAGUCCUCCACCCUCUCCUCCUUCUGCACCUACUGCUGGUGCCUCUAGUUCAUCUCACCCCACUUCUUCUUCUGAACACAAUCUUUAUAUGGGUGAGUUUGGACGUUUGAACCACCGUUAGAUCAGUAUACUACAAGAAGUUGGAGAAAUUUAUACGAGUGUUGCUGAAAUCACUUCUGAUUUUCAAGACUACCGUAACUUGCAAGAAGAGCAUUGGGCCCACCAAUAGUUGCGGUGGGCUGAACAGGAUCAAAGAUGGGCCGCUCAAGAUCAGCACAACCGCAACAUUCAUCACCUGCUGAGCGAUAUCCAUAGAGUUCUUGUCCUCCCCACACAGCCGCAGCCACCAUCAACAUCUCAACCCCAAUGGCCUCCCUACUACCCUGCAGAUUAUCCUUCACAGUUCCCUCUGUACCAACCGCUCGGUCCUCAAUAGGACGGUUAUGCCUCUCUCCAAGCAUCGAGGACGAUGCUUAUUUUAAGCUUGGGGAGGGGCAUCCAUCCAUGCAUUAUCCCGUUGCAUGUAGGUUGCAUGUAAAUUUUGUACAUAUUGUAUUGCAUUGCAUUAUUAUUCUUUGUCAUUUAAAAAAAAAUUCAAAAAAAAAAAGUAAAAGUAAAAUUUUUCUUGAUCCAAUUCCAAGCAGCCAAAUCUUCUCAAAACAGUUGAGAUGGUAAGUGAGUUGUGUGCCUUGAGAUUUUACUUGCUCUUUUUAUUGAAAAAUCUAAAAGCAAGUUAAUCACACACGAGCACAUCUCCUGAAGCUACUUGUGCAAAGCAGAAAAUGAGAAGAUUGUCAACACUGGAGCAUAACAGCAGGUAUGAGUUGAUUCUUUGGGACAUAUGACCGGUCUUAUGAGUAGUAAUGCUCAAUUGAACUUAAAAUGCCAAAUUCAAAAGUUCAUAAAAAGAAUGCAAAAUCUCAAUGUCCCGCCUUCUAGCGCUCUUAAAAGUCCUUUCUACUUAUUCCCUUUUAUAUACCCUUCUUGAGGACAUAGCUUUCAACUAUACUUAUGGGUUUUUGCAUGUUAACAUUUAGUCCCCCGAAAAAUGUCUAGAAGUCCCUCACGGUAAUAGACCGUGAGAUGUCCCAUAGCAGAAAAGUCAAGGACGAAAAUAUAAAGAAAUCGGACAAAUAAAUAAAUAAAUAAAUAAAGUGUUAUGUGUUAACUUAGUUAUUUGUAUUUAAAUAAUAAUAAUAAUAGAUCUAAUUAAAAAAAACUAUUAUUAAGUUAAUCUGUGACAUUUGGGAUUCGAACAAGUAUACUCUGAGGGGUGUUCUACACCUAAUCACCUAAAGCUAAAUUGUUUGGGAUUGAUUGGGUUGAAAGUUCGCUACACGGGUUCCAUAGAAAGUCAUGAACUUAAUAAUAGCAAAUAAAGCUAAUCUGUGGCCUUUGAGGUUCGGGCAAGUAAACCCGAGGGAUCUCUUCAAAUCUAGCACACUAAGGUCAUUUGAUUUGGAUGUGUUGGUUGGAAGCCCGUUACACGGAUUUCAAAGAAAGCCAUGAGCUUUAUUUGUAAAAAAAAUGUAAUUAGGAAGUUUGUAUAUAGUUAUGUUUAUAGUUUAAUUAGAUGUUGUGUUUAGGAAAAAUACUUGGCUGUCAAAAGAUUCCCUUGGACUUGGAUUUGAAUUUAUGACAUUGGACUGAAUGUUAAUUACUUCGACUGGUGUAAGUGGUUUGAAGUUUGUAACCAAUCUGGAUAAAUAUUAGGGAAUUUUUAGAAAAUAUUUUUCAGAAAAAGAUUGUUGUUAACCAACAAAUAGCUGGAAUCGGACAUUGUUAUAUUUUAUGAAACAAAGAUGGUUGAGCAUGUUUUGUCACAUAUAAUUUCACGAGAGUAAGACCAUAAUUUGUUCCAAGAAUUGACUUGAUGAUAUUGAAAAGGAAUAAGUGUUGUGAUCUUUGAUUCUGUUGAGUUGUACUAGGGAGUGGCUAAAGUCUUGUCUCUAUUAUCAUAUAAUAUUUUGAGAUUAAAGCCAAGUUAACUCAAGGCAUGACAGGUACAUUCUCAACUAUGGUACAAAACAGGGUAAUUGGGUUGGAUCUUUUCAUGUUUGUUUUAAUUUCAUGCAUUAAGUUUCAAAUAGUUUUAACUUUAAUUUCUUUUCUUCUAUUUUAUUUUAUUUUCUCCGGUUUAAAUUCCUUGUUCUUUCUUGAGGACAAGAAAGGUUCAAGCUUGGGGAGAUUUGUUAGGUGCAUUUCAUGCAUUCAUUUUGUAGUUUUAGUUCAUAAAAGUGCAUUGCAUUUAGGUUUAAACUCAUGCAUUUUGCAUAUUUUUCGGGAUUUUUCAUGAUGCAAUUCCAUUCACACACUUUUAUGAUAUUUCAGGGACUUUUUGAAGGUUGGAAAUCGCUGGAGGAAGUUUAAAAGAACUGGAGACAGAGUUACAGAAGUUUUGGAGCUCAGAAGAAAGAGAAUGAAGAAUUUGGCUUCUCAGAAGUUUACACGGCCGUGUAAAUGCUCCCCUUUUAUUUACACGGGCCGUGUAAACGUACAUGCAAGGGCAGUCUACUUCGAUGACCUUGAAAGAUUAAGCAUUCUACUUCUAUUGUUUACACGGCCGUGUAAAUGGCACCCUUUAAUUUACACGGGCCGUGUAAACGUCUCGACAGUUUUAAAGUGGUUUUGUCUUCUUAUAAUUCAGACAAUCGGUUUUGUGAGGAGUUAGGUCGGAUUUUGGGAGAAAAGAAGGCGAUUUUCAGAACUUUUGCAAGUAGAUUAACACUUGGAAACACUUUAAUUUCCUUUUUGUAAGUCAAUUUGAAGUUUAAACUUGUUUGAUUUGUAGUUCAACCUAGACAUGUGUGGUUGAUUUCAUUAUCAUUUCCGAAUCUGAAUUCUUAAGUAUGUGUUGUUAGGUUGUAACUUGAAUUUGACUUGUGUUUAACAUCUAGUAAUCUUUGAUUUGAUCUUAAUUAUGUGUUUGGUUGGUUCUCUUUUUCACUUGAUCAAUGAAUUAGGGUUCUAGUCAAUCUAGUUAAUCAAAUUAUGAAAUUCGUAUAUGUUUUAUGAUUUGAUGUUAGUAACACACACUUACUUGGUUGUAAUUAGAUCAAAAUUAGUGUAAUCAAAGAUUAAAUGUUUAUAUUCCCAAGCUUAAGAGGAAUGUUAAACAUUGUUGGUAAUUAGUGCAAGAACUUAAUGUCAUUUAAUGAUUUGAUACAAGAGCUUAUUUGAAUUGAAUCAAUUAAAUGAAGUUUUAUUUGAAGAGCUUGUUUUGAAUAAAAUACUUUUGCUAAUUUGGAUAUUAGAGUUUAUUAAUAUCCAACUUACCAACCUAGAUUGAACAUGAGUUAUAAUCAUAUUACAUCUUUCAGCAUAAUACAUGUAUAAGAGUCAGAAUCGGAAAUGUACUUCUUUUACUGUAUUUGUUAUUAAUCUUUCUUAUCUAUGAAGUUUAAUUCAAGUUCAAACACAAUCCCCCAUUUUAAUAUUAUGUGUAUUAUGUGUGAAAAUAUGGCAAGAUAAGAAGUCAUGUAUUCCUGUGGACCGACCCUGCUUACUCUAUACUAUCUUUAGUAUUAGAAAUAGCAGUGAUUUGAGUUUUAUUAAUAUUAUUUUAUCCCAUCAUUUCUUGGUUUGACAGCCAAACAAACAAGCUAACGGUGAAGAGCCGUUACCUAGUUUUGUGGAUUGAUGACCUCUUCGAUAAAUUACAGGGUGAAUCUUGGUUCUCCAAGAUUUAUUUGAGGCCAGUGUAUCACCAUAUGAGGGUUAGGGAGCAGGAGGUGGAGAAGGCAACAUUCAGACACAUUAUGGUCACUAUGAGUUUGUGGUGAUGCCGUUUGGGUUCACCAAUGCACAUGUGACAUUGAUGGAUUUGAUGAAUCGAGUGUGCAGGCCGAUACCCGAUCUAUCAUUAUUGUUUUCGUCGAUGAUAUCCUGGUCUAUUCCAAGACCAGGAAGCAACAUGAGGGGCACCUUCGAGAGCUUUUGGGAUUUUGAGGCGGGAGCCAAGUUCUUGAAGUGUGAGUUUUGGUUAUGGGAGGUCCAGCUCUUGGGACACCUCGUUAACUAGAACCGGAUUUUGGUCGACCCGACCAAGAUUGAGGUUGUUACGCAAUGGGAGGUCCCGAAGUCUCCCUCGGAGAUCAGGAAUUUUCUAGGUUUAUCAGGGUAAUAUCAAAUAUUUAUUCAAGAUUUCUCCAAUGUUGUUGUGCCCCUCACUCAUCAGACGAGGAAGGGUGUGGAUUUUUGCUGGGGGCCUAAGCAGCAUGCUGCAUUUAAGACACUAAGAUAGAAGUUAUGUAAGGCCCAGUGUUAACUCUUCCCGAAGGUGUAUUGGAUUUUAUGGUAUAUUGUGAUGCAUCCAUCACCAGUUUGGGGGCAAUACUCAUGUAGAGAGGGAGGUUGAUUGCUUAUGCUUCUAGGCAGUUGAAGCCACAUGAGGUUCGUUAUCCGAUGCAUGAUCUUGAUUUGGGGGGGGGGGGUGGUGUUUGCCUUCAAGAUUUGGUGGAAUUAUAUGUAUGGGUUCCGGUGUACCAUCUACAUGAAUCACAAGAGUUUGAGAUAUCUCAUGGAUCAGCUAAAUCUGAACAUGAGAUAACGCACGUGGCUUGACGUGGUCAAGAAUUAUGACUGCGCGAUUUUAUACCACCUGGGGAAAGAGACUAUGGUUGCUUAUGCUUUGAGUCGCAAGUCAAUUGGUUCUUUUGUUGGGAGCUUAUGUAUGAGGAUUUUGACCGAUUCGCCACUUCUGAAUUUGAUUAGGGAGACUUAGGUAGAGAGAGUCAAGAAAGAGAACUGGAAAUAGGAGCAAAUCAGGGGUGAGAUCGACAUGUUUUCUACCGAUAGCCGUGGAUUAUUGACCCGGUGUGGUCGGGUUUGGGUACAAGAUUUUGCAAGAUUAGACAGACUGUGCUGAAGGAGGCACAUAAGUGCAUAUUUUAAAUACACCAUAGAGCCACCGAGAUGUAUCUGGAUUUCUACUUAGUUACUGGUGGUCGUGUAUGAAGAGGGAUAUAGCCUGGUAUGUUGAGAGGCACUUGACCUGUUUGAUGGUCAAGGCCGAGCACUGGAGGCCGCAUGGCAAGCUUCUGCCUUUGGAGGUUCCCAUGUGGAAAUAGAAAUAGAUCACCAUGGAUUUCAUCUCCAAGUUACCUCAGAUGGCUAAUGGAUUUGAUGCGAUAUGGGUUAUCAUGGGCUGUUUGACCAAGAGUUCCCACUUUCUAGCUAUUUAGGAGAGCUCUUUGGCCGAGAAAUUGGCCGAUGUUUAUGUGCACGAGAUUGUUGCUUGACAUGGUGUUCCAUUUUCCAUUGUAUAUGAUAGAGAUGUUUGGUUCACUUUUCAAUUUUGGCAGAGGUUCCAUGAGGAACUGGAUACGAAAUUGAACUUUAGCACUGCUUAUCAUCCGCAGACGGAUGGUCUGAGCAAGAGGACCAUCCAGACACUCGAGGAUAUGUUGCGAGCCUGUGUGAUCGAUUUCGGUGGGAGUUGGGACUCCUACCUGCCCCUAGCUGAGUUUUCUUACGACAACAACUAUCACUCCAGUAUCGAUACACCGCCAUUUGAGCUUCUCUAUGGGAGGAAGUGUCAUACCCCAGUCUAUUGGAGAGAGACCGGUCACAGGAUCAUGGGAAAGACCAAGGUAGUUCUCCAGAUGAAAGAGCUUAUUCAGCAGAUUAGACAUAGGUUGUAGACAACUCAGAGUUGAAAAAAGAGUUAUUUUGAUAGACGUUGAUCUGAGUUAGAGUUCCAGGUUGGCAAUAUGGUUUUACUAAAUGUAUCACACUGGAAGGGUGUAAUACGCUUAAGGAAGAGGGGCAAGUUGGGGCCCCUAUAUGUUGGGUCGUUUCGAGUGAUUUCCAGGGUUGACAGGGUAGCCUAUCGAGUGGAUCUGCCUAAGGAGCUCAAACAGAUUCACAACAUCUUUCAUGUUUCCCAGCUACGGAAGUGUAUAACUGAUGAUUCAACAAUAGUUCCUUUAGAUGAUAUUUAGGUCGAUGAUCGACUGAGCUAUAUUGAGAGGCCGGUGGCAAUUUUGGAUAGGAAGAUAAAGGCAUUGCGCAACAAGGUUGUUCCAUUGGUCAAAGUUUAGUGGAAGCAUCGAAAGGGUUCCGAAUGGACUUGGGAACCUGAGGCAGAGAUGCGAAAGUAUUACCCUGGGUUAUUCAUGAAAUUAAAAUUCAAGGAUGAAUUCUGAAUCAAGUAGGAGAGAAUUGUAACACCUCAAUCUAGGUAUUUUUUGUUUAUAGCCUUAGAAUGAAAUUAUAAUGCAAAUUUGGCCCCUUUGGCUCACUAGGAGAAGUCGUGUGUUUUUUCCAAGUACGUUGGGUGUACUCAGCGUACGCAAAGUGUAUUUGGCUAGGUUCAAACCAUAAUUUUUAGGGUUUGAGCCCUAUUUAUACAACAUUAUCUCUUCAAGACCACUUCCCUCAUUAGCCUCCAUCUCCCCGAUCGUCCCUAGCUAACCCUAAUCCAUUGUGUGAGCAUUUUGAGCUUGAAAGUGUGCUUUUAGUGAUCUUGAAGGAAGAAGAAAAAAGUGGAACCAACUUGGAAGCUGAAGGCAUCUUGGAUCAAAAAGUAUCUUUCCAUCAAGCAUCAUUUGGAGGUAUAAAGCUUGGAUCUUGAUGUGUUGAUUGCUUAUAUCUUGUUAGUCUAGAGUUUGUAUGCAUUUUUAGUCCCAUAGUUUGGUUUAAUUGAGUAUGAGUUACUCCAGGUCCUUGAAAUGUAUUUUAUUGUAGUUUUGAGCUCAUAGAUUCUAAAAAUGAGAGCUUGGACACUCUCAUUGAGCCAUGUAAGAGUAUUGGGACUUUGGAUGACUUUUGGACCAAGGGUUUGAGUUUUCCCUCUUGUAUGCAUGAAAAUGGAUAAAGUUUGAGACUUUAUCCAUUAAGACUACCCUUUUUAUCUGAAUAUAAAGUUUGGAGCUUUGGCUUAAUAAAAUAAGAGCUUAAUGGAAAAGUAGGGGUUUAGCUCUGCUACGCUGGGUGUACCUGGAGGUACACUGCGCGUACCAGGUAUCGAUCUUUUGUUUUAGAGGGCACCCUCUACGCUGGGGUUAGAGGGGAGUACGUAGGGCAUACUUAGCCCAGAUGGAAAUGUUGACUUUUGACCUUGACUUUUGACUAGGAUUUUAACCAAGUUUGACCUAGGGGUAUUUUGGGUAUUUUAAGUAGUAGUUUGAUAUUAGGUCAUUGUUUAUUGUAUAGGUGGCCUGUAGAGUUGGCAUUUGGUGCAACAAACUUUUCUGCUAUCUUCUCAGGCUGUGAGGUGAGUUUUCCUCACUGUACUUGUGGGUUGAAGGCACCAAUGCCAGCCCACUGGAUUAUGUAUCAUGGUAUAUUAGAUUAAUGUUAUGCUGAGUAUGUGUUAAAUUGGUAGAUCUGUAUGAUUACCUGUGUUCUUUGAGUAUGCAUUAGAUUGGUACAUAUGUAUAAUUAUAUUUGUUCUUGUUUACUGAUUGUUAUUGUAUAUGUCAACAUGUUUUUAUUUGUUGGGUUGAGGCGGUCCUACUUUGUGCUGAAGGCCAAGAUACCCGAGGUAGUCCGGAUAGAUUGAAGUCCUGUGAGGAGGUCGAGUUAGGCCGAAGGCCUGGAGAGCGGUCAAAAUAGGCUGUAGGCCCUGCGAGGUGGUCCAGUCAAGAUGAAGGCACAUAUAUACAUGCUCUUAUCUUUUUUGGUUGUGUGUGGUACUGUGGGGGAACUCACUAAGCUUUGGCUUACAGUUUAAGUUUUAUGUUUCAGGUACUUCAGAUGAUCGGGGAACAGCAAAGGCGUGACUGAACGUAUCAUUGGGUGAUAUGUUUUGGAGAUGUUAUGAUACUCUGAUUUUGGAACAUUUGUACUUAAUCUUGGGUUCUUAUGAUUUGGGUUGAUUAAAAACAAUGAUUUCUCAUUAAUUGAAAAUGAAAAUUUUUAUUGCGAUUUUGGGAUGUUACAAUAGGUGGGUUGCACCUAAUCCCACAUCGACUGGGAAGAUGAACUAAGCAUUUCUUAUAAGGGGUGUGGAUAGCUUCCCUGUCACAACGCGUUUUAAAGCCUUGAGGGCAACAGAUUCCAUAAGAGCUCUACAGUUAAGCGUGCUCGGGCGAGAAUAGUACCAGGAUGGGUGACCCCCUGGGAAGUCCUCAUGCUGAGUAGCCCAAAGCAUACAAUAUUGUGAUACAUUCCAGAGGGGGAUGUUAUAAACGAUAUCAAAUCUAGGUCACAGGUCGAUGUGUUGAACAUGGACGUCGAACCCUGUAAUAGGGGGGGUGAUGGUGGGUUGCAUCGGAUCCCAUAUUGGCUGGGAAGGACAACUAUGCAUUCCUUAUAAGGAGUGUGGAUACAUUCUCUGGAACAAUGCGUUUUAAAGCCGUGACGACAACAAAUACCAUAAGAACUCGUGACUAGUGGCCCAAAGCGGAUAAUAUUGUGAUACUUGCCAAUGGGGGAUGUUACAAUUCUCCUUAAGAUAGGUCUCUAUAGACAAAUAAAUAAGAUAAUGGGAAUGGGUAAUUGGUUUAAUUGUUUGAUCUAAAAUCGAUAAUUAAACAAAUUAACUAUACUAUUAUGGGUUGAAAACCUUAUGUACGAACCAGGUUUUCCCAACCUAAUCCACUUAGUUUCUUUGUAUCACAGGAAGUACUACAAAGAUAAUGAUGUUCAGAACUGAUGAGAGAUUCGAGGAUAUAUAGGCCAUAGUAGAGAAUAUAUUGUAAGGUCUGUAACGACUACGUUUAUGCUUUUGUUUCAUGUAUCAGUUAUGACUGUUAAAAUGGGGAUGUCAUAGCAGGGCACUCUCGUCCCAGUGGGAUGCAUGUUUUUUUGGGUUAUUGAGGUAUUUAAAGGCUAUUAACCCUUAGGGUUUGAUCAUUUUCAGCCUCCAACACAUCUAGAUCAUUCUUUGGGUGAAACCCUAGCAUCCUUUGAGUAAGGUGAGCUUAUCCUAUCUUUUAAACCAUUUUAGGGUGUAUUCUAGUGGUGAUUUGAUGAUUAUUACAGAUCAAGAAAGUCUUGUUGGUUGCAAGGGAUGUUGUUUUAAGUUUGAAUCCAUGAAGUUCAUACCUUUUCUAGACUUUUGUAAGUAAAAAGAUUCAACCUUUGCUUUCUAGUUGUUAGAUCUUAGCAAUGUUCCCUUUUAUGCACUUUUGGUCCCAUUUUGGUGGUGAGUUUGGAAUUGAGAUAACUCCAACUCCUUUUAAGAACUUAGGAUUGUUGAGUGGACCAUAUAUGUAACGCCCGUAGAUCCGGGCUAGUCAAUUUAGAGGCAAUAGGGGUCGAAAACGACUUUUCGACAAAAGAUUAUUAAGAAUAAAUAAUCUCAACCAAGGUUUAGUAUAUGUUACAAGGUUUCCGUACAUAUAAAGAGCGUCGAAAUCCGAGUUAUAACGAAGAAGUUAUGACCCGUCGAAGUUUCGCGACGGAACCGACACGAUACCGGGAGGCGUAAAUAGUGAAUUUACGAUAGAGCGAGAUUUAGCCUUAGCGAUCUAAACGAAAGUCGUAGUAUAUGUUAAACUGAUAGUGUGAAUAAAAAGAACAUCCAAAUCUGAAUUCGUAUGAGGAAGUUAUGAUUUUUCUAAGAUUUAGCAUAACAGUGCACAACCCGAAAUCUGAAUUUUAGAUCGGUCGAUUUUUAGCCAAAAUAAUCUAAACAAUAAAUGAAGAUAUCGUUAAUAGGAGUUAAACGAUAAAAAGACAUUCGAAAACGAAGCUCGUAUGAGAAAGAUAUAGACUAAGCUUAGUCCCUACUCUUCGAGCGUUGCGAAUUCGAUACAGUUUUGUAAAUCUGAGAUAGAGUGAGAAUUAGCCGACAGGAUCUAAAUAAAAGUUGUAGUACUCGUAAAUACCAACGCGUGGAUAUAAAUAACAUCGAUAAUAGAGCUUGUAUGCGAAAGUUAUGGACGAAGCUUAGUCCCUACUUUUCGAGCGCGGCGAAUUCGAUACAGUUUUGUAAAUCCGAGAUAGAAUGAGAAUUAGCCAACGAGGUCUAAAUGAAAGUUGAAGAUCUCAUUAAUAGGAACUCAACGGUAAAAAGACAGACAAAAACGGAGCUCGUAUGCAAAAGUUACGGACGAAGCUUAGAGACUACUUUACUAUAAAACUCCUAUAAAUACAAGGGUGAACUCCUCAUAUUUUCUUCACACCAUAAGCCUCUCUUUCUCUCUCUAACUUCUCUCUAGCCUCCCUAAACCCCUCCCAAGUCUACGGAACCUCCCUAGCACGAGAAGAAAGCCCCGGAGCGCCCGACGGCUCCGAGAAGAAAAGCUUUCGGCUUGGAAACGCUGCUCCAGCGAAGCCCGGUUUUUAAUAAAAACUCGCUGUAAGUGAGCUACGCCUAUACUAUAUUUAAUAUAGAUUUUAUUUAAUUAUAGUAACAUUAUUAGGACCUUAAAAUAAUUAUUUGGGCUAUUAUUAUGAGUUAUAUUGAGUGUUAUUUAACGCUUAUAUAAUAGUAAUAAUAGCUACACUAUUAAUUAGUCGCGAUUAACGUUAAAACUAAACUCUAGUGGUAUUCAUACUAGGUUUUGGUCAAUGAAAAAUUGUUUUAAGAGUAACGAAGUGCUGUCAGAGUGGCAACUCACCACCUUUCAGGUGAGUGCAUAGUUACUUUCAUCUUACACAUAGAUUGAAGUAUUUNAAAGGAUUUAAACUGUAUACGUAUUUUAUAUAUACAAAUAUGUUGGGUAUGACAUGGGUAGAUGAACGAUGAGAGAUAAAAGAUGAUGUGAGUAAACAUUGGCAGCUAUGGACUUAGUGCCUAAUAAACAUCGGCAACUAUGGACUUAGUGCCUAUUGGACAAACACCGGUAGCUAUGGAUUUAGUACCUGUUGGGAAUUGGUAGCUAUGGACUUAGUACCUAUUAGAUAAACACUGGUAGCUAUGGAUUUAGUACCCGAUGAAUAGACUAUAGCAGCUAUGGAAUUAGUGCUUUACGAACGAACAUUAGCAGCUAUGGACUUAGUGCCAGUCCUAUAACCUUGGAAGUAAGGGACUUCGGAAUAAACGAAUGCAGGAUAGAUGACUCUUAGGUUAAAUCGUUAAGAGUAAAGAAGAUAAUGGGGAUGGGUAAUUGGGUUGAUUGUUUAAACAUAAUAAUUAUAAUAUUGUGGGUUGAAAACCCUAUGUACUCACCAGGUUUCCCAAUCUGACCCACUCAGUUUAUUUAUAUCACAGGUGUUGAUACAAAGUCACGUUACACUGAGAGAUUAAAGAGAUGUAGAUCACUAGUGUAAAUAAAUGUGAGUUCCAUUUAUGCUUAUGUUUCUGUAUUGAUGAUGACAUCCCAAACAUUUUAAAAUGAAUAAAAUACGUUUCUUUGAAAAUGUUUUGAUAACGUAUUUAUCGUGUUUUUCUGGGAACAAAUUCCGCAACAUUUUUAUGAAAUGAAGUACUCUAAUUUUUAUAAUGCAUAAACAAAAUCGGUCUUUUCUGGCCGUGAAAAUUGGGGAUGUCACAAUAUAGACAUGGAAAGUUGGCAUCUUGUGCAUGUUAUUUUAACCAUGAAUAUUAUUUUGGUCCUUUUUGUUCUUUCUGGUGCAUUAAAUUCUAGAUCUUGUAAGCUUGUGGUAUUGUUAUGGAUAAAGUUGGUCCAUUUAGACCUUAUGAAGAUACGGAAUUUAGGGUAUGGACUUAAUGGAUUAAGUCCUUUAACCGUUUGGAUUAAGUAAGGGCGACGCCCCCUUCCUCAGUGCGACACACUUCAAGGGUUUUCUAAUAUGCACUUGAUUAUGAGCAAGAUACCGACUGUUUUGUGCUAUAGUGGGCGCUAUGCGCCUGGGAGAGGGUGCAGUGUGCUUGUUGCCCAAACUGUUGAAUUUGGCCAUUGACCGUUGACUUUUGACAAGUUUGACUUUUGCUUAGAAUUUUGUAGAGCUAAGUAUUUGACUAUGCCAAUGGUCGCGAUUUGGCAUUAGCUAGAUUGGGUUAGAUGUUAUGUGGCUCAGGUAGCUGUUGAGCUUAUGUUGAGUAGUUCAAGUGAGUAUACUCUCUAUAAUGUGUAGGACACUAGGUGUCGUUUUGUGCUUGUUGUCUUUGUGACUCUUGCUGUACGCUUGUAUGAACAAUCAUGGGGGAACCCAUGGAAAUUGUAGGAGUGUUGUGAGACUACAAAUAUUUCCUUGUAGUAUUCACUUAGGAUGAAAUAUGUCCGUUGGCUGAAAUAGACCAUUAUAGUAGUGAUUGUAAGACUAUGAUUUGACCCAUAACAUUCAAUUGGGGUGAAAUAGGCCCACUGGCUGAAAUCGGCCGUAGUACAUGUUUAUCAUUAUCUAUGGUACGUGGUAUUUUACAAAACUCAUUAAGAUUUAUGCUUAUGGUUUUAAGUUUAAAUGUUGCUGGUCUUUUUGGCAGUUUUGGAAGAGCACGACGUGAUUACAUCACAUCUGCUGUUAUGUUUGCAAGAUGUUCAAUAUUACGAUAUUAAUACUCUUAUUAAAUGUUUUCAAAACACUUUAAUAUAUGAUAUUAUGUAUGAAUGACAUGGUUUCCCUUGAUUUUAAAAUGAAAAUUUUGGUUUGAAAUUUGGGACGUUACAAGUUGGUAUCAGAGCCUUAGUUUGAGGGAUUCGGUCCCACUCUAGUAAGUUUUUUCAAAAAGAAAAGGAUGCGAUGUGUGCAUUCAGUCAAAUCUCAAGUAAGUGAUUCCCAGAAUACCCAUGCAUGUGGAUAUGUUAUAUGUUUUAGAUUAUGAUAUGCAUGUUAGAAGUUAAAUAAGAAUCUCAUCAGGGUUGUAUGCUGCAAGCCUGCUUAAGAGAGAUGCCUUUUAUGCCUGAUAUAUGAACUUUAUGAACUUUAAGAGAUGCAUGAAAGUGCGUAGGCUAAGGAUCUUCCGAAAUUGUGAGUUAGAAUUGCCUGAUCUUUAUGAUGCCUUGUUGCAUGUUGGAUAUGUUUCUCGAAUGCUUCUUGUUUCUUGCAAUGUGAAACUUAUAUUGAUAUUAAUUAGCUAUUAAGCGAAUACGUUAGGUUACAUGCCACAAAGAUCAAAUAGUUUUAGAAUGUUGGAUUUGGUCCUAUUUCCAACCGUUGUAGAGCAGGAUCUUCGAGUCGAAGAACUGUUUAAUUUUUGUUGUAUGUAAUUGUAUACGUAAGAUAUUUAGUUGACGUUGGUAGAAGUUUCUUCCGCAGUUGAUAGUAGGGAAGAGUGGGAAUUCCUAAUGACCUUGGAAGAAUGUUAGAAUAUGAUAUUUUAGGCACUUGAAUUAGAGAAAUCCUAUAAGGAGAAUCUAGGAAGAUUAGCGGUGUGUACUCAUCUGAGAGCGGCUAUAUGUGGUUGGAUUGGUUGGUAGUGGUCAUGUAAGCCUUGAUAUAAUUCUUAGGACAAGUAUGGAUAAGUGUGGAAGGUAGUAUGAGCUCGUACUACUAAAAGCACAUGAGUUGUACUAGGAUCAAGAAUAUUCGAAAAGGUUUCUAAGGAGUUGGUUGAGGGUAGAUAGCAUGGUUUGGCAUCAUGAUUCAUUGUAGCGUGUUUCCGUCUCUAUCGAUCUAUCAGUUAUGGUUGUUCAUGAUGAAUACAGGUCUAGAAAUUGUUUGGGCCUUAGUGGACAUGACAUAUUGGGUCUAAAUGGUGUAGACCUAUGUGACUUAACUGAUUCUAAGGUCUUGAGGGCCAUGUUUGAAGUAGUGACAGUUUGAGACUGGACUCAAGUGGGAUGCGAUUGUGAUGAAUGACUCGAUGAUUGCAACCUGAAUCUGGUUCGUCGUCCGACGGCUUAGGAUGUAGACCCAACGCGAGAUGCAUGAGCGGGUGCAAGUUCAGGCACCACCGAAGUAAGAUAUUAAGGCUUUGGAUAUUCUUUUGGAUGGAUUAGAUGGUUGUGGUUGUUGCAACAAGUGUGGGAAUGAACAAUAAGGUUCUUGUGGUAUUUUUGCCUCAAGAUAUUUCAGACAAGGCCAAGAAAUUCAUUUAUGUUGAGACUGUACUAGGAGUGAUCAAUGGUCUAAUUUCUUUGAAAUCAUUUAAGUUAUAUUCUAGCUGAUUAUUUCAUGCAAUCAGGAGAGGUGAUUGGAUACCAACAAUUUCCUUUUUCUCCAAUAUGUACCAACUAUGAGGGUGAUGCCUCUUGUAUUUAUGUUGAUUUUAUGAGGAAUCAUUUGAUGAGAACUUGUAUGCAAGGUAUGUGGUUAGUCCAUAUGUGCUAACUAGAGAAUUGGUGGUAUGUGUGGACUGUCAGAGUUAUUUCUUGUGCAUCUGCAUGGGGUUCUUAAUGUUCAAGGUGGUAGUGCCGGGGAAAGUUUCCGAGGUCUCCAUUUGAGAUUUAGAGUUUUCUCGAGUUUGAUUGGUCUUCUCUUAAAGGGUCAUGUUAUGUUGUGUAAUAUAUUCCAAGAGUCAGGGUUGGUAUGUAUCUGGUUGAUCCGGUUUGAGUCUGAGUUGUUUGCAAACGUUAAUUAGUGGUAGUUCAAACCCUAAGUGGGGGAGAACCAAGUAUCAAAUCAGAGGAUCAAUGGAUCGUUCGAUUUUGUGGUCUCGGUACAGUGGAUCAUAAGAAUGCAAGAUUUCAAGUAUGCUAGAUUUUAGUAAAGUUACUUGCUGCAUAAGAAAAGGAAAGUAGGCUCCAUCAAAGUGCUCGCGGUUAGGAAGUUGUCUUGUUGUGUUUCUCAAGGAUCCGUCGAAGUCCUUCAUAAUCAAGGAGAAUUCGAGGAUUGGUCGAAUUGUGAGUACAUUGCAAGUUUCCAUCAAGUUUAUGUCUUCAGGGAUGCGUGUGUUGUCCUCACAUCAAAACGCUAUUGGGCAAGGAACUCAUUAUGGUCAGUAGUUCCUUUCGGAUGAACCAAGGAUCUUUAUAGAGGAGCAUUUUGAGCCGCUCAGGUUGUCAAUUAGAUGUAGAGAACAUAGUUGGCUCGUAGUAUGGUGCGAUUAUCUUUGAUCAAUAUUGGGCAAUGGUUGACCUGUCAUUCGAAUUUAGGGUUCAGUAUGCAUAUUUCUAUGUGGGCUUCUUUAGCAAUAUGUGAGAUCAUUGGGAUUAGUUUAUUUAUCCACUUCCAAUCGGUUGCUAUUCCAUUCAUCAACAACAAUUGAGGUUGUUCAAAGGUUUCGAGCUAUGUUAGUUGAAGGUGUAGUUGGUGCGUUAACCAUUCGUUAAGUUUUGUAAGGUAGAUAUCUUGGUUUCUAGGUACGUGUACCCUCGAUUGUUGGUUGUGCAAUUAUUGUUCAUAGAGAGCUCGAGUUUGGAAGAUGUUCUUGCUUAUUGGAAGUUCAGAUGUCAGAGCGGUAUUGUUCAGUUUUUCAUGUGUGACCUUGGAUCUACACAGAGUCUAAUUUUGACAUGUCACUUCGGUAGGUUGGUAUUUGGGUUUAUCCGAUUAGGGUUCUAACAACAUUUGCAGAUAAUUUUGGAAUCUUCCUCCGAACCUGGAAUUUUUAUCAGGUUAGUUGCGCAUUGGUGGGAUGUGUUUAGUUUCAACUAAGGUGUGGGAUCUUUUUCGAUUGUUCAUGAUGAUGUUUCUAUUAGCGGUUGAGGUUCGUUUCACAUGGUUAUGAGGACUUUAGGUGGAUUGAAUAAAUGUAACAUCAAGUUCCAGGUAUAAUUACUUUUGUGGUUGUGGGCAUUUAUGGAUUAAAAUACAAGACUUUUUUGGUGGUCAUGACGUGGUGAUGAUAGGACCAUGAUGUGGUGACACCAGAUGAAACACACAUUCGUUUUGAGUGCCACGACGUGGAAGGAUAUUGGCCAUUAUGUGGAAGCCGUCUGUAUGCAAAACCCUAAUUUUCUGGGCCUUAAGCACUAUUUAAAGGAUAUGAUGGGUAGGGUUUGCACACCCUCAACCUCCAUCACCUCCCUUUGACCCCAAGAAAACUUUAGCCCCUAUUGUUGAGUUUUUGAAGCUUUUGGUGGCGAUUUUGGUGCCUUGAAGGAGAAUAAGGUGUCUAUUGAGUGUAGAUCCAACAAGUAAGUUCCUCCUCCAUAUUCUAGCACAUAUUCUAGAUUAUUAUGAGUCUUCAUGUUCCAAUCUUUAUGUGCUAUGUUUCUAGAUCUAGCCUUUGAUGCAUUUUUCUUCCUGUUUGGGUUAGUUUGUGUGGUGGGAUCCCAUAUGUUCCAGAUCUGAAGUCUUAUUGAGUUUUGAUUCCUUACAUGAGGGUUUGAUCUCAUUUUCAUCAUUUUUGACCUAGUUGGAGUUCAAUACAUGCAUUGGACAUGCAUGUCUAUAAAACAUAGAUUUUUAUGAAUCAUUGAGUGAGCGAAAGCGUUUUGGGAAGUAUGGAUGUGUAAAUUGAAGGAUUAAGAUCUUAAUGCAUUAAGUUGGCCAGAUCAAUUCCCACGAUGUGGCGUCUAAUGGUCUUCGUGAUUACUUUGUCAUGAGGUCAUCAUGAUGUGACAAAUGCUUGGCCAUAACGUGAUAACCGACUGAUGGACUUUUGACUGUUGACUUUUUAACCUAGCUGAAUUUUGGUCAACUUGAGGGUUUUGCACCAUGGAUUGAGAAUUGGUCCUUGAUUGUUGUAUAGGUGACUCGUAGUACCAGUUCUUUGAUUGUGUGAACUGUAAUGUUUAUCUGCUAGGAUGCCAGAUGAUUUUUCUUACUAUACUUUGUACUAUAGUAUAUAUUAUGGUGUGUAGGAUGUUGGUACGUUGUAGUGACUUGUUAGGUUGGUAGAUAUGUAUGAUUACAUGUGUUUGCAGGUUAUUGUUUAUUUAUUGCAUAUGUCGACAUAUUGUGGUUGGUUUGAGGCGGUCCUACUUUGUGUUGUAGGCCAAGAUACUCGGGCGGUCCAGGUGUACUGUAGCCCUUGCAAGGCGGUCCAUCUGUAGGACCAAAGGAGCGGUCCAACUACUAUAGGCCUUCCAAGGGGGUCCAAUUAGACUAUAGGCUCGGUAGAGCGAUCCAUGCAUCCUAUAGGCCUUGCGAGGCGGUCCAUGCAGACUCAAGGAUCAUGUAUGCAUGCAUUGUAUGUGUAUUUUUAUGUGGGCUAUUUUGGGGGAACUCACUAAGCUUUGGCUUAUAGUUAUGGAUUUAAAUGUUUUAGGUACUUCAGAGGAUCUGGGGAAGGCGAAGGCAUGAUUGUACACAUCAUCCUGCUAAUAUAUGUUUGAGAGAUGUUAUUGAUAGUCUGAUUUUUAUGGUUUUGUUUUGUAACAAUGAUUUGAAUACUCUAUGGAUUUCAUGGAAAUGUCCUUUAAAAUGAAAAUUUUUUACUAUGGUUUUUGUGACGUUACAAAAAGAUAGCCUAAAAACACUUGAUUCGACUUUCUGGUAUGGUUUUCAUUCGAUUUUUUGCGUUCAGGUUGGAACAAGCAUACAACUGUCUAUUUUAUUUUUUAGGUUACGUGUAUUCAUGUUGUUAUAUGGUGUUGCGUAAGUAGUAGUCUAGAAUUUGGUGGGAUUUGCGUACUUUUGAAUUGUAUUUCUCAUGUUGUGGUUGAAUAGUGUUGGGAUGGAUGUUGACUGGGUUCCUGCAGGUUGGUAGAAUGAUAUCCGUGUGUCUAUAGGCCAAUUGAGGUGGUGGUCGUGAGUCUUCAUGCCCGUUGUUGGAUGAUGGCAAGAUAAGUGUUGAACCAAGAGCUUCUCAUGCCAAUGAUUGGAUGGUGUCACAACGUAUCAUAAACCUUAAUGGUUAUGAAUUGAGUGGAUGAGACCUUUGGGUCUUGGUUCGUUAGUAAACUUGGCACAGUUGGGAGCUUGAGCAGUAUGGUGUUGCUACUAGUGGCUUAGUGGCCGACAGGUUUGGGUCGGGCAUUUAUAGGAUAUUGACUUGUUGGAAAAGUCAUGGUUGUUUAUAGGCAAUUCCUCGUUGAGCUUCUUCUUUGUGGAUUCUUGUUCUUUUUUUGUGAGAAUGGUUUUGUAUGAUUUAAUUUACCAGUGAUGGAAUUUUUUAUAUGUCUCUUGGACAAAUUUUCAGAUGGUUGUGUACCUAAGCUGUUAUGGGUGUUUGGAUGCCACACGAGAUUUUGGAUUAGCCAUGGUUACGCUCGUAGGAGUGGUGGUUAGUGAUGAUUUUUUAGUAAGUAAAGUGUGUAUUUGAGGUCUUUUGAGCAUAAUUUUCAGAUUAGGGGAUUGGAUGGAAUUCACAAUCGUGAUGUUUUGGAUGUUCUUGAUGCAUGGUUUGGUUACGUUCCUAGUCAGAGACUAGAGGUAGGUAUGAUGAAUGAAUGAUCAGCAGUCCUUAGGUAUGGUUUCUAGAGUUUAGAAUGACGGGUUCUUGGUUUUUUCAAGUAUAUUGAUGGAGUUGGUUUGUAGUUGAAGUUUUGAUAGUUUCCAAGUCUGAGUGGUUUCUGCUGUGAGUUGGGUCUUACAGUUUAGGAGAGAGGUAGUUGUUACACUUCAGUACUAUCAAGUGUUUGGGUUGUUUGAUGUCAUUAGUUGGGCUCCGAGUGGUCUCUCUUGUUUUCUUUAUGGAUGUCUUGAUUUUAUUAAGUGGUUUGAGGAAGCAUAUGGAUCGUGUUGGUGCUAUUUUUGGAAAUUCUAUUCGAGACAAAUUUCAAGGACAAAAUCCAGUUUAAGUGGGGAGAGUUGUAACGUCUAGUUUCGGGAUGUUUCAAAUUUCGGGAUAGCGAACUAAAAUUCACUCAAGUACAGUUCUUAGGCUUCAAGGGGAUAAAGUUUAAACCUUAUUAGAUGUUGAUUGUUUUGUCAAAAAUUACACAAGUAUAAAUCAACCAAUUUGAAUGAGAGGAUGUGAUGUUCGAAUUGUGCAAUAAAGAAAGGUGAAGAAAAUGACACAAUUGUUUACAAGGAAAGCCCUUGAUCCUUGCUAGGAUCUCCGACACAAAACCUUUGGAGGUGAUAAUGAUAACAUGCCUUGAUGAUUUUAUUAAUAUAAAGUGAUGAUUACAGAGAGUAUUUCAGUAAGAACAAGUGAAAAAGUUCGUAGAGUAAGCUAAGAGUAGGUAGAGUGCGCCGUGUGCGAGAUACAUGUGUCAAUUUAUAGUUUAAACUAGCUAACAAGAUGUUCGAUAUUCCUGGGAUCCUCUAUGACCAGCUUUGUGAACGUUGUUGGACUUGGUAUUUCGGGUCUUUAGCAUAGUUGAGAUGACUCUUUGUUGAGAAUAAGUCUUCUCCCGACUAUUUAUGCACAUGUGUUAAUUAAGAACGAAAUAUAACUGUUAUAAAUGUUAGUAAAUAAUUAUAACUGUAAUAGUCGGGAUCCUGAGAUAGUUGAGGAUCCUGAAUAUCUGAUGAGGUUUGAGGAUCCUGAAUGCUUUGAGGAUCCUAGACCUAACAAUUGCCCCCAAGUUAUUCCUGAAACUAUAGGAGUUAAUUUCGAGAAUAUUAAAAGUAUAACUUAAAAAUAAAUUAAAAAGAUGAGAUAAAGAAGAGUUUAAAAAUUGCCCCUUAAUGGAUAAAUUUUAUCCAUCUUGAGGUAACCGAGAAGCGGUCAAAUCAUCUUUCUUAUCUCUUCUUUGCUAUAAAUGUGGGCUUUCGGUAACUUCUUCUUUACUCUCUUCAGUCGUCAUCGUCUUAUUGCGAAGGUAAUUUUUCCUCUUACUUGUGUUCUUCUGUUCCUACGAUUUUCCUCAUCAUGGUUAAGAAAACAUGUCGUGCUCAAGCUAGCAUUGUUACUUCUCCUGAGAAUGACUUCAGUGAUCAAGCAAUCUUAUCUUAUGAAGAAGUUUGCUCCUUCGACGAUGAGGACAUGGAGUCAUUGAAAGCCGUUGGGGCUUUUCCUCCUGAUGUAGUUUUUCGACCUUCUGAGGCCACCGUUCAACCGAAUUUUGUUUCUCCGACGUGGGUUUGCUUUCUCGAAUACCCAUUUACUCUAGGUUUAACUUAUCCUUUCAAUGGUAUCAUUCGUGAUUUCUUUUCGACUACCCAAAUUUCUUAUAUCCAAGUUAUGCUUAUGGUUUGGAGGAUCCUGUUUUGGAUUGAUCGCUUAAAUCAGUCCAAGAAUAUGGACAUUAGGUUACCUGAGAUAGCUCUCGUUUAUGUUCUUUUAAAUUUUGGUUCUUCCCCUUUCCUGUUAAGAGUUAAGAGAAACAAACCCCACCUCAUUUUGAUAUCUAAACAAAAUGAUGGUGCUUGGAAGGAAAAAUAAUUCUUCGUUAGACGUGAUUCGAUUCCCGAUGGGAUUCCCAGCCAAAAACAUGGAUUAAAAAGGGUAGGAUUUGAAUUUAGAUUUUAAGGAUCUUGAAAUUUACUUCCCUUAUUUUGUUUGUCUUGAUGCAACAUUCAAAUUUGAGGCGUUGUUCAUGCUACUGGUGAUUCCGAGGAUAAGGUUUCCAAAUAUCUUGCACUUCCCACACUUGAAAGGUCUUUCAGGUUUGAAUAUUCCAGUCUCCAAGAGGGUUCUUCUACUACUGCUUCUAUGGCUACUGGUACCUUUAUUUUGCUUGGAUACUUCUUUUAUAUUGAUUGGGAUCCUGAGUUGAUAGGGAUCUUUGGCAGUUUCCAAGACCACUCGGUCUAAGGCUUGUUUUGGUUUGGCAGAUCUUGAGACGAUAUGGCCAUCGGUUUGAUCAAGGUUAAGCAAGAAAAAGGUGUCACUUUUCUUCCUCCCAAGCAAUCUCACGUAGACCUUACAAUUAAGGCUUGAGGAUCUCAUAAGCGGAAGCCUUCUAAAGUUGCGGAUUUUGGUUUAUAGAAUCUUGACAUUGAGGAUGCUCUCAGGAAGUUGACCACGUUUACUCAAGCUGUAAGUUUUUCUUUCAUUCUUUAUUGUUCUAUUUCUUAUUUCCAUUUGAUCUUUUUCAAGUUUCCGACCACACCUCUGCCGAUUUGAUGCUCCAGACUAAGAGAGCUGAGCAGGCUCUUCAGGAACAAGAAAAGAUGUGAAAGGCGAUCAAUAAGGAUCUUCUAAAGCGAUUGGAACUUAUGAGUAAGGAGAAGGCUGAGAAAGAGGGUGAGCAUGCUGUGGAGAUUGAGGAGGUGAUUUCUAAGGUGAAGAGUAGCGCUGCAAUAGCUAUUUGGGAAUCUAAGAUCAAGCUUGCUGAAGAUCUUAAAAAUUUUGGAUCCUAGAAUGUGGUUGGUUGGCGUGAGGCAUUAGCCCAUCUAAUGGACAAGCCUGAUUCUGUCACUACGGAUCCUACAUUGUAUCCGUUGGAGGGAGGAGAGAAAUAUGGGGCCAAUGAUGACCAGACUAAGGUCUAGGCAUGCAAGAAGAUAAAUUAAGUAGUUUUUGCUUUAUGUAAGACAUUUAGCUUCUGCAUUAGCAGGUUGGUGUGCAACUUUUUGAAUGACAUGGUAGUAUUUUCCUUUUAUCUGUCUUUAUCUCCUUGUCCUGUUUAAUAUGUGUGUCAAAUAUAGUACUAGGAUUUUUUAAGUAGUUAGGAUCCUGAAAAUAGAGAAUGAUUUUCAAGAUAAAGUUCUUUUGGCAAAUAAUAGAUAAAAUGAUUUGAUAAGGAUUGAAUUUGUUAAACAACUAAAAGUGAAUCUUAAAAUAAUAAGAACUGACUUUGUUAAGCAAUUUAAAAUGUUAAAAGUUUCUGUAAAAGUUUGAUGACUGACUUGUAAUCCUCAAGAGUUUCAAAUAAUUUUUAUAACAAAACAAAAAGAAUUUGUUAAGAACUGAUUUUGGUAAAUCUAAGUGCUUUAAAACUUCUUUAAAGAUAUCAAUUUAAAAUAGUAAAUGGCUUCGAAGUGAUGAAAGUUUAUAAAUCAGCAAUUGGUUUAGGAUCCUAAAAAGUUUAAGAUCCUUAAUUUUACUUAAAAAAUUUCAAAGUUAAGAACAAGGAAACAUGGAACCUGAUUGUCUUUGAGUUUUUCCUUAAGCUUCAUAAGUCUUUCAAUCUUAGAAUUUACUGAGGAUAAAUCUCAACUUAGGAAAGAACUUACCGAUGUGGAUCCUUAAUGAUGAUAAGAUUUUUACUGAUGAGGAUCCUUAUCAAUGUGGAUCCUUAAUGAUGAGGAUCCAUAUUUAUGAGGAUCCUUAAUCAUAAGAUCAUACGGGGGAAUUCCCUUCUUAGGAUAACCUGUUUAGAUAUUAGAGGUUGACAAAACUCUUGGGUAACACCAUAAGUUCAAUUCAUAAGAUGUUAAUGUCAUAUAUUGUGGAGGAUCCUAAGUUUUGACAUAUUUCAUGGGAAAGAUCCCUACUUAUGAUAACAUGUAAAUGUUAGGAUUUGUGUGUAUUUUCGGGGGAAAGAUCCCAACGUGUGAUAGCAUGAAGAAGUUAUAAACAUUAUGUAAUUUCUAGGGUAAGAUCCCAAUUUUAGAUAACAUGAAAAUAUUAUAAACCUUAAGGAUCUUAACUUAUGUUCAAAGAUAAGAGGGUUCCAAAACCACUGUAUCAUGAAAUGAUCCCCUCAUUCGUAUCCUAUAGUUAGAUAUUGUGCGUUCAAGCGAGGUGUAUAAACCUUAGUUCAUGUGAAAUAGGUAAUUAACUCUUUAAACCUUAGAGGGGAUUAAGUACCCUUAAGCAUAAGAGAGAUGAUCAGUCUCUAACUUAUGUAUAUGGUAGUUUAAAGAUCAUACCGUUGAUAUAACGAAAUUGUCCAAGUGUCAAGAUGCUGAGAUCUUUGUGCAUCAAGAUCCUUAUGUUUCAGGAUCUUCAACCUUGAGGAUCCUUAUGUUUCAGGAUCAUUACUUAUGGAGAUCGUUAGUUGUAUGUUGUUCUGCAUAGAAAACGUUAGCUAGGGGUGGGCAUUAGUCUAGCGAACGCCCCUCUGAUGCUUAAGUUAGUAAUGUAUUCAAGAUGAAAAUAAGUAAUGAUGAAAAGUUUAAGGUAAAGAACAUGUGCACCUUGGUUUUGUUGAAGAUCAAUUAAUAUUAUUUACAUAUAGUAUGCUUUGAGAUGUAUAUCAUUCCAGGAUCUUGGCAAAAUGUCUCUUUCGAGUGUUUCUAGCUAAUAUGCUUCUUUUCCUGCUUCAACAUCUAUGAGAUAUGGUCCUUCCCACUUAGGAGGUAAUUUACCUGCACUAGGAUCCUUGGUGUUUUGGAAUGUUUUCCUUAAUACCAAGUCUUUAUUUGGAACUUUCUGACUUUUAUGCUCUUGUUGUAAGCCUUGGUGAUUAUUUUUUUGAUGAGCAACAAUACGUAUCUUGGCAAUAUCUCUAAGUUCGUCAACAAUGUCAAUAUCAUGGGCUAGGAUCCUAUCAUUGUUUUCUUGAUUUUGGAGCAAGUAUCUUACUGUUGGGAUCACUACUUCGGUAGGGAUCAUUGCUUAUGUCCCGAACACUAAGGAGUAGGGGGCCUGACCUGUGGAUACUUUGGAAGUAGUCUUAUCUGCCCAUAGGACGAAAGUAAGCUCUUCUACCCAUCUUCCUUUCUUUUCAUCUAGCCUUUUCUUCAAGUUUUUUACUAUGAUCUUGUUGCAAGAUUAUGCUUGACCAUUAGCUUGGGGAUGAACAGGAGUGGACAUUAUCAUUUUGAUUCCCUAAUUCAUGCAAAAGUCUCUUGUCCUCUUGCUUAUGAAUUGGGAUCCAUUGUCGCAUAUGAUUUCAGCAGGGAUCCCAAACCUAGUCUAGAUAUUACGUUUAAUCAAUGAGACUACUUUGUCUCUAACGUGAACGAAGGCUUCAGCUUCGAUCCACUUCGAGAAGUAAUCAGUCAUCACCAACAUGAAGACUUUUCCUCCUGGAGCUAUUGGUAAUUUUCCUACUAUAUCUAUUCCCCAUUUCAUGAAUGGCCAUGUAGAGAUAAUAGGAUGUAAAGGUUUUUCCAGUUGAUGUAGGAUGUUGCUAUGUCUUAGGCAAGCAUCACACUUUUGAGCAUCUAGAAAAGAAUCUCUCUUCAUGGUUGGCAGUAGUAUCCUAUUCUCAAUACCUUGGAUCAUAAGAUCUGCCCUCAGUGUGAUUGCCAUAGUCUCCUUCAUGUAUGUCCUUCAAGACUUCUACAUCUUCAGGAUCUUCCAAGCAUCUGAGGUAUAGAACUGCCAUAGACUUUUUUAUAGAGUUUAACUUGGAUUAUUACGAUUCUUUCACUUUUUUCUUUUGUUGGGAUCGUGCCAUUUUCGAGAUACUCCAUAAUGGGUUGGAUCCAUGAUCGUGGACUUCUUCGAGGAUCCUGUUCGUCGGGAUCCCUUUGAGGAGGGAUCUGAGGGUUAGGAUCUCCGGUGGCUGCUACACUUAUUGGUUGUUCAGGAUCAUUGGGUUUGUCGGAAAGGGAUUCUAUAGAAGGAGUUAUUUGUGGGUUAUAGGGAUCUUCAUUUAUGGUGGGAUCCUUAGGGAGGAUCCUAUGUUGGCUAAUGUGUCCGCUUUUGUGUUUUCUUCUUUGGGAACUUGGGUUUGGCUAAAGUUUUCAAAAUCGGAGGCUAAUUUUUUGAGGAUAACGAGGUAUAAUGCUAAUCUUUCACCUUUCACUGCAUAAGAUCCAUUGAAGUGAUUAGUUAAUAAUAAAGAGUCAACAAAUACCUGAAGAUCCUUAGCCAAUUGUAGUCCCAUGAUGAGUGCUUCAUAUUCCGCUUCGUUGUUGGUUGCGUUGAAUUCGCAACUAACUGCCUGAGGUAGGAUGUCCCCUGUGGUGAUUUUAGUAUGAUCCCUAACCCGAUUCCUUUUUGGUUUGAAACUCCAUCCAUGAAUAGUGUCCAUUUUCCCAAGUGUUCAUCUUCUAGGAGUCGUUUAGCUUCAAUGUCUACUUCAUUUUGUAGAUCAUCACUAAAGUUAGCCAGAAACUUGGCUAAUGCUUGUGACUUUAUGGCAGAUCUUGGCUCAUAUUUGAUGUCCAACGUGCUUAACUUCACUGACCAUUUUUCCAACCUUCCUGACAUCUCUGGUUUUCUCAUCGCAUUCUUAAUAGGAUAAUUAGUUUUCACAUAUAUAGUAUGUGUAUCGAAAUAAUGUCUUAACUUGGUAUAAGUAGUUACUAAUGCAAGAAUUAAUUUUUUGAGAUUAGAAUACAUGGUCUCAGGAUCCAGAAGACUUUUACUUACAUUGUAGAUAGGAUGUUGGUCUCCGACUCUCCGUUAGGAUCCUGGGCUUGGACAACACUUACCGCACUUGAGGAUACCGAGAGGUAAAAGAGAAGUGGUUCUCCAUCUAUAGGCUUCACUAGCAGUGGCUCGAAACUUAAGUAUUGUUUAAGUUCCUGAAAAGCUUCUUUGUGUUUUUCGGUCCAUUCAAACUUCUUGUUCUUCUUCAAGAUAUCAUAGAAGGGCUUACACCUUUAUGAGGAUCUUGAAAUAAACUUGUUGAGUGCUGCUACUUUUCCAGUUAGCCUUUGGAUGUCUUUUAUUGAAGAUGGAGAUUUUAGCUCGAUGAUUGCUUUAAUCUGCUCCAGGCUUGUUUCUAUUCCUCUCUUGGUUACCAUAUACCCAAGGAACUUGCCCGACUUCAUCCCACAGUGGCAUUUAGAAGGAUUCCACUUCAUGUUGUAUCCAUCUAGAAUGUCGAAGGCUUCUUUGAGAUCCCUAAUAUGAUCUUCAGCUUUCAUGGACUUCACCACCAUGUCGUCAAUGUAGACUUCCAUGGUGUCCCCCGUCUAGUCUUUAAACAUUCGGUACACCUGUCUUUGAUUUGUUGCACCUGCAUUUUUAAGACCAAAAGGGCAUCAUAGUGUAACAAUAUAUACAUGUUGGUGUUUGUAAAUGAUGUAUCUUCUUGAUCGGAUGGUUCCAUCUGGAUUUGUUGGAAUCCUGCUGAAGCAUCCAUGAAGGUUAAGAGUUUGUGGCCAGCCGUUGCAUCUAUCAUGGAGUCAAUGUGUGGUAGAGGAAAAGGAUCCUUAGGAAAAGCCUUGUUAAGAUCCAUGUAAACUACACAUACUCACCACUUUCCGUUAUUCUUCUCUACGACAACUACAUUAGCUAGCCAUUGGGAACUUCAGUUCCUUGAUCAUCCCUGUCUUGAGGAGCUUUUCCACUUCUUCUUGUAUGAUCUGAUUCCUUUUGGGUGCAAACGUCCUACUCUUUUGAUGUAUUGGUUUCAAAGAAGGAUCAAUAUGAAUUUUGUGAGUGAUAAUACUCUUGUCUAUACCUGUCAUAUCUUUAGGUUUCCAUGUGAACGUCUUGCUUCUAGUUUGAAGGAAGUUUAACAGGUCCUGCUCAAUUUGCUCGGGUAUUGAGGAUCCUAUGAGGACUUUGGCUUCAUGAUCUUCAUUGCUCAGGGACAUUUCCUUCACGUUUUGCUCUUUCGUUUGUAGAACAUGUCGUGCCCCUACCUUGAUCGCUAUGCUUGUUGGGAUUUCAUCGUAGGCUUAAUAGAGGUUUUAUAACAUUCCUUUGACUCUUGUUGAUCUCCCAUGAUCUUUACUAUUCCCCACGAAAUAGGCAUUUUUACACACUGAUGAUAUGUUGAUGGAACCGUUUUCAUCUCAUGGAUCCAUGGUCUACCUAAUAUCACAUUAUAAGAAGAUAAGGUGUCAACAACACAUAAAUUUUGUAUAGAGUUUACCCCUUUAUGUAUAUUGGUAGCUUUAUCUCCUCGAUGGUGCGUUUCAUUUCUCCGCUAAAUCUUUUGAGGAUCGAGGAUUUUUUUAUUAUCUCCAAUUCCGGGAUGUUCAUCCUCUUCAGUGCAUCCAAGAGUAUGAUGUUAACCAAGGAUCCUUCUAACAAAGUGGUUGGCAAUAUACAAUGUUAUCAUGAGUCCGUCAUGGUGAGGAUCCUGGAUCUCUUCCUUGUCUGUCUCGUCAAACGUGAUUUCCUUUUCAUUGGUAACCGGGGUAUUCUUUCGUGGUCUAUCUGUUGGAUUAAUGUCUAAGUCCAUAACUAUAAUUGGUAAGACUUGACAUGACCCGGCAUGGUCCAUUUGGGUUGCAUGGCAUCAUGCAUUUGGAUAGACUAAAAUGAGAGAAAUAACACUUAAGGUUGGUUAAUAUAUUAUAAGUUAUAAUAUAUUAAUAAGAUUAUUUAAUUCGUAUUGAUCAAGAAUUAAUCUAGGAUUAAUUAAGUGAUCAAAAGAAGACUAAUUAAAUAUAUGGGUUGAUUGUGUAAAUCAUCCAUACUUGUAUAGUGGGCUAAGAGUCCAUGGAUUAUCAAGUUGGGCUAAAACCUAUAGGAUGCUCCAUGGAGUAUUUGAACGCAUGGUACCAAGGAAAUGGAAAGCAAUGACAAUUAGGUUUCACCCUAAUUUUCACUAACUAUAUAAGCAUAUUAUUCUUGAGAAAAAGGCCACUAUGUGAGAGAUAAAGGGCUAGCCGAUUUUCAUGAAGUGUUCCAUUUUCUAUCAAGUCAUUCCAUGUGCAUUUGGUGUUAUGUGAACCAUUUGAGGUGUCAUACUUGGGGCACUAGGCACUCAAGCUUCAUGAAGACAUUCUACAUCAAAGAGGUAUGUAAUUCUAACUUGAUAUAUUCNUUGUAUGCUAGAUUAGGAUAAUACCUUGGAAGUUCUUAUUUGCAUGUAUAAUAGAGAAAACAUAGAUCCAAGGUAUUUAUGGUUGCAUGUACACUUCGGAGUGUUAGAAUGCUCAAAACCCAACAGUGGUAUCAGAGCCAGGUUUGCUUUCUCUUAUACUUGAUGCAAAUGUGUUUUUUCAAAGUUGAAUCUGUCCAGACCAUAAAACUCAAUGAGUUUAUGCCAAAAACUCGACGAGUUCAUCAUUUUGGCCAUGAACUCAACGAGUUUCUUAAGGAACUCGACGAGUCACUCUUGGAUGUAGUGUUUUAGGCUUACUCUCUUGUAUGUAUAAAUGGGUUGAGUCUUUCCUAUAAAUAGGAAGUGAGUGACUCCCAUUAUGGAAGGAAUCAUUUUGGAGUGUUAGACUAGAGAGAGAAUUUGUGUACAAACCCAUUUGUAUAUUCUUUCUAGAUCUAAUAAGAGCUUACAAAGAAUUAUUUACUCCUUGUGUUCUUGAUUUGUAUGGUGAAUCACUAGAUCUUUUCUAAUUCCGCACAUGCCAUCAAAAUCAACACCACUACAAUUGGUAUCAGAGCGGGUGUUCUUGAUCUCAUCAAGAAUUGAUCCUUGAUGGCUAUUUUGAUUUGGUGAUUCUUUUUCUUCAUUGAUCUUCGUGUUUAGAGAGUGUUUUUGUGUUCUAGAAGUCGAAUUCUUCUUUGAUUUGAUCCAUAAUUCGACUUUCUCUCUCUAGAAUACUUGUUUGUAUCACUUUAUCUCUCUAGAAAACCCAUUCAAAAUCACUUUCUCUCUCUAGAAAAUUUCAAGUUCUUGUAAUCAUGGAGAAAUGGAUGAUACGUAGAGAUGAUUUUCAAAGUGAAUGCUCAUUUGAAUAUCUUCUUUAUAGCUUAACUGUUGGAUUGAUAAGUGAAUGUGAUAUUGUUGUAAAUGGAGAAAAGAAUGAAGUUGGAGAAUUAAUUAGUUGUCCAAUUUUUCGAACCAAACAUUUGUUUGAUCGUUUGAUUACAACAUAUCAAAAGAGACGAAGAAAUAGAAGAGAUGGAGAAGUCAUAAAAGGAAUUUCUCGUGCCGAAUGCAAAUAUGGAAGCAAUAAACUUGAAUAUUAUGCAGAUUGUCGUGAAGCUCGGGAUGGUGUUCUUGAUGAUGAUGAUGUUCAAGAAAAAGGAGUUCAAUGUGAUGUUCUUGAUGUUCAAGAAAAAGGAGUUCAAGUUGAUUCUCAAGAUGAAAAAGUUUUUUGCUCAAUUGGAGUUCAAACCGAUGAUAUUUUGUGUUCUUGUGAUUCAUUUGAAGGAAUGAUUCCUUAUCGGAAGCCGGUGGUUCAAGAAAUUCACAAAUAUCAAACUCCAAAAGAUUUGAUUCAAACUCAAAAUGUUCAUGUUGUUGAAAGUGGGUUUGUUCAUGAAGUCAAGUCUUCAAGAUGCAAAAAGAUGAGAAAGAAAAAGAAGAAGAAGAUGAACCGAAAGAACAAGCGGGUUUACUCACAAAAAUCGUCAUAUGUUGUGAAGCCAAAAUCCAUGAAGAAAAUUUGGGUUCCAAAGCAACAAUCUCCAAAGGUUGCAUUGAAUUUGAAGUCAAAACCCAAAAGUGGUGGUGGUUCUUUUGAAGAUGUUGUUGGAUCGACGAAGAACACGAAGAACAAGUUGUACAUCUCGCAUGGUGGGUGGUACAAUGUUCGAUUUGGAGAUUUUCUCAUUCUGACCAAAGAACCAAGAUCUUCCAAAUUUGAUUCGUUCGUUGAAAAUGGAUCUCGAUUCGUCAAAAAGGUAUCACAAAUUCUCAAAUGGAUACCAAAACGUCCAUGAUUUUGAUUAGUGCUUUGCGUUUUUCAUUUUUGAUCGAUUUGCCUCAUUGGAUCUAAUUUGUUUCAACCCCAUAGUUGAUCCAAUUAUUUUUGUUUUGAUCAAAACCAAAAUCAAAAUCUUAUUCUAUUUUUCUGAAAUCAUUUUUUGUUAUUGUUUUGAAAAUAUCAAUAACAAAAUAUUUUGAUUUUCAAUACUCUUAAACAUUGUUCGAAUGAUGAAUAGUUCGAAGCACAGCCCAACAACAAUUGUUUACUAUUCGGAACCCAGUCCAUGAUAAUGAAUCUAUUUAGAGCCCAUAAUGUAGAUCAAAUACUGUUCAUCCAAGGUCACUUUGAUAUUCAACCGAUUUGUGCUUCUAAGAUCAUAUGUUAUUCUGAUUCAAAUCAAAUACACUUCGUAUGAUUUUUGUUCAUUCAUUUUCAAUCUCAAAUAUCUUGAAUAAUGAUGAAGGUCGCAACAUAUCAUGUCUCUGAUUAAGUCUAUUGAUUUAGAUUUACAAUUUCCUCUUGAAUCUCUUUUGUUGAAAUUGAUUUGAAUGAAAUCUGAUCAGAGUCGUUAAUUGAACAAAAUUAGUCUUAUGACUUCAUCUCUUCAUUCAUAACAAUCAUUUGUUGCUGAUUGUUAAUAUGAGUUUAGAUAUCGAUUUUAGAUGAUUUGUGUGUGAUGAAAUCGAGUUUAUUCGUUCUAAACUUUGUAAUCGGAAAUUGUUUUUGAGAUGGUACUAAUCUUAGACAAGAACGUGAUGAACAAGUGAUGAAAAACUGUUCGACUAGCUUGUUUGAUCUGAACUUGAACUAAGGAGUUUUCAGUUUGUGUUUGUUUGAUCGGAAAUUGUUUGUUUGGUGUCGACAAAUUGAAAUCAGUGGCGAAGGGUUAAUGUACGAAGGGUUGAUAUUGGGACGAAGAAUCGUAAGAAACGAAGAAUUGAUUUCGUUCGAUUUGGGUUAAGAUUCGAAGACUUGAAUAUCGAUCUGUUAUAUCAAGAAGUAAAUGUUUCGAAGCCUUGGUUAUAUGAUCGAGAUUGGAUGGUGUUCGAUUGUGAGUUGGGGAAGAACACAAGAUGACGUCGAAUAACAUUUUGAACAGUUUUGAUCAAUCGGUUGGAAUGUCGAAUAUCAUUUUGUUAUUGGACGGUUUAAGAUGACCUUUGUUGUAAGGAGAUGGUUUGCUAUAGAAUCGAUUUGGGAAGAACGAUAAGAAACGAAGAACGUGAGAACGAAGAUUUGGAAAGAUGGUUUGGAGUCGAUCAAUCAAAGUCUUUCCUGUAGUAUCGAUUGUUGAAAUGAUCGAUACAAUCUAAAAGUAAUCAAAAAUGAAGGGUCACUAGUUGGUUGUUCUUGGGUUUGAUUUAGUGAAAUGAAUUAACGAAGGAUGCAUAUGAAAGAAUUUUCGAAGGGUGUUUGUGUAUUGAUGAAGGAUUCCAAGGGUUCCUGGAACGAAGACCUGUAAUAAUAAUAAUAAAAAAAACGAAGGGGUGUUUGGAUUUAGAUUCGAAGGUUGUUUGUGACUUGAACAAAAGGGAAUGUUUGAUUUUGAUUAAAGCAAAACAAUCGAAGGGUAUUUUGAGUAUACAUAUGAAGUAAAGAAGGAUUAUGAUUCGAAGGGCAUGUGGUAAAUGAACGAAAACGAGAAAUCAUAAAUUCGAAGGGUUGGUUUAAUGUUGAAUAUUCGAAGGGUAUAUUCUGAAUUUUCGAAGGGGUAUUUUGAAAAUUUAUGAAGACUUUUACUGUUCAGUCUUCGUAUCCUUGUACUUCGUGAAUUGGAGUUGGGGUCUUCGAAAGAAGUGAGCAAAUGACAAAGUUUCGAAAACAACCCCUGAACCUUCGAUUUGUUGACACUUCGAAAAUUAACACAUGUUUGGAAUGUUUGACACUUUUCGCCCAAAUUCGAAAUCUUUUGGAAGCUUCGAAUUUUUGGGAAUCUUCGUAUGUUUGGAACACAAAGAGCAGAAUUUUCGAAAAUGGUCCCUGAAACUUCGAAUUUUUGGCAGUUUUCACCCAAAUUCGAAAAAGGACUCUUUUUUGCUGAAAAUUGAAGAUUGUGCAUUUCUGGUCCCUGCAGUUUGUGCAAAUUGACGCUUUCUACCCAGAUUUGAAAAAGGGGGAGAGUUUUGCAUAUUUGGUUGUUUUGGACGCAACGGGUCCCUGCAACUUUCAGAAAGUGACAAUUUCUAUCCGGAUUUUGAAAAAUCUUGCAACUUUCACCCAAAAAGUCAAAAUUUUUCAUAAAUUGAAAAUUUUUUGUGGCUUUUUCGUGAUUGUUUAUCCGUGAAAGAUUUUUGGUGAUUAAUUUUUGGUACACAUCAAGGGNUCUGGGUCCCUGCAAGUUUCAGAAAGUGACAAUUUCUACCCGUAUUUUGAAAAAUCUUGCAACUUUCACCCAAAAAGUCAAAAUUUUUCAUAAAUUGAAAAUUUUUUGUGGCUUUUUCGUGAUUGUUUAUCCGUGAAAGAUUUUUGGUGAUUAAUUUUUGGUACACAUCAAGGGGGAGUAUCGUGAAGACUAUUCCUCGGGCGCUUCUCAUCCUUAGUGGGUUUUAUAAUCAUUUUUUGAUUAUAAAAAGGGGGAGAAUGAUGGGUAUUCGAAGCUUCUCGGGUUUGUCGAAUAUUCAUUUGUGGAUUUGAAGACCGGUGUUACUUCGAGGGGGAGUUUGGUCUUGAUCGCGCUAGCUCGUUGGAGAUUAAUGUCGGGCAUCCAAUCCUAACUUUGAGGGGGAGAAUGUUAGGGUGCAAAGUCACUCUUGGAUGUAGUGUUUUAGGCUUACUCUCUUGUAUGUGUAAAUGGGUUGAGUCUUUCCUAUAAAUAGGAAGUGAGUGACUCCCAUUAUGGAAGGAAUCAUUUUGGAGUGUUAGACUAGAGAGAGAAUUUGUGUACAAACCCAUUUGUAUAUUCUUUCUAGAUCUAAUAAGAGCUUACAAAGAAUUAUUUACUCCUUGUGUUCUUGAUUUGUAUGAUGAAUCACUAGAUCUUUUCUAAUUCCGCACAUGCCAUCAUAAUCAACACCACUACAAAUGUUCAUGCUAAUCCAAUUUCAAAGAUAAGUGUUAAUAGAUUCAUGUUUUGUAUUAGUUUAAAAGUUUUGCUAAUAACAUGAAAAAGUUUGAUGUGAAUUAUCUUUGUUCAUAUGAGUUGCUUAGAUUAAUAGAUAAGUUAAUUGAUUAUGUGUUUUCAAUCCAUUUUAAUCUAAGAGAUGAUUCUAAAAUGUGUUUGUGUAACUUGUCCUCAAGUUACAUGAAAGGUCACAUUUAAGUUUCAUAAAACUCAUAAAAGUUGGCAAUGGUUACAAAAAAUGAAGAGUCUUGUCCUCAAGUUAUGGAGGUUCAAGAGUCACUUCAUUAAGUAAUAAAAUGUGUAACCUUAAUUAAUUCCAUAAGUUACAAAAUAAAGAAAAGUUACAUUCUUUUAUUAGUUUAAAGUCUUCCAUAACUUGUCCUCAAGUUAUGGAACUUGAAGAGUUUUUUUAAUUAAAACUACUUUAAACACAUAAGUUAUGGAAUUAAUUAGUUUUGAAUAGUUUCAAAACUUGCCCUCAAGUUUUGGAAUUUGUAAAGUUUUCACUUAUGAAUACUUUAAUUCCAAGUUAGCCCUUAGAAUUUUAAAAGUUAAAAUUCAACCCUUAUACUUUAUAAUAUUAUAAGUUAAUAAUAUAUAUAUGUAUAAGAGUAAAGUCAGUCUUACCGCUAGUACGCCUCAUUCACGAAGCCGGUCUAUAAGGUGGGUAUAAGGUUGUUGCCUAUAAAAUGGCAACUUAAUGGGUGUCCACUCUCACCCACCGCUUGCUUGACUGGUGGAGGGUCGUUAGCCGAACGGGUUUGACAGGACUAGAAUUCUCCCUUCAUUAAAAGUAUUAAUGAUAAAUACUAAGUAACUAAACCUUUUAUAAAUACCCAAUCUUAGUUACUUAGGAAAAUGUGAAUAAGGUGCUAAUCCAUGAAAUUACACUUUGCACUUUGUUUAAGUCGGUUAGUUGAGUGUGUGUAGUUAACCGGCACACUAACUCGUAUUUAACAAGGUAGGAAAAGGGUAACUUAAUGUUUAUGAUAGUAUCGAUGGAGCGUGUGUGGUUAACCGGCACAUCGAUUGAGGGGUAAUUUAUUAAGGGUACCAAGUGAUUUGCAUGGUUACUUCACACCUUGUUUUGUGAUCCUCGGCAUCCCAGUCACAAAACCUGAAGGGCACACUCGAGAUUGAAACAUGCCUUUGAAAAGUUCAAUGAAUCUCAAAGAUCUAGGAGUUUCAAAACCAAUUAAAACCUAAUAAUACAUUUCGUUUAUCUUGGUGGAAAUUGGUGAAUCGUCAUUCACCUACCUUCAAAUAUUUUAUAGCUUGGAUUACGGCAUACCUCUUCUAAGUUAUAAAAUAGUUUGUUGGGUCCUAGCCUUAAUAUUUCAUAUUGGGUGUCAUAUUAAGGACUUUAAAUCAACUAUCUUGAAUAUCUCCCAAAAGAUGUCUGGUUUAGACAUUUAUGAUCUUCCCAAAUCUCUUGAAACAAGCUUUCCUAAAUGAAGAUGAUGUCCCAUGGAAAUCAUACUUCAAUCACCUCCUCCAAUUAUUCUCCCUAACCCACAAGUUCUUGAAAAGUUUAAGGUCACUCAAGCCCUAUUGGCAAGUAAAAGUCUAUGUGUGGUCACAUCUUGGAGACGUAGUCACAUAUUCACAAGCCGGGAGAGUAGGGUAUCAAAGUCUUGUGAAAGCUGGUGGUUCAAUCACUUUCUAAGUCACAUAGUGAGUUCCUUUGGGACUCUUAUGAAACAGACUAUGACAAGACCCUUAAUGAUCUUAUCUAUUUGCUAAGAUCAACUUCCUAAAACUUGUGGACAUUGACAAUAAUGGCAUUGGAUAUCCAGUAAAGCACUCUCUUCCUAAUGGAAAUGGAUCGGCUAUAGUCAACUCGGUUGACCAAAUGGUAAAGAGAAAAGCUAAGUCUGUGAUAGUCCUGUGUACCAUUAUCAAAGGGUCCAUAUGUUUGUAUUGCCAAAGAAAGGGCAUUGGUUGCGAAGCUGCCAAAUUUACCUAAGGAUGUUAAAGUCAAUAAGUUUGACUCUACUUCAGGUAAAAUCCACUAUCUAACUCUGUUAAGUUUCUAUUCUGAGAUUCUUGAUACAUGAUGUGACUGGGUCACAUGGUGAUGUUUCAAGAAUCAAAUAAAAGUGAAGAAAAUUAAAGAAAGAAUAUGUUGAAUCUGAUCGCGUAGAUGGAUUUCUAUCGCAUAGUUUUAAGAUCGGAUUCUUGAGCUUCUUCUUAGGAGUUAUGAGAUAUUGCUUAGGAAUAGAUAACAACAAGUUUUCAUAUGGAUUGUAAGGAUAAUUUUUUUUCGCAAAGUUUUAAAAAAAGUAAAAGGAAAUUUUUGAUUUUAUUUAUUUUAUGUAUCCUUGCAAUGGCAUUUGUGAAAAAAAUUGUUGCUUAUAUGAUUCCAUAAAUAGCAAGAGUGGAAAUAUGAAAUUGAUUCUUUCAUUUGUGGUAAUGUCUAAAUUUACCAAAUAAGGAAAGAUCCUCAUCACCCAAGUUUCAAUUGGACCGGAACUUGGAAUCAUGCAAGAUGUAUAUCAUGAUGAAUAAGAACUUUCAAGCAUUGGAAAAAAAUUAAGACUAACUACUUGUUCACAUGGAUGUGUGAGUCAAGUAAAUGACUAAGAGAUUGAGUACACAUUCUUGUGCACAUAAUGUCUAAAUUUACCAAAUAAGGAAAGAUCCUCAUCACCCAAGUUUCAAUUGGACCGGAACUUGGAAUCAUGCAAGAUGUAUAUCAUGAUGAAUAAGAACUUUCAAGCAUUGGAAAAAAAUUAAGACUAACUACUUGUUCACAUGGAUGUGUGAGUCAAGUAAAUGACUAAGAGAUUGAGUACACAUUCUUGUGCACAGGUUAAGUCCACCACAAAAGAUCGAUAAGACUAUUCGUCAUAAUUUACUAUAGCUUAAUAAAUAUGGUUAUACUUACAAGCUUAAGUGUAAUUCUGAGAUAUUGGAAAAGGUUCCAAUGUAUGGCAGAGCGAACAAGAAGAAUCAACUUAGGCAGAAAGAUAAAAGUUUCUCAAAUUUGAAAUGAUGGGAGAGUACUUUAGUAUCAUGUUUUAAGAUCAUCUUAAUGAUUAAGAAACCAUAUCACAAUUCAUCUUCUAAGUGCAUUCUGAUAGCUAAGAAGAGGAGCUAUGAAUUGUUGAAGUGCUUAAAUCAAGAAGACGAUUCAUACUUCGUUCCAAAAACAAUUCUUAGAGUUAUACUCAAAGAAUGUAACUUGAGUGACAUGUCUUAAAGAAGGUUUAAAACACUUGUCAAAUGUAAGAGUAAAAGUUUUCUACUCUUGUAUAUUUGAAAUUGGUAAGUUGUCAUAUUUUGGAUAAAACAAAGACCAAAUAAGGCCAAUUGUGUGAAGUGUUUAUCUUGAUUAGAAUCCCACUAUCUCUUGAAUAUUUGACAAGAGAGUCUUAUAUGUCAAGAGGACAGUGGGAGUCUUAAAGGUCUUGAAAGUCUCAAGAACUAAUCAAGAAUAAAACCUGAAGUUCUUCACUAGCACACGACUUGAGGUUUAUAACCUAUCGUAUUGACAUUUUCUGUGCCCAUUCCAAUUAAAGUUGGCUUUGCAUAUGAGUUGUUAGAGUUCUCAAUUGGUUGCACAACAACUUGGAAGCAAUGGCAGGCCCUUGAGCUGCCAGGUGGCAAGAAAUUAAGAUUGAGUUCAGUCCAUAUGAGUUUGGAUUUGUCAUUAUCCUUGUCUUGUGACUAUGGUUUUGAAAAUUUCAUGUGGAUAAGAACACAUACACCAUUAAAUCUAAGUGUCAUAAGGUUUCUCUCCGAUUCAUGAAAAUGAUGGUGAGGAAACACUAUCACUAAGUAGAUUUUAGCUAGAUAGCAAUUGUGAUAUUUGCAUUCUCAAAGUCGUUAGUGGAGCGUGUGUGGUUUACCGGCACACUAACCUGGACUUGUGAGAAGUGGCAAAAAGGUCUAACCAUUAUGAUUACGGCAUCCCUCUUCAUAAUUGUUUAGACACACAAGUGUGCUAUCUAAGGGAAGGUGUAUGAUUUUGAUAAAGUCUUAUCAAAACAAUCUAGUAUCAGAAAUCUGAACUUUGGUAAGAAAGUCAAUGAAGUAUUGAUUUCUAGAAGUCCAGCUAAUUUCUGAGUACAUGUCAAAGCUAGUUGGAGCAUAAGUCUUAUGCUAAUAAUCAUCAUGUUAGUGGGAGCAUGAUAAUUAUGAUAAGUAUUGCAAGUUAGCAAUGUUAAUUAUAGAAAACAAAAGGUUUCAAUUAGGAAAAAAGUUGUUUUACUAUAAUUAAGGGAGAGGAAACUAUACUUCAUCUCAAAUCUAAAAGCUUAGAUUGAGGUUUUAAUCGUAUUUAGUCAAGUAUAUAUAUGAAUGUUAUGUUGGAAUAGCUCAACGUAAGAAAAUUCUAAUAUAUGGGUCCAUUAUUUGCAUUCUAAAAUUCGAUUAUGAUUACGGCAUCCCUUUUCAUAAUCUAAAUUUUGAGAACUUGGCAAAUUGAAAUGGAAAUGUUAUAGCAAAAGACUGGUUUAGUCUUUAUGUGAGACAUCAUGAAUCGUGUCCCAUAUGCUUCGGAUAUAGGAUCGAUUACAUGUGCUAUAUUCAUCCGUUCUAAAAUUUUCCAAAUGCCUGGGGCAUUAAGAAGGGAAAAGGUUUAGAACUGGAUAUGACUAAAAGGAUUAAACAAUUGUCGAGGACAAUCUAAGGUUUACCAAAGAUUGGUUACUCAAGGACAAUUGGAAGUAUAGUGAUAAUUCUGGAAGGACCAUAUUGACAUAAUCUGUAAGGAGGCAACUCUUGUUCAGAAGUGAUAGUCAAAAUGGAAUGAAAAUGUUUCAAAGUUAGAAAUUAUUCAAUUUGUGUAAGAUUAGAAUAAACUUAAUGCAAGAAGGAUGUUCCAAGGAGUUGAUCUCCUUUGGAAUGCUCUGUAAUGUUUGUUGUCAAGUCUUUCUGACUUUAUGCAUAAUCAUUACAAGAGGAUCAAUGCAUAUAAGUUUAGAAUCUAACAGAUUUUAGUAAAUGGCAUUAAUUUGGAAUUCUUGCAUUUGCAGUAAGUAUUUGGGACUGUGAAAAGAGAAUCAUUGAAGUUAUGUUCAAUUGAUCUAGUUCACAAAGUAAAGAUCAUAGACAAACAUAGUAUGCAUACUUGGUGUGUGGCAUGACUAGUGUUUAAGAAAACAUAGUGUACAUGCUUGGAGCAUGGGACAACUAUUGUUUUAAAUUCAAGAAUAAAGUUGAUAGCUGAAACAGUAUACAAUGAAUAAUGUGUAAUCAUAUGGUGAUAAAUAAAAGGUGUUUUAUUUAUGUUCAAAGAUUUGAUACCAUAUUGGAUUCAAUUAUUAUUGUGUUUCACUUUGCAUGUUUUGACUUCCCGAAUAAACUAGGUUAUUCUUCCGGAAUGACUAAGUUAUUCAAACCAUCCACAGUCGGUCAUAUGUUGGAAGUAGAUAUGAAUUAAGACUGUCAUGGGUUGGCUUGUAGAGGUCUAAGGUGUUGGACAAAGGGCUACAACACUCAUGAGUGCUCAUAAGUUCUGAGUAUUGGAUUCAACCCGCGCUCAUUGGAAUCACUUCAUGGAUUUUAUCACGAGUGAUCAUGAGACGAUAAUAUCUUAUAUUCUUCAAACCUAGAGAUAUGAGUUGUUACUAUGAGUUGGUUGUACAUUGAUUGCACGAAAACGCAUUUGGUAACUCGGUGUUAUAAAACGUGCCUUUGUGUAUGAUUCAACAAGUAGUAGAACAAUCCAUAUGAGUCGAAGUUUAUCCAUUCCUUUUACCUUCAGGAUAAAAGCGAUAUAUGUGGGCCCCUUGAUGAUUUGGUGAUGACAAAUGUAAGUGCUCAGCUGGGCCAGGACUGAUUUGAUUUGUUUAAUUAGUCAGUCGUCGCAAAUUGGAAAACGGGAAACAACAAAUGGACAUAGAGAAUGAUUAUAAUCCAUGUCUCAGUCCAUAUGAUAUCUAGAAUGGAGGAAUAUAUGAUCCCUUAUCUAAUGGACAAGUCAUUGACAAAGGUCAGAGUUCAUCUACAAGGUCAGAGUUCGACAGAAGCUUUUGAGAGCUACGAUUGCCAGUUGGUUCCUGAAGUCAUAUGCAAUAAUAGUUUUAGACUUAUCCAAGUGGGAGACUGUUGGAUUAAUGUCUAAGUCCAUAACUAUAAUUGGUAAGACUUGACCCGACCCGACAUGGUCCAUUUGGGUUGCAUGGCAUCAUGCAUUUGGGUAGACUAAAAUGAGAGAAAUAACACUUAAGGUUGGUUAAUAUAUUAUAAGUUCUAAUAUAUUAAUAGGAUUAUUUAAUUAGUACUGAUCAAGAAUUAAUCUUGGAUUAAUUAAGUGAUCAAAAGAAAACUAAUUAAAUAUAUGGGUUGAUUGUGUAAAUCAUCCAUACUUGUAUAAUGGGCUAAGACUCCAUGGAUUAUCAAGUUGGGUUAAAACCCAUAGGAUGCUCCAUGGUGUAUUUGAACCCAUGGAUCCAAGGAAAUGGAAAGCCAUGAAAAUUAGGGUUUACCCUAAUUGUCACUAACUGUAUAAGCAUCUUAUUCUUGAGAAAAAGGCCACUAUGUGAGAGAUAAAGGGCUAGCCGAUUUUCAUGAAGUGUUCCAUUUUCUCUCAAGUCAUUCCAUGUGCAUUUGGUGAUGUGUGAACGAUUUGAUGUUUCACACUUGGGGCACAACGCACUCAAGCUUCAUGAAGACAUUCUACAUCAAAGAGGUAUGUAAUUCUAACUUGAUAUAUUCUUAUGAAUCAAUGAUAUUAUGCUAGUUAGGAUGAAUACCUUGGAAAGUUCAUAUUUGCAUGUAUAAUAGAGAAAACAUAGAUCCAAGGUAUUUAGGGUUGCAUGUACACUUAGGAGUGUUAGAAUGCUCAAAAACCAACACUAUCCUCCUUUUCUGUUUUAGACACCUUGGCGUGUCUUUUAUCCUGAGAAUAAGAAGUACCAAAAAUGUUAGAUCCGCCUGAGAUAAUGUUAAUUACUUGGCGUUUGGUGGUGGAAAUCUUGGUUUCUCUUGAAUCUUGUGACCAUCCUAGUUUUUCUCCUUGGACUUUUCUUUCAUUCUUAUGAGGAUCUCUUUAAGAUGCCCUUUGAUAAGGAGGUAGUUGAUCUCCUUUCUUAGGGCUAUCCAAUUGUCCGUCAUGUGCCUGAGAUCUCUAUGGUAAGUACACCAUUUGGACUUGUCUUUCCAACUGGUGGACUCGUUAUCCUUCUUUUGCCACCUUGCUUUGUCUCUGAGAUCCUGCAUAACAUAGAUUAAACUGGAAACAUCCAUGGAAGAAGAAUAGUCAGUGAUAUUAGGAGGUUAAUCUUCCCCUCCUUCAUUUUCAAGGGAAUUAUUAACCUUGUGAUGAUCUGGUUUGGAAUGGGGUUUCGAUUUGUAGGAUCUUGGAGCCGAGGAUUUUGGCCUUCCUAUUGGGAUUCACGUAUUGACUUGAAGGGUUGAUCCUCUUCUGGACUUAUUUAUCCUCUUCAAGCCUUAUGAACCUCAAUGCUCGGCACCUAACUUCGUCCAAUCUCUUGCAUGGAGUCAUCACGAGAUCUUCAUAGAAAGGUGAAUCCUUCCUUAGACCCAUCUUGAAGGCCUCCACAGUAGUCUCCAUGUCAAUGUUAGGGAUGCUCAGAGCUUCCCUGCCAAACCUAUUAACAAAAUCCCUAAGUCGUUCCUUAGGAUCCUAAACCACCCGAUAGAGAUCACUAGAGAUCUUCUCAAAGGUUCCGCUACAAGAAAACUGGUUAUUGAAAAUAUUGACUAAAUGUUCAAAUGAAGUAAUAGAAUAGGGGGGAAUGUUUAGCAACCAUUUAAGAGCUGAUCCUGUGAGGGUUAAACCAAAGCCUUUGCAUAGGAGAGCAUCCUUCAAGUGCAAUGGGAUGGGAAUGAUCUCCAUCCUUUCUCGGUAUUGUGCUAUGUGCUCUCCAGGGUCCGUAAUUCCAUCAUAAGGCUUCAUGCUAGGAGUCUGCAAGUGCUUAGGAACUUCGGUAUUGGCUAUCGCAGGAACAAAUCUUGAGAUCCUCUGACUUGUUGGAGAUCCUUCUGGUAUGGGUUGAACUACCUCGAGUACACUUGAGAUCACAUGUCUCAACUGUUGAAGUUCCCUAUCCAUGUUUGGACUUAUUCUUGCAUCAACAUUCGUUGAGUUAGUAUUGAUAGUAUUGUUGCUUAAGAAGUUACUAGAAUUAAGGUUUCUAGGAUUAUUGAAAGGCUCAUCGAGAUCAUUGAUCAUAGAUGCUUGAAUGUCUGUAGUCGUCCCCAAGGGUGAUGCAGCGGUAGCAGGAUUUGUGUUCCCCUGUUGAUUUCCUGAGGAUCCUACAUUGUCGAAGUUUAGGAUCCUUGGUUGUACAACUGUGGGCAUCAUUUCCUGGGAUUUCUAAAAUUCUGCCUUCAUCGUCUCCACUUCUCUAAGUAGUGUUCUAUUGUCGUCUUGCUGCUGAGUCAUCUGUUGCGUCAUUUUCCUCAUCAUAGCAAAGAGUUUAGCAGUAGUGACCGGAGCAAUCGGAUCCUGGAGUCCUGAAGAUCCCAAACUUCCUUGGUUAGUGACCGAAGGGUGUUUCUUUUGGAUGUAUCAGGCGCUUUCCUAUGCCAGGGGGUCUACUCGGAGGAGGUGGUAGGUUUUUGGUUGGAAUGGAAGGAGCGGAGGAUGAAGAAAGGAUCGGUUGUGUAGACAUGAUAUUUCGAGGAUUUUGAACACCACGGUCCCACGGUGGGCACCAAAUUGUUUUGAUCAAAAAUUACACAAGUAUAAAUCAACCAAAUUGAAUGAGAGGUUGUGAUGUUCGAAUUGUGCAAUAGAGAAAGGUAAAGAGAAUGACACGAUUGUUUACAUGGAAAGCCCUUGAUCCUUGCUAGGAUCUCCGACACAAAACCUUGGGAGGUGAUAAUGAUCACCUGCCUUGAGGAUUUUAUUAAUAUAAAAUGAUGAUUACAGAGAGUAUUUCUGUAAGAACAAGUGAAAAAGUUCGUAGAGUAAGCUAAGAGUAGGUAGAGUGUGUCGUGUGCGAGAUACAUGUGUCAAUUUGUAGUUUAAACUAGCUGACAAGAUGUCUGAUAUUCCCAGGAUCCUCUACGACCAGCUUUGUGAACGUUGAUGGACUUUGGUAUUCUGGGUCUUUAGCAUAGUUGAGAUGAGUCUCUGUUGAGAAUAAGUCUUCUCUUGACUAUUUCUACACAUGUGUUAAUUAAGAAUUAAAUAUAACCGUUAAAAAAGUUAGUAAAUAAUAAUAAUAUUCAUAGUCGGGAUCCUGAGAUAGUUGAGGAUCUUGAAUAUCUGAUGAGGUUUGUGGAUGCUAAUUGUUUUGAGGAUCCUGGACCUAACAUUGGUAAUACCGAUUAAGUGAUUUAAGCCCUUGAAUUGUGGUUUGGAGCCAAGGGUAAAAUGGGAAAAACAAUAUUUUAGACUACUUGCAUGAAUUGAAAGUUUUAGUUUGCUAUGUUUUACGUCAAAAAUGUUUAGAUAGUAAUUUGGGGAUUGUCAAUGCCUUCACAUGUGUAUAAAUAUCACUGAAAAUAGAUUUGGAACAAAUGACUUAUGACCGUUUGAAGCUGGAGCUGAAAACCGAAAAAUUUGGAAUUUAUCGCAAAAGCACAGUACGCCCUUGGCCCAGUGAGAGGCAAUUUUUUUUAGGAUUGUUGAGGUAUUUAAAUUCCAUUAACCCUUAGGGUUGGAUCAUUUUCAACCUCCAACACCCCUAUAUUAUUAUUAGGAUUAAACCCUAGCCUCCUUUGAGCAAAGUGAGUUUAUCAAAUCUCAUUGAAUCAUGUUUGGGUGCAUUUUGGUGGUGAUUUGAUGAAGAUGGAAGAUCUAGAAAGUCUUGUUGGUUGCAAUGGAUGUUGUUUCAAUUUUGGAUCCAUCAAUUUCAUGCCCUUUCUAGACUUUUGUAAGUAAAAAGCUUCAACCAUUCCUUUCUAGUUGUUAGGUCUUGCUAAUGGUUCCUUUUAUGCUCUUUUGGUCCCAUUUUGGUGGUGAGUUUGGAGUUGAGAUAACACCAACUCCUUUCGAGCACUUAGGAUUGUUGUAUGGACCAUAUGUAUAUCGAAAGUUGGAAUCUUGUGCAUGUUCUUUUAGCAAUGGAUGUUAUUUUGGUCCUUUUUGCUUAGUCUGGUGAAUUAAAGUCUAAAUCUUGUUAGUUUAUGGAAUUGUUAUGGAUAAAUUUGGAAAUUUAAUUAAUCUUUACAACAUAUUAUUUCAGAACUGAAAGUUGGAGGCUUGGAUUUAAUAGAUUAAGUUGAAAGAAAUGCAUUCUUGGAGUUUUUGAGAUUUAAUAUUUAGAUCUUGUUUGUGAUGGAAAAGAUUAACGGAUAAAGUUCGAAACAUUAUCCAUUUCGACCUGAUGAGAUUUCAGAUUUGGAAUUUGGGAUAUUGACUUAAUAGAUUAAGCGCUUUAAUCCUUUAGUUUAGUCAUGGUGCGACAAGCCCUUCCUCAGAGUGACACGCUUCUAGUGUUUUUUGAUGUGCGCUUGAUUAUGAGCAAGUUCUUGAUUUUUUUUCCUAUAGUGGUCACUGGGCGCCCGCGAGAGGACGUAGUGCGCUUGUUGCCCAAAGUGUUGACUUGGACCGUUGACUGUUGACUUUUGGUCAAUUUGACUUUUGGUCGGACGUUUAUAGAGUUGAGUAUUUGACUAAGAAAUGGUCUCGGUUUGGCUUUAGGUAUCUUGGGUUAGUUGUUAUAUUGUUGCAGGUUAGUUUUGAUCGGUUAUGUAACACUAGUCAAAAUAGGUCAAUAACAAUCACAUGUGAUUAUGCCAAUCAUGUAGUGUGGUUAGUAAUGUUUUGAAAUUACUAUGUAGUUCAUGAUAAAUUCUAAUACAAAUAUGAACUUUCUUUAUAAUACAACUCAAAGUAUAUGUCCAUACGAUUCCAAAGAUAUAGAGAACGUCUAAAUCUGACUUAGCGUGAAGAAGUUAUGAUAAACCGAACAAUAUAAAUCUUUAUAAUAAGAGGAAUUUAAAAUAUACUUAGAAUCAUCUAUUGGAGUCUAAAAGAGAGUUGUUGUAAUCAUAAAUACCUAUGCGCGCAUAUAAAGAACGUCAAAAACGGAGUUCGUAUGUGAAAGUUACGACCUUUCGAAGAUUCAGGUGUCAAAAACCCUAAUCUGACUGAACUCAUGAGGUGAGCAUAAAUGUUCACGAGGUGAGGAGUCAUUUUUCCACAUCUCGGAAUCUAGAAGGUAUGAAGAGGCUAAGAGGGGAAAGAUCCAAACUCACGACGUGAACAAGGAUUCAUUCACGUCGUGAGGAGUCAAAGAGACACCUUCCGAAGCUAGGGACGCAAAUGGCAAGUCUACGGGGUGAUUAGCCAUGAAUCACGACGUGAGUCUUACAAAACUCACAACGUGAGAGGCCAAAAUCCUUCAUAUAAAUAUCAAGUCCAACUUCAGCCAUUCUUACACCUAAAUUUAUUUCUUCUCUCUCCUUUUUUGAAGCCAUUUUGCAUCCCGAGCCCCGACGACCUCGUACCGCUGUCCGUUUCUGCUUAGAUUAUAUAAAUUCACGCUACUAGGGUGAGUUUCACGGCACCACUUUCUAAUAUUUUCAGGGGGAAAAUGCAUGCUAAAUAUUGUAUAUAGGUUACUAUUAUGUCUAUAUGAUAGUAUAUUAGUAUCAACGUAGAUAAUUAUAAUAACUAGGAUAUAGUUGUUCUAAAUGUAGUAUUUUGAAUAUAUACAACUAUUAUCAACUUGUUAGCAUGUUCUUGUACUGGUGUAGAUCUUAAGUUAUACUUAGGAUUCUAUAUAUAUUUCAUGUGCGAUAUAGUUCCAGAGUUGUACUCGGAAGUUCUAUAUGUUAAUUGAUAGGUACGUUGUUAUUGUUGGUUUUAUGUCAAGAUAAAACUUGGUAUGUUAUAUAUUGUUAUUGUUGGUUUUAUGUCAAGAUAAAACCUGGUUUUUCUUCAAGUUAUAGUUGUUAUACUGCGUAAAUGUUAUGAAGUUAGGAGGAAUGUUUAAAAGCAUAGUCUAGUAACUUAGGGUUUUAGACAUGAAAAUGCUUUUGUUGUUAGGACUAUAGAACGCUGUCAAAGUCUACAUGAGCUACCUCAUUCAUCAACUAAGAUUGGGGAUCUUAGUGGAAGUCCUCUGACAUGUAACCAUUAAUCCCGUGUGAGCGAGGAAGUUGUGCAUGAAUAAGAUACGGGUUGACGACCCCACUCGUGGUUGUUAAUUACAACCCAAGACAAGCGAGUGACGAUCCGUUCCUUUUAUUUGUUAUUGUUCCGGCGUCGAUGAAGCGUGCAGUAUUGUUUCUCAUGGUAAAUCAUGAGUGUAUUGUUUCUCAUGGUAAAUCAUGAGUGUGUCUUAUCAGAGGUUUUGUUGUCAAUCAGCGGUUACAGACUCAUGGUAGCAACUUGUUAGAUACAUUACACUUCGUUGUUAUACAAGUAUUAAUGUUAAGUGAUGAGAAUAAAUCUCUAGAUCGUUUAGAUCUUUCACAGGUAUAUUGAUAAAGAACAGACAAUUCAAACACAAUAUGAUUAUGAACACAGUAUGGAAUCAAUGUAAUGCUUAUGAUUCAAAUAUAGUCACGCCUCAGCAGAGCUCGAUGAAGUACUUCCACUGUAGAGGCGAGCUAGGGUUUACAAUACUUUGAUAAGAGAUAAUAAAAGCGUUUUUAACUAAAGAUACAUGCAUGCACCUUAAAUACUAAAACCCUAGAGAAAACAUUGCACGGUUGGACAGGCCCAAACCGGCUACAAAAUUGGACUAAGGACCAAGCCCGCGACGUGACACUAUAAGCCCAACAAUCUCCCCCUUUGUGUCAAAUGAGGCGAGAGAUUAUUUCUGUUGAGUAGGCUUCACUGUCUUCACAACUUUGAACAGCCGAGGAAUGAUAGCAAGAAGAGUCUGUCAAAACUGAAUAUACCAUCUCAGCAUGUCAGUAAACAACUUCUUGUCAGCUGCUGCAUUCUGAUUACACCUCUGAAUGAUCUCCAAACUAUGCUCCAGGCAUGCAUUUGAGAACAGGUGCUUGUCAAUAAGAGCGAAUAGGCAUUUUGACCUUCGCCCCUAAGAAACAUCACAAUGUGAUAUUUUGUGUCAAUUUUUCCCUUGAUCAUUGUGUUUAUAUCGCCAACUCUUCCCAUUGGUUUGCGUGGUACGCNGCUUGUGAAUAGCAGAUGUGAUUUCUUGAUCCAUCUUUGCUACUUCAUGAAUGUAACAAACGAGCAUUUGCUUGACAUGGUCAAUAAUCGGCUGAUACUCCCGAGGGUUGGACAGCAAAAUGUUGUUGUGGAGUAUCCAGUCAUGAGGGUUGAGGUUCGGUAGAUCAGCCAGGGAUAAAUUAUGAACCGAGCCUUCGGAGCCUCGGGUCACUUUAAAUUUGACGUUGAUGAAUUUCCCGGCUGAAUAAGGCUUCAGUACCUUAACAUUAGUAAUCUUCUAUGAACUCCAUGUCAAGUACUGUGGCUGAGCAAAUCCAGAUAAAACUCUAACAGAUCCCGAUCCACCUCCGGGUCCGGAGAGGGAAUGACAGCAGUUGAGUUGAAGCAAUUAAAGAUAAAUGCCUUUCGAGUGAUUGGCAUAUCAAACUGCGCAUCCUUCGAGUUUUCAAAGCCGAAUGACAUAACAGGUUUGAGCCAAUGAGCGCUCGGUUCAUCUAUAGCAUCUUUUUGGAGCGAAUCAAUGGUCCAAUCUGAAAAAAUGGACUUCUUUUUCUCCAAGAGCUCCUUUCUUUUUUGCUUCUUCUCCAGCUCAGCCGUUUCCUUCUUGAUCUUUUCUACAAACUGUUUUUCAGAAAGUUUUGUUUUGUGAAAAGGCUUAGAGGGAUUUUCACCCGAAGUAUCUUCAAAAUCAUCAUCAUUAUCUGUAUCAUUUUCACCAAUUUUCUUCUUCUUAUCCCUUUUGCUGACCGAAGCUUCAUUAUCCUUCGGUGCAACUGUUGAUUUGGGUUCGGGAGGAGGUUGAGUUGUAACCUUUUCCUUUUCUCCCCUAGUUUCGGCUUGACAGAAGUCACCGAAACACCCUCAAUCCGAUUAAGGAUAUCCAACGCAGUUCGGAGUUUGUCAGCCAAAUGGCGUCUGAUGGAUAUAAUCAGAAUGGAAUCAUGGGCGUCAAGAAGAUGUAACAAAAUGGAAUGAACAUCACCCACAGAGCUUCUGAUCACUUCUCUUUCAGACUUCAAAUCAUCAAGCUCGUUUGUGACAGUGCGAAGCUUGAGGUUUUGCAUUUUCAGCUGAGAUGUACGCUUGUCUAACUCAUCCAUUAUCCGAUUUUCAACAGCCAGCUCUGCUUCCAGUUGAGUCAGAUGAUCAUUGACAUUAGCGUGAAGGUUGGCAUUGGCAGCUUCAAUGACCUUUCGAUCGACUUCAAAACUAGUCCUUUAACCUUUAAGAGAACGCUGAAAAUUAUCAACUGAAGCAUUCACUGUCUGAGAGUUCUUUUGAGCAGCAGCUUGCAAAGAAUCGAGGAAUAGUUGAGCCUCAAAAAUUAGUUUAUCGAUUUUCAUAGUCGCUUCUUUGCAUUCCUUCGUCGAGGCCUCAAUAGAAAACGAGGCCUUAUGACAUUGAGAAGUAGAGGCGUCAAUAGUAUUUUCUGCAGCAGAGAGAGAGGCAUCAUGUUCUUUAACAACCGAAGAGAACAGAGCUUUAAGAGCAGCUUCAGAAUAAGCACCAGUGGAGGAGGAGGAAAGCAACUGAUCAAGCUUUUCAGUAACAACCUUGAGAUGGCGCUUGGUGACUGGAGCAUCUUCAUCAUCAUCACUUUGGACACGGUAGGGACUGAAGUAAGUGGAAUCAAACUCCAAUUUCUCACCUCCAAUAACGGUGUUGGUUUCGGUAGAUUGGGUAGGAGAUAGUGGUGUGGUAGUAAGUGGAGGUUCGGUAAGCACACCAUUUGGACUUGUCUUUCCAACUGGUGGACUCAUUAUCCUUCUUUUGCCACCUUGCUUUGUCUUCGAGAUCCUGCAUAACAUAGAUUAAACUGGAAACAUCCAUGGAAGAAGAAUAGUCAGUGAUAUUAGGAGGUUACUCUUCCCCUCCUUCAUUUUCAAGGGAAUUAUUAACCUUGUGAUGAUCUGGUUUGGAAUAGGGUUUCGAUUUGUAUGAUCUUGGAGCCAAGGAUUUCGCCUUCCUAUUGGGAUUCUCAUAUUGACUUGAAGGGUUGCUCCUCUUCUGGACUUAUUUAUCCUCUUCAAGCCUUAUGAACCUCAAUGCUCGGCACCUAACUUCGUCCAAUCUCUUGCAUGGAGUCAUCAUGAGAUCUUCAUAGAAGGGUGAAUCCUUCCUUAGACCCAUCUUGAAGGCCUCCACAACAGUCUCCAUGUCAAUGUUAGGGAUGUUCAAAGCUUCCCUGCCAAACCUAUUAACAAAAUCCCUAAGUCGUUCCUUAGGAUCCUAAACCACCCGAUAGAGAUCACUAGAGAUCUUCUUAAAGGUUCUUCUACAAGAAAACUGGUUAUUGAAAAUAUUGACUAAAUGUUCAAAUGAAGUAAUAGAAUAAGGGGGAAUGUUUAGCAACCAUUUAAGAGCUGAUCCUGUGAGGGUUAAACCAAAGCCUUUGCAUAGGAGAUCAUCCUUCAAGUGCACUAGGAUGGGAAUGAUCUCCAUCCUUUCUCGGUAUUGUGCUACGUGCUCUCCAGGGUCCGUAAUUCCAUCAUAAGGCUUCAUGCUAGGAGUCUGCAAGCGCUUAGGAACUUCGGUAUUGGCUAUCGCAGGAACAAAUCUUGAGAUCCUCUGACUUGUUGGAGAUCCUUCUGGUAUGGGUUGAACUACCUCGAGUACACUUGAGAUCACAUGUCUCAACUGUUGAAGUUCCCUAUCCAUGUUUGGACUUAUUCUUGCAUCAACAUUCGUUGAGUUAGUAUUGAUAGUAUUGUUGCUUAAGAAGUUACUAGAAUCAAGGUUUCUAGGAUUAUUGAAAGGCUCAUCGAGAUCAUUGAUCAUAGAUGCUUGAAUGUUCGUAGUCGUCCCCAAGGGUAAUGCAGCAGUAGCAGGAUUUGUGUUCCCCUGUUGAUUUCCUGAGGAUCCUGCAUUGUCGAAGUUUAGGAUCCUUGGUUGUACAACUGUGGGCAUCAUUUCCUGGGAUUUCUAAAAUUCUGCCUUCAUCGUCUCCACUUCUCUAUGUAGUGUUCUAUUUCCGUCUUGCUGCUGAGUCAUCUGUUGCGUCAUUUUCCUCAUCAUAGCAAAGAGUUUAGCAGUAGUGACCGGAGCAAUCGGAUCCUGGAGUCCUGAAGAUCCCAAACUUCCUUGGUUAGUGACCGGAGGGGUGUUUCUUUUGGAAGUACCAGGCGCUUUCCUAUGCCAGGGGGUUUACUCGGAGGAGGUGUAGGUUUUUGNAGGUUUUUGGUUGGAAUGGAAGGAGCGGAGGAUGAAGAAAGGAUCGGUUGUGUAGACAUGAUAUUUCGAGGAUUUUGAACACCACGGUCCCACGGUGGGCGCCAAAUUGUUUUGAUCAAAAAUUACACAAGUAUAAAUCAACCAAAUUGAAUGAGAGGUUGUGAUGUUUGAAUUGUGCAAUAGAGAAAGGUAAAGAGAAUGACACGAUUGUUUACAUGGAAAGCCCUUGAUCCUUGCUAGGAUCUCCGACACAAAACCUUGGGAGGUGAUAAUGAUCACCUGCCUUGAGGAUUUUAUUAAUAUAAAAUGAUGAUUACAUAGAGUAUUUCUGUAAGAACAAGUAAAAAAGUUCGUAGAGUAAGCUAAGAGUAGGUAGAGUGUGUCGUGUGCGAGAUACAUGUGUCAAUUUGUAGUUUAAACUAGCUGACAAGAUGUCUGAUAUUCCCAGGAUCCUCUACGACCAGCUUUGUGAACGUUGAUGGACUUUGGUAUUCUGGGUCUUUAGCAUAGUUGAGAUGACUCUCUGUUGAGAAUAAGUCUUCUCUUGACUAUUUCUACACAUGUGUUAAUUAAAAAUGAAAUAUAACCGUUAAAAAAGUUAGUAAAUAAUAAUAAUAUUCAUAGUCGGGAUCCUGAGAUAGUUGAGGAUCCUGAAUAUCUGAUGAGGAUUGUGGAUGCUAAUUGUUUUGAGGAUCCUGGACCUAACAUUGGUAAUACCGAUUAAGUGAUUUAAGCCCUUGAAUUGUGGUUUGGAGCCAAGGGUAAAAUGGGAAAAACAAUAUUUUAGACUACUUGCAUGAAUUGAAAGUUUUAGUUUGCUAUGUUUUACAUCAAAAAUGUUUAGAUAGUAAUUUGGGGAUUGUCAAUGCCUUCACAUGUGUAUAAAUAUCACUGGAAAUAGAUUUGGAACAAAUGACUUAUGACCGUUUGAAGCUAGAGCUGAAAACCGAAAAUUUUGGAAUUUAUCGCAAAAGCGCAGUACGCCCUUGGCCCAGUAAGAUGCGCAUUUUUUUAGGAUUGUUGAGGUAUUUAAAUUCCAUUAACCCUUAGGGUUGGAUCAUUUUCAACCUCCAACACCCCUAUAUUAUUAUUAGGAUUAAACCCUAGCCUCCUUUGAGAAAAGUGAGUUUAUCAUAUCUCCUUGAAUCAUUUUUGGGUGCAUUUUGGUGGUGAUUUGAUGAAGAUUGAAGAACUAGAAAGUCUUGUUGGUUGCAAUGGAUGUUGUUUCAAUUUUGGAUCCGUAAAUUUCAUACCCUUUCUAGACUUUUGUAAGUAAAAAUCUUCAACCAUUCCUUUCUAGUUGUUAGGUCUUGCUAAUGGUUCCUUUUAUGCUCUUUUGGUCCCAUUUUGGUGGUGAGUUUGGAGUUGAGAUAACACCAACUCCUUUAGAGCACUUAGGAUUGUUGUGUGGACCAUAUGGAUAUCGAAAGUUGGAAUCUUGUGCAUGUUCUUUUAGCAAUGAAUGUUAUUUUGGUCCUUUUUGCUUAGUUUGGUGAAUUAAAGUCUAAAUCUUGUUAGUUUAUCGCAUUGUUAUGGAUAAAUUUGGAAAUUUAAUUAAUCUUUACAACAUAUUAUUUCAGAACUGAAAGUUGGAGGCUUGGAUUUAAUAGAUUAAGUUGAAAGAAAUGCAUUCUUGGAGUUUUUGAGACUUAAUAUUUAGAUCUUGUUUGUGAUGGAAAAGAUUAACGGAUAAAGUUCGAAACAUUAUCCAUUUCGACCUGAUGAGAUUUCAGAUUUGGAAUUUGGGAUAUUGACUUAAUAGAUUAAGUGCUUUAAUCCUUUAGUUUAGUCAUGGUGCGACAAGCCCUUCCUCAGAGUGACAAGCUUCUAGUUUUUUCUGAUGUGUGCUUGAUUAUGAGCAAGUUCUUGAUUGUUUUGUCCUAUAGUGGUCACUGGGCGCCCGCGAGAGGACGUAGUGCGCUUGUUGCCCAAAGUGUUGACUUAGACCGUUGACUGUUGACUUUUGGUCAAUUUGACUUUUGGUCGGACGUUUAUAGAGUUGAGUAUUUGACUAAGAAAUGGUCUCGGUUUGGCUUUAGGUAUCUUGGGUUAGUUUUUAUAUUGUUGCAGGUUAGUUUUGAUCGGUUAUGUAACACUAGUCAAAAUAGGUCAAUAACAAUCACAUGUGAUUAUGCCAAUCAUGUAGUGUGAUUAGUAAUGUUUUGAAAUUAAUAUGUAGUUCAUGAUAAAUUCUAAUACAAAUAUGAACUUUCUUUAUAAUACAACUCAAAGUAUAUGUCCAUACGAUUCCAAAGAUAUAGAGAACGUCUAAAUCUGACUUAGCGUGAAGAAGUUAUGAUAAACCGAACAAUAUAAAUCUUUAUAAUAAGAGGAAUUUAAAAUAUACUUAGAAUCAUCUAUUGGAGUCUAAAAGAGAGUUGUUGUAAUCAUAAAUACCUAUGCGCGCAUAUAAAGAACGUCAAAAACGGAGUUCGUAUGUGAAAGUUACGACAUUUCGAAGACUCAGGUGUCAAAAACCCUAAUCUGACUGAACUCAUGAGGUGAGCAUAAAUGUUCACGAGGUGAGGAGUCAUUUUUCCACAUCUAGGAAUCUAGAAGGUAUGAAGAGGCUAAGAGGGGAAAGAUCCAAACUCACGACGUGAACAAGGAUUCAUUCACGUCGUGAGGAGUCAAAGAGACACCUUCCGAAGCUAGGGACGCAAAUGGCAAGUCUACGGGGUGAUUAGCCAUGAAUCACGACGUGAGUCUUACAAAACUCACAACGUGAGAGGCCAAAAUCCUUCAUAUAAAUAUCAAGUCCAACUUCAGCCAUUCUUACACCUAAAUUUAUUUCUUCUCUCUCCUUUUUGGAAGCCGUUUUGCAUCCCGAGCCCCGACGACCUCGUACCGCUGUCCGUUUCUGCUUAGAUUAUAUAAAUUCACGCUACUAGGGUGAGUUUCACGGCACCACUUUCUAAUAUUUUCAGGGGGAAAAUGCAUGCUAAAUAUUGUAUAUAGGUUACUAUUAUGUCUAUAUGAUAUUAUAUUAGUAUCAACGUAGAUAAUUAUAAUAACUGGGAUAUAGUUGUUCUAAAUAUAGUAUUUUGAAUAUAUACAACUAUUAUCAACUUGUUAGCAUGUUCUUGUACUGAUGUAGAUCUUAAGUUAUACUUAGGAUUCUAUACAUAUUUCAUGUGUGAUAUAGUUCUAGAGUUGUACUCGGAAGUUCUAUAUGUUAAUUGAUAGGUACGUUGUUAUUGUUGGUUUUAUGUCAAGAUAAAACUUGGUAUGUUAUAUUUUGUUAUUGUUGGUUUUAUGUCAAGAUAAAACCUAGUUUUUCUUCAAGUUAUAGUUGUUAUACUGCGUAAAUGUUAUGAAGUUAGGAGGAAUGUUUAAAAGCAUAGUCUAGUAACUUAGGGUUUUAGACAUGAAAAUGAUUUUGUUGUUAGGACUAUAGAACAUCGUCAAAGUCUACAUGAGCUACCUCAUUCAUUGACUAAGAUUGGGGAUCUUAGUGGGAGUCCUCUGACCUAUAACCAUUAAUCCCGUGUGAGCGAGGAAGUUGUGUAUGAAUAAGAUACGGGUUGACGACCCCACUCGUGGUUGUUAAUUACAACCCAAGACAAGCGAGUGACGAUCCGUUCCUUUUAUUUGUUAUUGUUCCGGCGUCGAUGAAGCGUGCAGUAUUGUUUCUCAUGGUAAAUCAUGAGUGUAUUGUUUCUCAUGGUAAAUCAUGAGUGUGUUUUAUCAGAGGUUUUGUUGUCAAUCAGCGGUUAUAGACUCAUCGUAGCAACUUGUUAGAUACAUUAUACUUCGUUGUUAUACAAGUAUUAAUGUUAAGUGAUGAGAAUAAAUCUCUAGAUCGUUUAGAUCUUUCACAGGUAUAUUGAUAAAGAACAGACAAUUCCAACACAAUAUGAUUAUGAACACAGUAUGGAAUCAAUGUAAUGCUUAUGAUUCAAAUAUAGUCACGCCUCAGCAGAGCUCGAUGAAGUACUUCCACUGUAGAGGCGAGCUAGGGUUUACAAUACUUUGAUAAGAGAUAAUAAAAGCGUUUUUAACUAAAGAUACAUGCAUGCACCUUAAAUACUAAAACCCUAGAGAAAACAUUGCACGGUUGGACAGGCCCAAACCGGCUACAAAAUUGGACUAAGGACCAAGCCCGCGACGUGAAACUAUAAGCCCAACAAUCUCCCCCUUUGUGUCAAAUGAGGCGAGAGAUUAUUUCCGUUGAGUAGGCUUCACUGUCUUCACAACUUUGAACAGCCGAGGAAUGAUAGCAAGAAGAGUCUGUCGAAAUUUAAUAUACCAUCUCAGCAUGUUAGUAAACAACUUCUUGUCAGCUGCAGCAUUCUGAUUACACCUCUGAAUGAUCUUCAAACUAUGCUCCAGGCAUGCAUUUGAGAACAGGUGCUUGUCAAUAAGAGCGAAUAGGCAUUUUGACCUUCGCCCCUAAGAAACAUCACAAUGUGAUAUUUUGUGUCAAUUUUUCCCUUGAUCAUUGUGUUUAUAUCGCCAACUCUUCCCAUUGGUUUGAUCGUGGUACGCUUGUGAAUAGCAGAUGCGAUUUCUUGAUCCAUCUUUGCUACUUCAUGAAUGUAACAAACGAGCAUUUGCUUGACAUGGUCAAUAAUCGGCUGAUACUCCCGAGGGUUGGACAGCAAAAUGUUGUUGAGGAGUAUCCAGUCAUGAGGGUUGAGUAAGGCUUCAGUACCUUAACAUUAGUAAUCUUCUGUGAAUUAUGAACCGAGCCUUCGGAACCUCGGGUCACUUUAAAUUUGACGUUGAUGAAUUUCCCGGCUGAAUAAGGCUUCAGUACCUUAACAUUAGUAAUCUUCUGUGAACUCCAUGUCAAGUACUGUGGCUUAGCGAAUCCAGAUAAAACUCUAACAGAUCCCGAUCCACCUCCGGGUCCGGAGAGGGAAUGACAGCAGUUGAGUUGAAGCAAUGAAAGAUAAAUGUCUUUCGAGUGAUUGGCAUAUCAAACUGCGCAUCCUUCGAGUUUUCAAAGCCGAAUGACAUAACAGGUUCGAGCCAAUGAGCGCUUGGUUCAUCUAUAGCAUCUUUUUGGAGCGAAUCAAUGGUCCAAUCUGAAAAAAUGGACUUCUUUUUCUCCAAGAGCUCCUUUUCUUUUUUGCUUCUUCUCCAGCUCAGCCGUUUCCUUCUUGAUCUUUUCUGCAAACUAUUUUUCAGAAAGUUUUGUUUUCUGAAAAGGCUUAGAGGGAUUUUCACCCAGAGUAUCUUCAAAAUCAUCAUCAUCAUCUGUAUCAUUUUCACCAAUUUUCUUCUUCUUAUCCCUUUUGCUGACCGAAGCUUCAUUAUCCUUCAGUGCAACUGUUGAUUUGGGUUCGGGAGGAGGUUGAGUUGUAACCUUUUCCUUUUCUCCCCUAGUUUUGGCUUGACAGAAGUCACCGAAACACCCUCAAUCCGACUAAGGAUAUCCAACGCAGUUCGGAGUUUGUCAGCCAAAUGGCGUCUGAUGGAUAUAGUCAGAAUGGAAUCAUGGGCGUCAAGAAGAUGUAACAAAAUGGAAUGAACAUCACCCACAGAGCUUCUAAUCACUUCUCUUUCAGACUUCAAAUCAUCAAGCUCGUUUGUGACAGUGCGAAGCUUGAGGUUUUGCAUUUUCAGCUGAGAUGUACGCUUGUCUAACUCAUCCAUUAUCCGAUUUUCAACAGCCAGCUCUGCUUCCAGUUGAGUCAGAUGAUCAUUGACAUUAGCGUGAAGGUUGGCAUUGGCACCUUCAAUGGCCUUUUGAUCGACUUCAAGACUAGUCCUUUUAGCUUUAAGAGAACGCUGAAAAUUAUCGACUGAAGCAUUCACUGUCUGAGAGUUCUUUUGAGCAGCAGCUUGCAAAGAAUCGAGGAAUAGUUGAGCCUCAAAAAUUAGUUUAUCGAUUUUCACAGUCGCUUCUUUGCAUUCCUUCGUCGAGGCCUCAAUAGAAAACGAGGCCUUAUGACAUUGAGAAGCAGAGGCGUCGAUAGUAUUUGCUGCAGCAGAGAGAGGGGCAUCAUGUUCUUUAACAACCGAAGAGAUUAGAGCUUUAAGAGCAGCUUCAGAAUAAGCACCAGUGGAGGAGGAGGAAAGCAGCUGAUCAAGCUUUUCAGUAACAACCUUGAGAUGGCGCUUGGUGACUAGAGCAUCUUCAUCGUCAUCACUUUGGACACGGUAGGGACUGAAGUAAGUGGAAUCAAACUCCAAUUCCUCACCUCCAAGAACGGUGUUGGUUUCGGUAGAUUGGGUAGGAGAUAGUGGUGUGGUAGUAACUGGAGGUUCGGUAGUGACUGGGGGGUUGGUAGUGACAGGAGGAUUGGGUGCUGAAGAAUGAGCCCCCGUAUCAGAUACGUUGGUUCGAACUCCAGUAGUGGUGGUAGUAGUGGCUUCAGUAAAGAUUGGUGCAAAAAUGGGAAUAGUAGUAGAUGGUUGAGAUGUAAUGAUAGGAAAAAUAGGAGGGAUAGAGAUAGGAACAGAAACAGGUGGAGGAGAAGGUACUUGGGACCGAACAGGUACCUAUGGUGUAGGCGAGCGAGGCGGUGUAUCACCGCGCACCGAAUCCUCAUCCUCUGAGCUUUCGCUAUCAGAUUCACUUGCAAGAGGUGUGGGUUGAUUACGUGGCACAUAUUCUGAGUCAGAAUCACUCGAAGAUUGAAGAAUUAGUCGGCAAGCUGGUUUCUUGACUUUCUUCGGCUUAGGUUGAGCUGGUGCUGCCUUCUCUGACUUUCGCUUCCUAGGUGUUUGGACUUUUGAGACCUGACCCCCUUUAUCUCUCUUUUUCCCUUCGUGCUUUUUGCCUCUCUUUGCAGGUUUGUCUACAUCAUGGAUUGAUUUAACCAUGUCGGCAGUGAGUUCCCUUGGACCAGAAGAGGGAAGCUUCUUGUAUUGCUGAAUAAUCUAGCUUGAAGGAGGCACAAUGGCACUGGAUCCUUGGGGAAGAAAAGUCUUGGUGAUAGACAUUUUCAAAAGGAUCGAUCAAAAUAAAAAGAGAUUUCAUUCAAGAUCUUUAUCAUGGUAAUCGUGCACCGUCAAUUCGUUAAGGGUGUUGAAUUGUGGGUUUCACUUAGUAUGUAGUGACACGAGACUAAGAUCAUUAACACAGAUUUUGUAUAACCAUAAACCUCAAUGGUAAGUGCUGAGAGUCUCAAGGGUUACAUUAGUGAGAUGAAGUGCAAUGAAGAAAAAUGAUAUAGGUGGUGUAAGAAGCGAAUGUACCUCUGCUAUAAAAGAAGGACCAAACAGAAAACUCUAAACUCAGUAUGAGAAGAGUAAGGUAGCUCACGAUUAGAGUGAAUGUAACAGCCUAGUUUGGGAAAACAUGAUUUGUAUAUAUCAUGUUACUAAGGCUUUACUCAAAAUCUGUUGAGGCUUUGGCCAACAUGCAGCAGCAUGCAUCUAGGGACACUUAACUAAUUUAUAGAAAAUAAGUUAUACCCGCUUGAGCUUCACCAUCGAGAGUAGCAUUUAUACAAAGGAAAGCAUUAGAAAAAUAAAAUUAAAGGAAAGAUAUUUUUGUAUUUUGUGAAUUUUUUUUUAAUAAAACAAAAAGAAAAAUCUUUUUGGAUUUUAUGAAAUAAAAAAAUGAAAAGAAAAAAAAAUAAAAAUGAGUAUUUAAAAGAGUGUACAAAAGAAUACAAUCAAAAUCCCUUUUUAUGAAAAAGAAGCGAACGAGUUCAGAAGGACCGAACCCGAAAUAGACCGAGCGUUCGGUUCUUUUCGGUUCGCUCUAUUUCGCUUCUUACCUUUAAUGAAGCCAAGGCGAUUUUGGUACUGAUUCUGCUUCCAUCAUUCCUAGGCCUUGUAUCAUCUUGUUGAAACUUGCUUUAGGUAAAGCCUUAGUGAAUAUAUCUGCCAGUUGAUCAGUGGUCCUCACGAAGUGAAUCACCACAUUGCCAUCUUCCACAUGAUCUUUGAUGAAGUGAUACCGUAGUGCUAUGUGCUUUGUCUUCGAGUGUUGCACUGGGUUAUGACAAAUCCUAGUUGCACUUUCAGAGUCGCAAUAUAGUGGGAUUUUCUUCAUGUUCAGCCCAUAGUCUCUAAGCUGACUCUAUAUCCAAACAACCUGAGAUGUGCAUGAGGCGGCAGCUAUGUAUUCGGCCUCAGCCGUGGAGAGAGAAACACAAGUUUGUUUCUUUGAUUUCCAGCUAACCAAUUUUCCAUCAAGAAAUUGGCAACCUCCAGUAGUGCUUUUACGAUCCAAUCCACAACCACCUAAUUCAGCAUCUGAGAACGCUUGGACAAAGAAACCUGAGUUGGCUGGAUACCAUAGACCGAGAGAGGAGGUUCGCUUCAGAUAGAGAAAGAUGUUUUUCAUGGUUAGCAUGUGAGGUUCGCGUAGGUUAGCUUGGAAUCGGGCACAAUAGCAGACUGAGAACAUGAUGUCGGGUGGGCUGGUUGUGAGAUACAUUAGUGACCCAAUCAUUUGACGAUAAAGUGUCAUGUCAACGGCUGGCUUCUCCAAAGAUGGUGUAAGCCUAGUCCCAAAAGCCAUAGGAACUUUCACUUUGGAGUCUCCCAUCAUGCCGAACUUAGCAAGAAAUGUCUUUGUAUAUGCCUCCUGAUUGAUAAAAAUGCCUUCGGGUCCCUGUGUAAUAUUUAAGCUAAGGAAAAAGUUAAUUGGACCCAUUGAGCUCAUCUCAAAUUUAGUUUCCAUCAACUUCCUGAAUUCAGCUGUUAAGUUGGGAUUCGUGGAGCCAAAGAUGAUGUCAUCAACGUAAAUUUGGACUAUCAUAAGGUGGUUACCAUCUCUCUUACGAAAGAAGGUUGGGUCAACCGAACCUUGUUUAAAUUUUGACAUUUUUAAGAAUCGAGUGAGAGUUUCAUACCAUGCUCUGGGAGCCUGCUUCAGUCCAUAUACUGCUUUGUCUAGGAUGUAACAGUGAUCUGGAUGCUUCUCAUUCAUGAAGCUUCGCGGUUGCUCAAUGUACACGGUUUCUUCAAGUUCUCCGUUGAGAAAGACACACUUUACGUCCAUUUGAUAGACUUCAAAGUUUUUGUGUGCAACAUAAGCAAGAAAGAUUCAAACCGACUCUAAUCUUGCAACUGGAGCGAAGGUCUCUUCAUAAUCGAUACCUUCCUCUUGGCAAUAGCCUUUUAUAACCAACUGAGCCUUGUUACAAAUCAUAUUCCUCUUCUUAUCCAUCUUAUUUCUGAAUACCCACUUGAGAUCCACAAUCGAAGCAUCCUUUGGAGUUGGAAUUAAACACCAUACUUUGUUUCUUUCAAACUCAUUCAGAUCGUCUUGCAUGGCUUGAACCCAAUCAGAAUGGUCAAGAGCCGAUUUCACGGUCUUCGGUUCAACUUUGGAGAGAAAAGAGUUGAACAUGCAAAAUUCCACUUGAGAGAAUAGUGCAACUUGUUUCGCUUUGAUCUGUGAUCGAGUUAAUACCUUUUCUGAGGAUUCCCCAAUGAUUUGACUUUGAGGAUGAUCUUUGGUCCAUUUAAUGAGAGGUGGGUAAUUUGGAUCGCAAGAGGGAUCCAUUUCUGCAUUGAUUUCUUCUUCCAAUUCUGAUAGUGUAUCAGCAUCAUUGACAUUUGUAUUCUCCCCCUCGAAUGAUGACACGAUUUCAAUUUCUGGAUCAGAAUGUUCUCCUUCAUUUGGACUUUUGGUUGAACUAGAUGAUUGUGACGUUGAAUUCUCCCCCUGGAAUGAAGAACCUUGAUAGACGAACCCUCCCCCUGGACAAAAGGACGGUCACCAGAAGGUUUGCUUAAGUCAGGCCUUUCGGUUGCCUUUGGUUGAUCAGCAGCCAUCUUCUGUGCAACAUCGUGAAUGAUUUGCUUUAGAUUGUCGACUUUGUUAUCUUCCGCCUUGGAUUCAGAAUCGAUAGCUUUUUCAGGUUCAUCGAAGAGAAGCAUAUGUUGCUCAAAAAGGUUUGAGAUAGGAACUGUAACUUGACUGGUCUUUGGAAAGAUUUCCUGCAUUGCACCUUCAAUUGUCUUCAACUUCUUAACAUAGCUAUCAUCAAAAGUGACAUAGUAUGUCUCUUCAAUCUUCUUAGAGCGCUUGUUCAGAACUCUAUACGCCUUCGAGUGCAAGGAGUAGGCCAAAAAUAUUCCUUCAUCAGCCUUAGCAUCAAACUUGUUUCGAUUCUCCUAUGAGUUGAAGACGAAGCAUCUUGAACCGAACACGUGAAAGAACUUCACAUUCGGCUUGCAGUUGUUCAAGAUCUCGUAAGGAGUGAUAGAGAAUCGCUUGUUUAGAUAUGAUCUGUUCUGAGUGUAACAUGCAGCAACAAUAGCAUCAGCCUACAAAUACAAAGGCAAGGAAGCGAAGCUUAGCAUAGUUCGAGCUACUACAUACAGAGAUUGGUUCGUCUUUCGACGAUUCUAUUCUGCUGUGGAGUAUAUGGAGCAGAGAAAUUGUGAGUCGUUCCCUUCUCAACCAGAAACUCUUCGAAAUCCUUGUUCUUGAAUUCCAAGCCAUUGUCACUUCUUACGUUAAGAACCACUUUUCUCAGUUGAACCUCUACUUGCUUUAUGAAGUGCUUGAGCUUAGGAGUAGCCUCUGAUUUUUGCUUCAAGAAGAAUACCCAUGUGAAGAGAGAGAAAUCGUCAAUUGUGACAAGAAUGUACUUGUUCCCACCCAUGCUUUCAAUAGAGGAGGGACCAAAUAGAUCGAUAUGUAAUAGCUCCAAUGGUUCUAUCACCUUUGUGUUGAUAAUAGAAGGAUGACUUUGUCGACUUUUCUUUCCUAUUUCACAACCUGUGCAUAAAUGUUCUUUGUCGAAUUUAAGAACCGGAAGACCUCGCACGUGAUCCCAAGUACCAGCUUGUUGAUAUCCUUGAAAUUGAGAUGAGAGAGCCUUCUAUACCAUAACCAGCUUUCGUCUGAGUGAGCCUUCGUUAGCAAGCAGACUGCUGGUUUCCCUCGAAUCAGAUUGAGGUUUAAAGGAUACAUUUCUCCAUUUCGUUUCGACUUCAGCAGUAUGUUAUUUAACUUCUUUUCGACUAUCUCUGAGCCUUCAUCAUCAAAUGAGACCUUCAAUCCGGUCUCAACUACUAGCUGUGAUACACUUAUGAGGUUGUGCUGCAAUCCUUCAACGUAUGCGACCUUGCUAAUUGAGAAAUCACCAUUCGUAAUUAUUCCAUAGCCUUUAAUAGUUCCAAACGAAUUGUUGCCGUACUUCACAAUUCCACCAUCCUUGAGAGACCGAAACUCCCUCAGUUCUUCCCUUCGACCUGUGAUGUGAUGCGAGCAGCCACUAUCAAUGUACCAUUCUUCGUCAAACUGCUCGUCACGUAUAACCUGCAAAAAUCAAGCAGAUUUAAGAACCCAAAGUUUCUUGGGUCCUUGUGAGCCUUUUACAGGACAGGGAAUAGUAAGUGAAAUAUCAACCAUAUAAGUUUUUUUUAUUAGAGUGGUUUCAUCUUUUCUCUUUAUUGUAAAAUAUUUGAUUUUGUUUGGCUUAGAUUGAUUAGAAGUAGGAUUUGAAAUUUUGACGUUUGCAUGCUUUUGGAUCUCUUUCGGGCAUCUGUUAUCUUCUGGAAAGAGCUUUCCUUUCCCCUUUGAAUCCUUUGAAGGAUUAGAAUUAGAAUGAGAAUGAGAAGAAUAGGGUUUAGAAGCGAUAUUAGAUCUUCGAUUAUUACUCUUCCUUGGUUGAGAACGGGAACAUUCUUCCAUUCGGUUCUUCUGAUUCAAAUUAGGACUGAACCCAUCAUUUCGGCUGCUAUUAUGUUGAGGACCGAAACCUUGCUUUCGGUUGCUUAAUCGCUGAGGACUGAAACUCUCAUUUCGGUUGCUUUCACGCUUAGGACCGAAACCCUCCUUUUAGUUACAUUCAUACCGAGGACCGAAACCUUCCUUUCAGUUGUUUACCUUCUGUGGACAGAAACUCUCCUUUCGGUUGCUUUCAUGCCGAUGACCAAAACCUUCCUUUCGGUUGCUUCUUAGUUCUCCUUGUGAUUUAUGAGUCUUUUCAUACCUUACGUAAUGAGGAUUCUGAGAUCUCCAAAACUGUUUUCUUUCUGAGAGAUUCUUCUUGUAUCUCAGAUUUUGUUGGUGUUUUCGUUCUGCUACCUGUUUUGGAUUUUUAUGAAUAUUGGCCUUUUUCUUUGGAACUUGAGCAUGGCUUUCGCUCUUUGACGAAGACGUCUCACUGGACGUUAUCACUGGUUCGCCCAAAGAUGUUUUGGUGCCACUUGUGCUUGGCACAUCAUAUCGUGUAGGCUCAUUAAGUGGUUCCGGCACGUACCUACCCUUCACUCUCCAUGAGGUUUUCUGAGAUAGGCCUUUUGUUUCGUCAGUGUUAUCUAUUGGUGCUGACCAGAAGAACUCUUCACAUCCGUUUGCAUUAUCUUCUUCAACCAUAGCUGUUAGAACUGUGUAGACUUGAUUUGGAGUGGUUUGAACCUUUUGAUACACAACAACUUUUGCCUUGAGAAUUUUGGUUUUGUCUAUCGAUAAGCGAGCGAACUCAACGGAGUUUUCAGAGAUCAUAUUUUUGUUAGUUUCGGGUUCGCUUUUGACAAAUUCUGAAUAGUCCACCACAUCCUCUACAGAGAUUUCAUGUCAUCANUGUCAUCAUCCUCAUUAAGUCCAGAUGCAUUUUUAACAUCAAUUUUAUUUUCUAAACUUAAUUUGGCAUUCAACGAGUCAAAUUUAUGUACAGUUUCGGUUCUUAAUUUCAAUUUAUCAUUUUCAUCUAACAGAUUUUUGAGCAUGUCCUUAUGGUCUUUUGACUUUAUGUAGGACUCUGUUUUGUCAAGACCGAUUUUGUAGGCGGGAGAGAUUUAGUCAGAGGAUACAACAUUUUCAUAGUUGUAAGCUUCAACAUCGACUUCUUCCUCCUUUAAUUCAAGGAAGGGUAAAAUCAUGCGAUGUAUCUUCUUUCCUAUUUAAGAAUCGAGAUGCAAUUGAGUGAUAUUAAAAUAAAGUCUUUUCGCAAUCAAACAAAAAACGUUUCGCUAUUUUAAAAGCUUAAUAUUGUCUCGUUGUAAAUAGAUUGACUCAUCCUUAGACCUAAUUAACUCUAUCUCCUUCUGCUCAAUCCACAUCCUCCUCUCCUCACUCUUUGACGAUAUCCUGCUAAUUUGAUCAGUCAGGUUAGAGUUUGUGACACGAGUUUGGGUGAGACUACUACUUAUACUAGAAAAUUUAGAUAUUAAGCUAUUUAGUUCCUUUUCAUAGUUAGUAAUAGGUAUUUUCAAAGAUGCAAGAAUAUUUUGUACCUUCUUGAUCAACUCAUCACAUUCGUUGAUCUGUGCACUGACAGGUUUCGUAGCAAAACACCUGUCCUAUCGCUCCUUCUCAUCUUCCAGCCCACCAUCUGUUGUGUAUCCUCGCAUCUGUGAUACACCUUUUGUCACCAUCAAACACUUUCCUGCAUCAUAUUCUUCUUUCACCAGCAUAGCCUUGCCAUGAGUUGGCUUUCUCACUUCUUCGUCCUCUGAAUUUGUGGACCACACUUCCACUCCACCAAACUCAUCAUUGUUACCUAUAUCAUGUACAAUCAAAGCAUUCAUGGUGUUAUUGUUAGCUGAUGAUUUUUCUUUUCUUGAUCUCCUCCAAUCGUCUUAGGAGGUUCGCUUCCUCAUCAUCCUUAUCAACCUUCUUUGCCUUUUUCUUCAGCGUGCAGUCUUUGGCAAAGUGAUUCUUGCCUCCACAAUAAUGGCAGUCAUAGCCUGAGUCACCACCAAUCUUUGACUCUUUCUUGGAUUCUUCUGACUUUGAACCUAUCUUCGGUUCCUCCUUCACCUUUUCAUAACUAUAACUUCCCUGCCAGUUUCGGUUCUUGUUGGUUGGGAACUUUCUUUUGAUAAACUUUCUUGGAUUGGAAACCAUCAGGGCAUACUCUUCACCAGUAAGAUCAUAAUCAACAAGAUCCAAUUCUUCUUCUUCUUCAACAUCACCUUUUCCUUUUGAAACAAGAGCUAACGACCCCAAACUGGAUACCACUUUCGUUUCCUUUGACACCGCACUUUCAUGGGACUUCAGAAUUCCCACCAGUUUUGCCAGAGAGUAUGAUUUGAACUGUUUGUGUGCCUUCGCCGUGGACACAACUGCCAUCCAUUCGGGUCUAGCCCAUUCAUGAAGGUGACUUUCUAUUCAAUAACCUUCCUCUCGAUGCCGUGCUUUAUCAUCUUACUGAGAAGAUGAUUAAACCAAUCAAAGGCCAGAAUGAGUUUCUCUUCGGGCUUCUAUUUGAAAUCACCAAAUUCAGAAAGCAGUAAGGUUUGAAUCGAAUGUUCCAGAUCUUCAUCAAUGGAAUACAAUUCUUUCAACCUGUCCCAUAUCUCUUUAGCUGUAGCACAUGAACUCACCAAUCGAAAUGUAUCCGACUGCAAAGCAAACCUAAUCAUUCUUAAGGCCUUGAUGUUGCACUGAAACUUCUCUUUCUCGUCUUGAGGAAUGUCUUUCACAUCAUUCACAAGCUGAUUGUACUCCUUUUGAGUUUUGACAAUCUUUGAAGUGCUUGAGUGAGAAAACGGACCAACUGUGAUUGCUUCCCAGAUCAAGUACCCGUUAUCUUCUGAGCCGAUCACAUAAUCUUCGAAGUGGUGCGUCCAAACCUCAUAAUCCUGAGUGUAUAAGAUUGGAAUCCUUUUCGUUGAUCCAAUACUGUUGGAGAUGCUGAUCGGAUUGGUUUGCGAAUCAUCCAUGGACAUUGUGAUGAAGUUUGAUCGAUAACCUGUUUAAGAUCAGACUUGUAAUUUAUCAUUAGAGUGAGAUCGACAAUUAAUGAGAUAGACCCAUAUGGAAUGACGGAUCAAUUAAUAUCAAUCAAUAUGGAAAAACCCUAAUAAUUUCUUCAACAGAAGAGAUGUGUAUGAAUUACACAGCCUCCUGCUCUGAUACCAAUUGAUGAGAAUAAAUCUCUAGAUCGUUUAGAUCUUUCACAGGUAUAUUGAUAAAGAACAGACAAUUCAAACACAAUAUGAUUAUGAACACGGUAUGGAAUCAAUGUAAAGCUUAUGAUUCAAAUAUAGUCACGCCUCAGCAGAGCUCGAUGAAGAACUUCCAUUGUAGAGGUGAGCUAGGGUUUACAAUACUUUGAUAAGAGAUAAUAAAAGUGUUUUUAACUAAAGAUGCAUGCAUGCACCUUAAAUACUAAAACCCUAGAGAAAAUAUUGCACGGUUGGACAGGCCCAAACCGACUAUAAAAUUGGACUAAGGACUAAGCCCAUGAUGCAACACUAUAAGCCCAACAUUAAGUAUAAGUUCCCCCCUACUUAUACCCUAGGUACUACUUAUAUUAAGUAGAUAAUUAUACCUAGCACACAUACUCGUAUAGAAUUGAAAUAGAUUUAUACGUAGCGUUUUUACUCGUACAGAAUUGAAAUAGAUUUAUACAUAGUGGUUUUACUCGUAUAGAAUUGAAAUAAGAUUUAUACGUAGCAACUUUCGUUUCUAUGGAAUUACAAACACUUAUAUUGAUAGUAUAUGAGACUUAUAGGUAUAUACUUAUUUGGCAAGUAAACUUUUAUACCUAGGAUAUAUAUAUUAAACGUUGGAGAGUCAAAAUUAUACUUUUGAACUUGAGAAAAAGUGUUAUUUUUAUAUGGAGUCAAAACCUGUGAACUCACCAACUUUAGGUUGACGUAUUUUUAAAUGCAUGCAUUUUCAGGAAGUUGAUAAAUAUGAUACGAGAAAUGACGUUACAUUGCCCGAUGUUUCCGCUGAUGGUCGGGGUGUUGAUCAAUUAACCGAUUCAAGAAUAAUCAUCUAACGACCAUAAUUUGUUACUUGCAAAUCCACUGCUACAUUCUUUUUGUGCUUCAAAGUCUACAUUUUUUGUGUUUCAAAGUCUUCAUAGAUUCCUGAUCUCAUGCUCCCUCGGCCUCAUGUAUGCAAAAAAAAUGAAAUAACACGUAAUAACAUACAAGAUCACCAAUUUCAUUUUCAUCCUUGAUUAUCUCAAUUUCAAAACCAACAGUUAUCACAAAUACACAAAUACAAGAAAACAAACUAGUUGCACAAAUGAUAAGCAAAGUCUCUUCACUUCCUCUUCCUAAAAUGCCUCAUCAAUCAUAUUGCUUUCUACAUUAUAGUGAGCCUAUAAUAGUAAUUAUUCCAAGAAAUUAGGAGCAAACAAAUCAAGUAUGAACUCAUUGUUCUUCGUUCAUGGCCAUAAGGGUAGCUGUUUUGUAAGCCAAAUGAUUUCCAAAACUCCAAUUUUCACAUAUACUAAUUAAUACAAAUUAAAAUGAUUUCCAAUUUUUAACUUUAAUCAACCACAUACAAUACCGAAGCAUGCUAAUGCAACCCUCUAUUUGAACAUUAUCACAAAUUUAGCCCAAUACAUUUCUCCUAUACAUUUCAUCGAACAGGUAGUAGACCACACUGAAAGGACACACAUUAGGUAGAAAAAAGGAAAUCGAUAUCGACUCCAGCAAAUUUAGAGAACAAAAAAUCGAUUCUACUAACAUAAGAAAACCAUUUCAGCGAAAAGGGACGAGUUUUAGGGUAAGACCAAAAAACCUUACCGCGAUAGUUACAUGGAAAGUUCUGUUCAGUAGAACACAUCCACAUAUUUUUGAUUUCAGCAUAAGGAUUUUUGAAAAUAUUUUUAAUCUCAGAGAUGGUUGCAUGGAAAAAUCGAUUUCAUAGAAAAAUCGAUUUCAGAGAAGAGAUGGUUACAUGGAACAAAAACGAUUAGGGCUUACCAAUGGGAGAAGGUGCGGCGCUAGAGGUGUGGGAGGUGGCGUCGGAGGUGUGGUCGGUGGCAACGACCGGAGAUGUGAAGCUGGAGAGGAUGGAUGUGGGUGCUGUUUGAUUGCUGCAAGAACGACGAGAAGAUGGGAUACGAGGGUAGGGCGAGGAAAAAAACAAAGUGAGGGAGAACCGUUCAGGUAUUCAAGAACAUAAGCAAGUGUGAAACUUGGAUGAGUUUCACAUCCCCGUCAAGAGAGGAACACAAGCCAAGAUGCAAACUUGAUACCUCAAAAAUCUUCCCCACAAGAUGAUGAUUCUGGAUCCAAAGCCUCUCCACCAAUCCAAACAACUUCAAGCUUCUCUUCUUUCCUUCCCAAGGGCAAAAUGUGCACCAAAACCUUCCAAUAGCUCAAGAACGCCAUCAAGAUGCUACAAGGUUGAUUUACGUUUUUUUUGGGUAAGGAGGCUAGCUUAAAAUGAAAGUGGGGGAGAACCGUUCAGGUAUUCAGGAACAUAAGCAAGUGUGAAACUUGGAUGAGUUUCGCAUCCCCGUCAAGGGAGGAACACAAGACAAGAUGCAAACUUGAUACCUCAAAAAUCUUCCCCGUCAAGGGAGGAACAUAAGCAAGUGUGAAAGUUGGUAUCAAAGACUUGGUUUGAGGGAUUCGGAUGCACCUUCGGGUAAAUCUAGACUCAAACUGAGGAAGUAAGAAAAGUUUUCAAAGAAAUAAUUUUCUAAAGCGAAUAAAAGUUCAAAGAAAAAGUGAGAAAGAGCAGUGUGUACAAUCAGCCAGAGCCCGAACGGUGAUUUCCCAAAAUACCCUUACUUUUGUGUCAUGAGAUAUUUAUGAUGCACUUUAUGAGAUAUUAUUGCAUGCUAGAGACAGGCUAGGUAUUUCAUAUCUUAGGACUAGAGUGGCCUGAUUUGUGAUGCCUUAGCCUAGGGAUUGCUGUUAUAUGCGAUGUGCUUUUGAGUAUGUGAUGAGUGAGAAUAUUUAGUUGGAAUCCUUUAGGGGAUUUGAGUAGAGGAGUAAUCUAGGGGAGAUACCUAGAUAAGUACCGUGGUACUUAGAGAAAGAAUAGUUAGAACCCGUGAGGGGGAAGAGUUGCAGAGUUCGGUGGUACUUUCGAGGAUGAGCAGAGCAAUCGGAGUUAUCACCCAGAGCGAGUCAUAUAUAUUCUUCAAUGAUCGAAUGUUGCUUGCUUCGUUCUUUGUGGAACUCUCGAUGAUGGGAGUCAGCUACCAAGUGAAUAUGACGAUAUUCAGGAGGUAGAUGGAUGGCAUCAUUAGGAGCUCUUCAGCAGCUGAUGGCAGAGAAGUGUGGGAAUCUAGGAAGAGCCUAGGGAGUAACCUUAGCCAGAUGAGUGCGCUAGCAGAGUAGAGAAUUUCGUUGGGGAGAGAGCGCGCGACGGAAUUGGUGAACAAGAAGGUCGAGCAGCUACUUAGGAGCUCCGGGAUAGUCCGUGUGGAAAGUAUGGGUAGAUGUGGCAGGUAGUAUGGGCCCGUACUACUGAAAGCAGAGGACCCAUACUUGAUACAGGGAGUAUUCUGAAGGUUCUAAUGAGCGNNNNNNNNNNNNNNNNNNNNNNNNNNNNNNNNNNNNNNNNNNNNNNNNNNNNNNNNNNNNNNNNNNNNNNNNNNNNNNNNNNNNNNNNNNNNNNNNNNNNNNNNNNNNNNNNNNNNNNNNNNNNNNNNNNNNNNNNNNNNNNNNNNNNNNNNNNNNNNNNNNNNNNNNNNNNNNNNNNNNNNNNNNNNNNNNNNNNNNNNNNNNNNNNNNNNNNNNNNNNNNNNNNNNNNNNNNNNNNNNNNNNNNNNNNNNNNNNNNNNNNNNNNNNNNNNNNNNNNNNNNNNNNNNNNNNNNNNNNNNNNNNNNNNNNNNNNNNNNNNNNNNNNNNNNNNNNNNNNNNNNNNNNNNNNNNNNNNNNNNNNNNNNNNNNNNNNNNNNNNNNNNNNNNNNNNNNNNNNNNNNNNNNNNNNNNNNNNNNNNNNNNNNNNNNNNNNNNNNNNNNNNNNNNNNNNNNNNNNNNNNNNNNNNNNNNNNNNNNNNNNNNNNNNNNNNNNNNNNNNNNNNNNNNNNNNNNNNNNNNNNNNNNNNNNNNNNNNNNNNNNNNNNNNNNNNNNNNNNNNNNNNNNNNNNNNNNNNNNNNNNNNNNNNNNNNNNNNNNNNNNNNNNNNNNNNNNNNNNNNNNNNNNNNNNNNNNNNNNNNNNNNNNNNNNNNNNNNNNNNNNNNNNNNNNNNNNNNNNNNNNNNNNNNNNNNNNNNNNNNNNNNNNNNNNNNNNNNNNNNNNNNNNNNNNNNNNNNNNNNNNNNNNNNNNNNNNNNNNNNNNNNNNNNNNNNNNNNNNNNNNNNNNNNNNNNNNNNNNNNNNNNNNNNNNNNNNNNNNNNNNNNNNNNNNNNNNNNNNNNNNNNNNNNNNNNNNNNNNNNNNNNNNNNNNNNNNNNNNNNNNNNNNNNNNNNNNNNNNNNNNNNNNNNNNNNNNNNNNNNNNNNNNNNNNNNNNNNNNNNNNNNNNNNNNNNNNNNNNNNNNNNNNNNNNNNNNNNNNNNNNNNNNNNNNNNNNNNNNNNNNNNNNNNNNNNNNNNNNNNNNNNNNNNNNNNNNNNNNNNNNNNNNNNNNNNNNNNNNNNNNNNNNNNNNNNNNNNNNNNNNNNNNNNNNNNNNNNNNNNNNNNNNNNNNNNNNNNNNNNNNNNNNNNNNNNNNNNNNNNNNNNNNNNNNNNNNNNNNNNNNNNNNNNNNNNNNNNNNNNNNNNNNNNNNNNNNNNNNNNNNNNNNNNNNNNNNNNNNNNNNNNNNNNNNNNNNNNNNNNNNNNNNNNNNNNNNNNNNNNNNNNNNNNNNNNNNNNNNNNNNNNNNNNNNNNNNNNNNNNNNNNNNNNNNNNNNNNNNNNNNNNNNNNNNNNNNNNNNNNNNNNNNNNNNNNNNNNNNNNNNNNNNNNNNNNNNNNNNNNNNNNNNNNNNNNNNNNNNNNNNNNNNNNNNNNNNNNNNNNNNNNNNNNNNNNNNNNNNNNNNNNNNNNNNNNNNNNNNNNNNNNNNNNNNNNNNNNNNNNNNNNNNNNNNNNNNNNNNNNNNNNNNNNNNNNNNNNNNNNNNNNNNNNNNNNNNNNNNNNNNNNNNNNNNNNNNNNNNNNNNNNNNNNNNNNNNNNNNNNNNNNNNNNNNNNNNNNNNNNNNNNNNNNNNNNNNNNNNNNNNNNNNNNNNNNNNNNNNNNNNNNNNNNNNNNNNNNNNNNNNNNNNNNNNNNNNNNNNNNNNNNNNNNNNNNNNNNNNNNNNNNNNNNNNNNNNNNNNNNNNNNNNNNNNNNNNNNNNNNNNNNNNNNNNNNNNNNNNNNNNNNNNNNNNNNNNNNNNNNNNNNNNNNNNNNNNNNNNNNNNNNNNNNNNNNNNNNNNNNNNNNNNNNNNNNNNNNNNNNNNNNNNNNNNNNNNNNNNNNNNNNNNNNNNNNNNNNNNNNNNNNNNNNNNNNNNNNNNNNNNNNNNNNNNNNNNNNNNNNNNNNNNNNNNNNNNNNNNNNNNNNNNNNNNNNNNNNNNNNNNNNNNNNNNNNNNNNNNNNNNNNNNNNNNNNNNNNNNNNNNNNNNNNNNNNNNNNNNNNNNNNNNNNNNNNNNNNNNNNNNNNNNNNNNNNNNNNNNNNNNNNNNNNNNNNNNNNNNNNNNNNNNNNNNNNNNNNNNNNNNNNNNNNNNNNNNNNNNNNNNNNNNNNNNNNNNNNNNNNNNNNNNNNNNNNNNNNNNNNNNNNNNNNNNNNNNNNNNNNNNNNNNNNNNNNNNNNNNNNNNNNNNNNNNNNNNNNNNNNNNNNNNNNNNNNNNNNNNNNNNNNNNNNNNNNNNNNNNNNNNNNNNNNNNNNNNNNNNNNNNNNNNNNNNNNNNNNNNNNNNNNNNNNNNNNNNNNNNNNNNNNNNNNNNNNNNNNNNNNNNNNNNNNNNNNNNNNNNNNNNNNNNNNNNNNNNNNNNNNNNNNNNNNNNNNNNNNNNNNNNNNNNNNNNNNNNNNNNNNNNNNNNNNNNNNNNNNNNNNNNNNNNNNNNNNNNNNNNNNNNNNNNNNNNNNNNNNNNNNNNNNNNNNNNNNNNNNNNNNNNNNNNNNNNNNNNNNNNNNNNNNNNNNNNNNNNNNNNNNNNNNNNNNNNNNNNNNNNNNNNNNNNNNNNNNNNNNNNNNNNNNNNNNNNNNNNNNNNNNNNNNNNNNNNNNNNNNNNNNNNNNNNNNNNNNNNNNNNNNNNNNNNNNNNNNNNNNNNNNNNNNNNNNNNNNNNNNNNNNNNNNNNNNNNNNNNNNNNNNNNNNNNNNNNNNNNNNNNNNNNNNNNNNNNNNNNNNNNNNNNNNNNNNNNNNNNNNNNNNNNNNNNNNNNNNNNNNNNNNNNNNNNNNNNNNNNNNNNNNNNNNNNNNNNNNNNNNNNNNNNNNNNNNNNNCGUAGUACUCACUAGUUAGUUGGCAUUGUGAUACUACGGGGAGCCGUAGUAAUCACUUGUCAGAGGCUGUCGUAAUGUUGUGGGAAGCCAUAGUAUCCACUAGACGGCAAGAGAGUGUGAUGAUGGAGUGUUCUCCGAUAAGUGCAUGAUGCAGAAGAGUUUGGGGCUUGAGUAGCCCUAGUGUUGAGUUUUUGGAGCCUAGUGGUUAAACCAGGGCGAGACUGGGGUCUCCGUCUCUGUCGGGAGGGUCAGCGAGACGCACGAGAGAAUAUGCGCAGCAAACGCCAGACGUUAGAGCUGAGUCGAUCUUCGAUUGGAUUGUAUUUUUAUGAGGAAAAGGGAAUUCCGUGACUUGCGUGUCACUGGGCCGUGAUAGUGGUCACGGGGAAGAAGUUAGUGAGAUGUUUUGGAUCAUGUUAUGUGUCACCUCUGGGGGUUCAGCUGUGGGGCCAAAAGCUGACCCGGUGCUCGGUAUCGAAGAUGAAUAUGAGAAAUGAGCUAGAGUUUACCAUGUUGAUGUCUGUGGACACUUUAGAGAGAUCGAGCGAGUCAGACGCUCGAGGAUAUGUUUCGGGCAUGUGUAUUAGAUUUCGGGGGGAAAUUGUGGCCCGUAUUUGCCCUUGGCAGAGUUUUCCUACAACAACAGCCAUCAUUAGUGCAUCAGUAUGCCGCCCUUUGAGCUGUUGUAGGGAAGGGGGUAUUGGACCCCAUUUGCUGGGGAGAGGUAGAGCAACGUGUGAUGGGAAGUACAGAGAUUGUGCUUCAGACGUCAGAGCAGAUACAGCAGGUCAGGCAGAGGUUGUUGACCACUCAGAGUCGCCAGAAGAGUUAUGCGGACAGGCGCCGGUCCGAGCUCGAAUUUUUGGUCGGUGACCUUGUACUCCUGAAGGUCUCUCCUUGGAAAGGAGUGAUUUGAUUCAGGAAGAGGGGCAAGUUGGGGCCCCGAUAUAUUGGUCCUUUCCGAGUGAUCGCGAGGGUAGGCUGGAUAGCCUAUCGUUUGGAUUUGCCAGCAGAGUUGGGGCAGAUUCACGACACUUUUCAUGUGUCGCAACUGAGGAAAUGUUUAGCCGAUGAGUCGGCAGUGGUUCCAUUAGAGGAUAUUCAGGUGGAUGCGAGCCUGAAUUAUGCUGAGAGACCAGUGGCAAUCAGAGAUCGGAAAAUCAAGGUUCUGAGGAACAAGGAGAUACCCUUGGUUUUGGUUCAGUGGCGGCAUCGUAAGGGGUCCGAGAUGACUUGGGAGCCGGAGCUUGAGAUGCGUGAGCAGCAUCCGGAGUUAUUUGCAGAGCGAGACUUCGAGGGCGAAGUCUAGUUCUAGUGGGGGAGAAUUGUAACAGCCCGGAUUCCCAGGUAUUAUUUAUUCUUAUAAUUUUUGGUGAUUUGUGAGGAGACUCGGCGAGUUGGAGCUCAAACUCGCCGAGUAUGAUCGCGGUUUGGGCACGGGUUCGCGUCCGGACUCGGCGAGUCCAAAAGGUGGACUCGGCGAGUCCACGCUGUUUAAUGAAACCCUAAUUUCCCGGUCCUGAGCCCUAUUUAAGGGACCUUAUGGCCUUCAUUGCGGCUACCUUCGACCUUGGGAGCACCAGAGCAGCUGAGAGUUCUUGUGAGUGAGAUAAGAGGCCAUUAUUCACCAUUUUAGUGUGUAUUUGCAAGAAAGGAAGAGGAAAGCCAAGCUAAGAGAGUUGGGGAGCUUAGAUCUACUCCCAUUUCGACAGAGGAAGCUAAUUGAGGUAACAUUCAGAGCUUAUUCUCGUGUUUUUCUUGAUAUGGCCAAAUCUAGGGUUUCUUCAUGCCUUGUUUGCCUUGUAUUUGGAGUAUGAGAGGUCCCAUGGGGAAAUGGUACCUAGAUCUGGACCUUAGUAGGUCCAGAGAGUCCCAAAUGCCAUGCUUUAUGCCUUUCCUUUUGAGUUGGAGACUUAGGUUUCCAUUUUAGAUGUCAUUUCAUCAAAAGAAGCCUUGUAGGCGUUGCUUGGUAGCCAAGAUUGAGACUUUACGUGAUGAAUGUGCUUGGGAGGGCUAGAUCUAUGAGUUGUUGGAGCGGAUCUGACCUCAGAAGCGAGAUUGAGUCAAUGCAUGGCAUGAACUCGCCGAGUCCGAAGAACAGACUCGGCGAGUAGCAUGAAGAUUGUCCUAACCACUCAGCGAGUGGUCUUGCCGAGUUAAGGGAUGACUCAGUGAGUCAGGGAGAAUUAGAGAGGGUUGACAGGUGGACUGAGUCAAGCUGGAACUCGCCGAGUUGUUCUUGAGACUCGGCGAGUUGAGUCGUGGUGGCCCCGCGAUUAUGCCAGGUGAAACUCGUCGAGUCAGAGAAAUACUCGACGUGUCAAGAGAGGAUCCAAGGGAGUCAGUGGACACGUGUAGACUCGCCGAGUCGCCCCAGUGCACUCGCCGAGUCCGGUCAAAGUUGACCGUUGACUUUUGUUGACUUUUAGGGUUUGGUCAGCGAUGUGGCCUUUGGGCCAAGAGAGGGGUAAAAUGGUCUUUUACCCUUAAGAGGGUAUCAAGAGAGGGUUGAUCCUAGACUCGAGAGUUAUAUUCACGAGAGUAUUUGCCUUAUGUGUUAGGCGGUGGCAAGUUCGAGAUUCAAGUGUGGGGAUAUCUGCUUUCUGCUUGCCGGGUGAGUCUUCUCACUAUACUUUACCUUGAGUAGGUAACCAGAGUUAUGUGACAGAGUAUUUGUAUGCUAUGUGUUGUACUGCAUUAUUUCUAUGUGAUUUAUGCUGUGCAUGUUUACAGAGUUAGAACCGUAAGGUUCCCAGAGUUAGAACCGGAAGGUUUACAGAGUUAGAACCAGAGGGUUCAUAGAGUAGGGUCCACGGACCCACAGAGUUAUAGCCUCGAGUGGCUAAUAUGUGUAUGUGUGGUAUUUUGGGGAACUCACUAAGCUUCGUGCUUAUAGUGUUUUGUGUUAUGUGUUUCAGGUUUCUCUCAGGAUCACGGGACGGCACCGACUCGAUUGUACACACCAGAGAAAGAGUCAUGUUUUGAGGAUCCUGGUUUAUUAUGCAAGUGAAAAUGGAGUUAUGUUUUGUAAUUCGAUUAUGUAUGAGAUUUUCAGCAAAGUAUUUUUUUGAAUUAAACGAUUAUUUCAAAAUGAAAAAUUGUUUUGAAAUUUUCGGUGUUACAAGCUCUACAGUUUAACUAACCCACAUAUGCCUUACAAUAUCCCGGACGAACAUCCAAUUUCCAUAAAAGCCCGAGCUGACAAAUUACCGAAAUACCCUUUGACUCCAAAGCAUAAACUGAAUACCCAAAACAUCCAAAUUACAUUAUCCAACCCCAACUGAGUCCAAAUCUCACAUCUUCAAGGAUCUCAAGCCCCCUGAUACCCAAUCCCUGAUCACUACUCCGAAAUGGGAAACGAUUCAAAACAGGGCGUUACAACUGGUAUUAACAAACAUGGUAUUAAAUUGGACUUUCUUGUAUGCAUUACAUGUUGAUCGUUAAUUGAGAAUUCUAACCAUACACUUGGGUGUUUGUGAUGAACUACUCAAGCUUACUUUUUUACGAUAAAAGUGUCUUGAUGUAAUUAUCCUCACAUCAUUAUGUUUAGAAACGAAAUGGUUUUUGGAGCCGAUAAACAUAUGAAAACUACUAUGAUUGAUUUUAUAGUGUUCUAAUCCUGUUUUUGGUAGUUACUAGUAGAUUUAAUUAAAAACUUAAUGGGGUUGAUUAACUUCAAGACCUAAUUAGUAUUAUAAACUCUCCAUAAUCUCCUUGUUUUGCUUUGUGCUUUAUGAUGCUUUUUUUAUAUAAGUUUUCUUUCGUUAUACAUUUUUUUAAGAGGGGGAGGAAUGUAUGACUUAGGGGAAAAUUUUGAUUCAAAGAAACAUGUGACAACCCGUAAUUUCAAAUCUUGUAAAAGUCAAACUUGGUAAACUAAAUUCAAACUUAUCCAAUAAAAGUCAAACUUGUGCUUUGAUGUAAUCUUAAGGUUAGAUUAAUAGCCUUUUCAUGGUAAAACACUUAGUUAAAAGGGUUGUAGAAAUUUGAAAGUUAAAACACUAAAAAAACCAAGGCCCUUCGCACGAGCCGCAAACCCUCGCAUGGGCGGUAAUCCCUCGGACCGCAAACGGUUUAUAGCCGUAAACCUUCGGUUCGNNNNNNNNNNNNNNNNNNNNNNNNNNAUAUAUAUAUAUAUAUAUAUGUUUGACUGAAAUAAUCCUCACUUCUACAUUUCUAGCCGAAAACUCUAGCUUUUUCUCUCAAGAUCUUCAACCGAAAACCCCUAGUUUUCUCUCAACUAUCAUCCGAGGAUCAUUUGAUUCACCUUCGGAUCUUGUUAAGAACAUCUAUUGUUCUUCCAUUUCAUCGAUCAAACACCCUUCAUUUCUGGGUUUAUAGCCCUGAACCCUUGAAUCUUCUUAGUUACACCAAGAUCAUACUCUUGAUUAUAGCCGAAAACACUUGAAUCUUCAAGUGACCAUGAAUCGUUUACGGCCGUAAACACUGAAGCCAGACGUAAACUCCAACCAGUCACUCGAUUUAGCUUCUAACACUUCUUUUGUAAGAAAUUCUUACAUCCUAGGUUGUUUCCUUAACACCUUUGAGGUCAUAUUCACUAAUUUCAUGCUUAUAUAUAUCAUGUGAAAUGCAUUUUAGGACUUGUAUUGUCUUGCAAUCUAACUUGUGGAAACAAUCAUCCUAUAUCAAUCAUCCAACACAAAUCACUCAUACAAGGUAAGUUCAUACCCAUACAAUUUACUUUUUUAAAUGCUUUUAGGGGGGGGGGGGAAUACAAGUAGAACACAAUAGAAUUGUGUUAACAUUUACAUUUGAAAACAAACAAACAAAUGAUUUCUUAUGUUUUUAUAAGUUGUUAAAAUCAUUUCAAAAACUCUUUUAAAACUAUUUUAGAUUGUUGUUUAUUAUCCAAAUCGUAUUCAUUUAUAUAUUUAUGUAUAGGUAUGUUUUAACGGACUUAGGACUAUUGCUAAAUAGAGGCGCACACAAAAACCUGAUCCUCGAAAUGAAACCGAUCCGAUCCGAAAACCGGUUUCGGUCAAUACCGGUUUUGACCAAACCGGAUUGGAUUAAACCGGUGACCGGAUUCAAACCGGUUUGACUUUUCGGACUCGAAAUCGGGUUUACCCCCGCAUCACAAUCCAGAUUCUACAAAAACUGGUUCUUAAACCGUCGAAAAAUCUGGUAAAACCUAAAAAAAUCUGGAUCAAACCAGUUUGAAAUCGGAUUCGAAUCAGAUUUUAACCGGAUCCAGAUCGGAUUUGGCCGGAUCGGAUUGUUGACCGGAUCGGAUCGGAUGCUGGGUUUGUGCAUCUCUAUUGCUAAAUACCUUGACUUCUGUUCCUUGUUUGGUUACGGGCUUAGGGUAGGAUCACUAGUCCGACUGUCGGCUAAAUCAUAGUUAUACUUGCUAAACAUACACAUGAAUAUUAAACUCCAUUUUCAACGUACAUACUUAACCCAGUUGCAUACAUUGGGCAAAUGAGUAUUUUCUCCAAAACAGUUACAGUUCAAACAAAUAUACUAGUAACUAUAAUAGGUAUAGUUUAGAGGAGCAGUAGAUACUAUUUUCUAGAACAGAGGAACAAUAUAUGAAUAAAUACAUACAUACAUACUAAUACUAUUCAUUACAAGGUAUAUUAUUCUUUUACAAGAACAGAAAGGAACUUACAUACUAUACAUGAACAAGAUAACUAAAAUGUGAGAUACUAUUUCAUGGCAUAGCAAUAUUCUUGCUAUGCUACGUUUUAUAACCAAAGUCUCCUGGAGGGAGAGCGUGAGUUUAUGUAUAGAUCUAUACGAGAUUGACAAUCCCACACCUCACUACUAGCUAUAGUAGGACCUGUAGGUCUACGGGUGACAAAUGUCAUAACUUUUUCGAUGCCUAAAGAAGUCGUGUUUUACACUAGUCAAUCAAGCAUAGUUAUAACUUUAUCACAUUUGAACCUUAAUUAACCAGUUUUGUUUCAAGGUAGAUAAUGCAUCAGUAGUGUAUUUCAUACAAUACUACUGUAAACCUUCAUUUUCCAUUACAUUCAUUCAGUGAUUUUCUCUCAUGAGAAAUGCAUACUAUUUUUCUAGUAAAGAUGGUUUACAAAUAUGGAAUACAUACAUUUUAUACUAUUUCAAGUACAAACAUACAUUUUACACUAUUACUAGAGAACAAACAUACAAAACAGUCGGGUCUUGGGUAGAAGACUACAUUUCAUUUUUAGAAGAAAAUAUAAGAUUUUCUGGGAAGUAUACAAACAUUUCACUAGACAAACACAAACAUUUUCAUGAAACAACUACAAACUUUUGACACUAAAACGCUUAUGAAUUCACCAACUUAAAUGUUGAUACUCUCUUUCAAAAUAACUUGUAUUCUCAGGGAACCAGUAGACAGGUACACUGGAAAAGUUUUGAGAAGACGGAGCAUGUUCAAGACUAUUCUAUUAAUGCAAUGGUAGUUGUUGCUUUUUUUACUAUUGUACAUUGUUAUGAUACUGUAUAUGACGCCCUCCGCCCCCGAAUGUUUCCGCCAUCUCGGUUUGGGGGUGUGACAAAACAUGUGUGAUUGAGGGAAAUUAUUAGAGACAGACAAUCGUAGGAGAGGUGGAAAUAGAUGUUGGCCAAGGAAGAAAGGAUCACUUUGGAAAAAUUUCAGUUUGGUGUUAGUCUAAAUUAUUCGGUAUUUUGGCUUGGUAUUUCCAUAGUCAAAACCUAAAAUUUUCGAUUUGGUUUUGGUUUUAAUGGUCAGUAAUUACGUUAUCUCAUCAUAAAUUACUAUGUUUAAUGAUUAGAAAUUACAUUGUAUUCUGAAUUUUUUUUUUAAUUUUAUAAAAAAAAUGAUGUUUUUGAAAAUCUUUUUAUUAUAAAUGGAUUUUUUGAAAAAAGAAAAGGUUAAUCUAAAAAAAAACCUUAUAUUUUGUAUUUUUUCGGAUUAAACCUCAAAUUUAUUUUUGACCUGAAAAAGACCUUGUAUUUUUUUUCAUUUUUCCCGAUCUUACCCUUUUAGGGUUUCUUUUGAAAAAAAAAACUAAAAAAAUUGAGUGUUUAAUCGGAAGCAUUUAAAAGGUUGAGGGUUUUUUUGGGAAAAAAAAAUACAAAGUUGAGGGGUUUUUUUAGAAAAAAGAAAAAAUACAAGGUUUUUUCAAACAAAAAAUAAAGUUAUUAUUAUUAUUAUUAUUAUUAUUUUAUGAGAUUAGCCCAAAAGAAAAAAAAAGGAUUUUAAGAUAAAAUGUUGAAAACUUAAUAGUGUUCAUGAAACUUUCCCUGAGUUAAUUACGUGAUUUUUCUGAUUAUUAACUGAAUUUUUUUUUUCCUUUUUCGUAUAUAUACUUCGUACUUGGGGGGUGUUUGGCAUAGCUUUUGAGAAGUCAAAACAUCUUUUAGAAAAAGAUAGAAGCCAAAAGAUGUUUGACAAAACAAUUUUAAAACCUAAUUUUGGAUUUUUGAUAGAAGGAAAAUCAACUUUUUGGAAAAGUCAGCAAAAACCUGACUUUUUGCAACUUUUUCAAAAAUGACUUUUGGCCCUUAAAAAACUAAGCCAAACACCCCCUUGGUAAAAAGGAUAAAUUACUAAAUAUUUCAUAAAGAUUCCUAUUAAAUUAAAAGAACUGUAGACGUUGGAUUGUCUUUUACGGGUUGCUUAUAGCCAAACAUCUAAAGUUCUAUAAAAUCUUACGAUUCAAAUUGUCUUUUACAUAUUAAAAAUGAUCAACAUAACACCAACCUAAGAAUUCUGUUGUAUUUACAUGAAUGAAAAAUCUCAUGAAUCGAAUUUAUCCAAAACUCUCAUGGAUCAAACACUAAAAUUUCCCUAAAAUACUCAAUUCCUUAAUUGGAAAAUUGUUGUUGAUUUGAAUUAUAACUGUUUGGCAUCUUCUAGAAUCUAGAUGUCAUGAUUAGGAGGCAGUUCUUCCAAACAAUGAUACAAAUCUUCCAAACUCAAAUUGUCAAGCCACUCAUUCCCAUCAUCAUCAUCAUCUCUUUGCAUCAAAUUUUCUACAGUGAUUUGCUCACUUGUCCCGUUGACUUUAGUCAAAGAUUCUGGUGGUAAGUCGCUCAAGAACAUGACGUCGUCACCUUCAAACUCGCCAUCCAAAUUUUCAAAUGAAUUCACACUAUCACUGUUGUUACUUUGUGAUUCUUCUAAUGGUGAUGCAGGAUGAAGAUCACGUGUAUGAUGAACGUUAUUAUCUUCUGGUAUGAUCCUCUCGUUUGGAUUGUUCUUCUUGUUGUAAAGACGACACAAAACCCAAUCAUCCAACUAGAAUUAUUAGAACAUACCCAUGUCAAUCCAGUGGUUCUUAUUGAAAAAUUCAAUAUUUAGGAAGAAUUUAGAUGGAAAACACAAAAUGAAAAUGUCAAACGCACCUUAGAAAUGGUGGAAUUGGUGUGUUUAGAAGAGGUAGAGUUUGGCAUAUCAAGUCUAUACUCAUGCAUUAUCCAAUUCGUCUUGAUCCCUUUAACGCCUUUUCCUGCAUAAAAUACCAAAGCUUUCUUGAUCCCCACGACUGUAUUCGGGUCGGAUUUUGUCCUUAUGGGUUUAUCAGCUCCGGUAGCCUUCCAGUACCCGUUUCCAGUUACCCGGUUUGGUCUUGACCCGUUAGGGUAUUUCCUGUCUCUUGGUGUGAAGAAGUACCAUUCCUUUGUUCCAAACAGAGCCAUUUCUGAAGAGAUUUAGGGCAAAAUUCUUCAGUAAUCAGGCUUUAAUAAGCUGCAAAUUGCGAAGUAAGAUGCUAUGGAGUUGAAAAGAAAAGUUACCAGGAAGCUCCCAUGGAUCGUGCUUGUAGAGAUCAACCUCAGCGAUGAUUGACGGAGGUGGAGCAACACCAACAAUCUCCGCCGUCGUUUGGGACUUGCGGCAGAGAUAGUGAACGAUGAGCUCCUCGUCUGUCGGGUGAAAUCGGAAACCGGGAGGCAAAUUCAACUCAGCUUCAGCAUCUCUUACCCUUUUUGUUACGGAUUUCGACGGCGAUCUCAUAUUUUAAUGCGAUGGAACCAAAAUCGACCUGAAUCGAAUCUGUAUCUGAUUUUCUGGUUUCUUGUUGUGGUUGAAAAUGUGUACGAAUUGAAGUUGAAAUGUAAAAUUUGAAGAUGAGGAGAAUUGAGGAACCCCAUGGGAGUGUUAUAUACCUGCUCUGAAUUGGAUUAGGAAAUUCGAGAGUUUUUGGAGAACGACAGAGGAAAUAGAGAAGUGUCUCGUGUGGCCUCGACAAUAAUGGGCCCAACAUCCUUUGAGGCGUCAUCAAAAUUUAUAGCUCGUAUAUAACAAAAAAUGAUACAUAUAGAAAAGAUAUAUUAAACAUUUUUUAAUCAUGUAGUAUGAUUUAUUAGAGGGUGUUUGAUAGGGAAAAAAAUGACAGCUUAUUGCUUAUUUUCACCACAAUAAGCUAAUUUAAGUGUUUGGAUAGGAUGCUUAAAAAAUUAGCUUAUUGCGGUGGGAAUAAGCUAAAUAAGCUGAUUUUAAUAAGCAAGGGGGGUAAUGUUUAUUGCUUAUUGCUUAUUGCUUAUUAGUCAUUUUACUCAUAUAAGCUGUUUUGUUUGCCAAACACUUCAAAUGCUUAUUGCUUAUUGUUUAUUCCCAUCGCAAUAAACUAAUCCAAACACAUUUUAAAAAAAUGCUUAUUCUCACCACAAUAAGCAAUAAGCAAUAAGCUAAUAAGCUAAAAACUUGUUUAUCUAAACACCCUCUUAGUUUGAGUAAAUUGCAUGGCCCGACUCUUUGAUUAAUAUAACAUCUUUGGUUCAAAUUUGACCUAUUGUUCCGGAAAUUGUCCCUAUUUGAUUGAUAUAACACCUUUGUUCCAAACUUAUAAUUACUGUAAAAAUUGUCUAUAUUUCAAACUAAAUUCGUAUGUUUGGUUUAUACCUCUUCCUUUCGUUACCAUGCAGUGUUAAAGACCCUCUCAUGUGCACGUCAUGUGAGGGCAUUUAUGUAUUUUCAUAACCCAAACAAAAUUACCAUUGAUGUCAUGUUCCUCAUUAAUUUAUAGUAUAAUUUUCGAAUCUUUGGGAUUUUUGACUAUUUUCUCAAAAAAAAAAAAAAAAAAAAAAAAAAAAAAAAAAAAAAAAAAAAAAACAAUUGCACGAUAAUUUAUGCUUAGAAUAUGAAAAUUCAUAAAUAGUAAUCGUCAGAAUAUAACAUUUUUGAGUUAUUAUAUUCAUAAUGCAGAUUUUUAUGAGACGAAGUUCAACUCUAAAAACUACUUGGAUGUUAGGAAUUAUCUGUGAAUUGGUUGUGGCCUCUAGGCAUUAGGGGUUAGUAUCAGAUAGGGAUGUCAAUGGGACCAAACAGGAGCGGAAAUAAUUGUCCUCGCUCCCGUCCCCGAAAUCAAUUGUUGCCCCCGCUUUCGGUCCCGCCCCUGAAUCCCCCGUUUACAUAGCCCCCGGUUACUUUCAUUACCCCCGGUCUCGCCCCCGUUCUCCCGACUUAUAGGCUUAAAAUUCAUUUUUUUUUUUGCUAACAAACCGUUUUGUUUUUGGCUAAAAAAAUAUUUUUAAUAACUUUAAAAGCUUAAAACCUAAUAUUUUAGAAACUAAAAAUUAAAAAUCCAACAUUACAAAACAACAAUUCCAACAAUCUUACAAAUAUAAAUACGACAAAUCCAACAUUACAAAUAUAAAAUACUUACAUAUCCAAAAAUAUAUGAUCAAUUCGCUACAUUUUCAACAUUCUUUAAUUGGAAACGGGAAAGUGAAACCUGCACUAAACCUAAAAUUAGAAAAUCUAUUUUGUAUAUGUAUUUUAUAUUAAAUAUAUAUAUUUUUCAUCAAUGUACAACCACGGCCCCCGCAGGAGUACGGGACGGAAAUACCGAUUCCCNNNNNNNNNNNNNNNNNNNNNNNNNNNNNNNNNNNNNNNNNNNNNNNNNNNNNNNNNNNNNNNNNNNNNNNNNNNNNNNNNNNNNNNNNNNNNNNNNNNNNNNNNNNNNNNNNNNNNNNNNNNNNNNNNNNNNNNNNNNNNNNNNNNNNNNNNNNNNNNNNNNNNNNNNNNNNNNNNNNNNNNNNNNNNNNNNNNNNNNNNNNNNNNNNNNNNNNNNNNNNNNNNNNNNNNNNNNNNNNNNNNNNNNNNNNNNNNNNNNNNNNNNNNNNNNNNNNNNNNNNNNNNNNNNNNNNNNNNNNNNNNNNNNNNNNNNNNNNNNNNNNNNNNNNNNNNNNNNNNNNNNNNNNNNNNNNNNNNNNNNNNNNNNNNNNNNNNNNNNNNNNNNNNNNNNNNNNNNNNNNNNNNNNNNNNNNNNNNNNNNNNNNNNNNNNNNNNNNNNNNNNNNNNNNNNNNNNNNNNNNNNNNNNNNNNNNNNNNNNNNNNNNNNNNNNNNNNNNNNNNNNNNNNNNNNNNNNNNNNNNNNNNNNNNNAUUGUAUUAGUAAAUUUUUAGAAUUUAAACACAUGUUGACGUGUCCUAUUUUCCUUUACUAUUUUAAAAUUGAACUCAUGAUAAAAUUUAAUAAAAUCCUUUUGGAUCGAGUUUUUAAUCCCAACCAUUUACAAAACCCUCAUUCAUGUUUCACAAUGCUCAAUAAUACGGAAAUUUUCAUCCAGAAAACCCUCAUACAUAUUGAGAUAUACCAUUACCAACUUGUACUCAUCGAUAUUGGUAGCCAAUUAAACAAAUUGAUACCAAGUAUAUACUUAAUGUAUUAGUAAUAGCAAAAAAUUUAUACCAGUGAAAAUUUAUAUAGUAUAAAAUUUGGUAAAAUUACCGGUCCUUAUCAAUACCACAUCAAAUAAUACACUGACCAAGUUCCAACCCUUUGUUUCCGAAUACUAGAACAAACCAAGGCUAAUAUUACUAAAUGGGAUUUUUGGAGUCCUCCAAUCCAAAAUAAUAUCAUGCUGGACACCUCAAUUAAAGAUUUAUACUAGCUUUUUGGACGCUCUACAAAUAUCUAAUUAUUAAAAAAAUAAUAAAAAAAAAUAGAAGAACUUUUAACAAAGCUCUACAGUGACACUUUGUAUAAAGAUAGCAAAAUGAUAAGCUUUAAAAAAAAUUAACCACCAACAAAACUAAAAACAAUUAAAACGAUUAUCAUAAGAAAAGUGUCAAUAAUAGAUAACUCAUCAUUUAAAUCGUGAAUUGGAAUGUUCUUUACAACUCAUCGCUUCAGAAAUUAUUUUUUAAAUGUAUAAUAAAAAAUUUGAUGUCAAAGACCUAUUGUAAUAUUGUCUUAUAACUUUAUUACCUAUAAGGCUGGCAAAAAGGGUCGGCCAACACAAUCUAUAAUAAUCGUUAGGCUGGAUAGAUGUUUUUAAUCAGUUUAAUUAAAGAUUUCACUCUCUUUAAUAAAACAUCUUAACUCGUUUAAUUAAAUGAGUUUGAUUGUAUUUGAAAUUUUCAACAUAAACUCAAUCAGUCAAGCCUUUUAAAAAUUAUAUUUAUAUUUGUUAAAUACUAAUAUUUAUAAUGUUAGAUAUUUCUAAUGUUAUUUGAAAACUUGAUUUGUAUUUGCGGUUAUAAUUUUUUCAAGAGAAAUUAAAUAUACUCCUACCAUUUGUUCAUAUUUUUCCUCCUACCAUAUCAAAUAUUGACAUGUGUCACAUUUAAUUUGACAUUUAAUGAAAUUAAUAAUCAUUUAAUCCAAUUGUCAAUAUUUGAUAUGGUAUGAGGAAAAAUAAAAACAAAUGGUAGGAAGAUAUUUAAUUUUUCUUUUUUCAAACUUAACAGUUAUUGAUGUCUGUAAUUAUUUGUUUCUAAAUUUAUUUGAAUAGGAUUAAAGUAGGUAACAUAUGUAAUUAGGUGUAGGUUUAUUAUAGAUAUUAUUAUUUUUUUGAAAUUUAAGUAGGUCAACUUAAUUGGAUUUAACAUUUUUGUUAAAUAUAUUCAGUUUUAUAUAUAUAUAUAUAUAUAUAUAUAUANAAUGAUUCAUUUAUUUUGUUCGUAAAAAAAAUAUGUAGAAAAUAAACUUCUUACCUUCCUACCAAAAAAAAAUUCUUACUGGAUCUAUAUCCUAUAUAGGGUUAUGUUAUUUUGUUUUCACUAUCUAUUGUGUGCAUGCAUUAUUGAUUCGGGACCAAACAUUUUAGAUAUUUUAAGAAAGUAAUUAAUACAUAUUACAUGUUGAAGAUAUAAUGGGUAUUAAUUACAUCUUCAGCAUUUAAUAUGCAUUAAUUACCUUUUAAAAUAACUAAAAUGAUUGAUCCAGAAUCAAUCAUACAUGUACACAAUAGAUAGUGAAAACAUUUGAACCUAACUAACUAACUAACUAACCAUAUAUAUAUAUAUAUNNNNNNNNNNNNNNNNNNNNNNNNNNNNNNNNNNNNNNNNNNNNNNNNNNNNNNNNNNNNNNNNNNNNNNNNNNNNNNNNNNNNNNNNNNNNNNNNNNNNNNNNNNNNNNNNNNNNNNNNNNNNNNNNNNNNNNNNNNNNNNNNNNNNNNNNNNNNNNNNNNNNNNNNNNNNNNNNNNNNNNNNNNNNNNNNNNNNNNNNNNNNNNNNNNNNNNNNNNNNNNNNNNNNNNNNNNNNNNNNNNNNNNNNNNNNNNNNNNNNNNNNNNNNNNNNNNNNNNNNNNNNNNNNNNNNNNNNNNNNNNNNNNNNNNNNNNNNNNNNNNNNNNNNNNNNNNNNNNNNNNNNNNNNNNNNNNNNNNNNNNNNNNNNNNNNNNNNNNNNNNNNNNNNNNNNNNNNNNNNNNNNNNNNNNNNNNNNNNNNNNNNNNNNNNNNNNNNNNNNNNNNNNNNNNNNNNNNNNNNNNNNNNNNNNNNNNNNNNNNNNNNNNNNNNNNNNNNNNNNNNNNNNNNNNNNNNNNNNNNNNNNNNNNNNNNNNNNNNNNNNNNNNNNNNNNNNNNNNNNUAUGUUUGGUUGGGUUAAUAAUUUUCAACCAAUUUACAUAUUGAGUUGAGAUUUUGUUUAAUUAAAUAGUUAAUCCGGAUAUGAAUCAACCUAAUCUAUUAUCACCAAGGUUCUAAAAGGCGUGAGGCGUGGCGUGGCGGCAAGGCCAAGCCUCAAGCUUAACGAGUUAUGGCGAGCCAUGACGUUUUUCAAGGCGUGAUGUAAGGCGACGAUUUUGUAUUCAUUUAUAAUUAUAUUACCGCAUAAAUAUAAAUUUAUAUCAAAUAUACCUAGUUUUUAGAAGUGUUAUAUCAACAACUAAUAACAGAAAGUUAAUAAAAAAACACAAUACUUGUAUGUCCGAUUAGAAAGUGUAUAAAAAAGAGCAAAAAAACGUGUCUCAAACGAAAUAAAACGCACCAUAAAACGCCAUAACGCGCCAUGGCACGCCAUAUCACACAUUGCCACGCGCCACGCCUAACAACAACGUUAUGAAGCUUUUCGUAACGGCGAAACCGCUUCUCACGCCAUGACGCGCCUUGGCGCCCGCCAUGGCGCGCCUUUUAGAACACUGAUUAUCACCAAAGGGCUUCUAGCUCAGCGGUAUCAAGUAUUGUCCUCUCUUUUUAAGGUUGAGGGUUUAAGUCUCAUCGGAGAUAUAUAUGAAUUUAGGAGUAGUUUAGGAUUAUAUUGUAAUUGUCGUUCAACAAAAAUUUACUAUCGCCCCUAAUUAUCUUUUUAAUAACAUGAAUAUAAGAUGUUCACAAUUUUCACAAACUUAAUGGUAUAUAUUAGAUAUAUAAAUAAUAAAAACAAUUAUUUUAAUAGAUAAAAUAUAAAAAUAAAUAAAAAUAAUAACAUUUAAUUAAAAUACACAACUAUCUAGAUUUUUCAAUAUCCGGAGUGCAAAAGAUACUACCAACAGAUUACACGUAUUUGUGGUAGGGGUACACAAAUCAUAUCAGAUAUAUCUAAAAUCCAAAAAAUUAUUCGAUAUGGAUUUCAAAUAUUUAGUUUUUAUAGAAUCCAAAAGAGGUUUAUCCUAACCGUCGAAUAUGGAUCGGUUCUUCCGGUGUUUGAUAUCCACAAAUUUUUUCCAUGCCGUUUUUAUUCGAAUAUGUAUUUAGUUGGAGUUAGUUUUUUUUAUUAUUUUAAAAACAUAAUCAAACCAGAUAAGAUAAUUCAUCUCUUAUCCAAUUCGGGUCCGGUUAUACCUUUUCAUAUAUGUUUUCGUACAAAAUAUAGAUAGAGAAAUUAAAUUGCUUCCUACUUUUUAUGCCUACAAUCAAAAUCCGUUAUCACCUAAUCCAAAUUUGACAAAAAAAAUAUUCAAAUUGGAGUGAAUCGUGAUUUUAUUAACAUCUAAUUUAUGGUAUUAAAUGUGUUGUUGUUUUACCAACCAUAACAUUUAUUUCCUUUUUUGCUCAAAAAAACUUGUUUAUAAGAACCAAUGCAAAUGCAAAGAGUGUCAAACAAGUCAAGGGAGGUUGCCUGGGAUCUUUCUUUGUAGUUUGAAUUGGGACCCCUUCUAUAUGCAACAUUACCUUUUGGAUUGCUUGAAACGGUUUGGGACCAUAAUUAAGGGUUGAAACAAAUUACCUUUCCUUUUGGACGUGUGUUUUUUCAAUUGAAGCCGAUUACCAUAUUUUUUUGAAAAAAUAUAAAUGUUGAACGCUGAACCCGUGUUAUGACCCAUCAAAUAAAGGUAACUCACUAAGUCCUAACAAUAAUUUCAACAAGUCAGCUAUUUAACUCUUAAAACUCAUUUACGGAAUUUUGUAUACCAAUGACCAUAACCAAUAGAAAAUUAUUUAACGUACAACAACAAAAUUUUCGAUUCUUACAUACAAUGUUUUAUAUAAAGCUAAAUGUGUAUAGUAAACUUCUAGUUAGACUAGUUAGUGUUUUAAAAUUUAAAUAAUAUAUGUUUUAUAGUAUAUAAUAACUACAUAUUUUAGGUUUCCUUAUUUUAAACAAAAUACAAGAGAUUCUAUAUUUCAUCAAUUGAUAAUGAUUUGCUAUAUUCUUAAUAUUAUAUUAUAUUAUAUCAUAAUUAGGUAGUUUUAAAUCAGCUGCAAAUAGUUUUAACAAAAUGAAUGAAAUUUUAAUUUGUUGUCAUUUUACGCUAAUAAUUAUUGAAGUACAAUUUAAAAAAUGGGAAUAGACUAAAAUGCAUCGACAAUGUGUUCAUUUGACUUAAUUUGGCUAUGCAUGAAUAAUAGGGUUAUCAAAGCUGCCCAAUUAAAAAAUAUGUUCUUAGAGUUUGGUAUAACAUUGUGAAAGUAAUUAAUGAGCUUGGCGAGUUGGAUGUGAAUAUUUCUUCCGUUUUUAAAUUUCAAGUGGGAGAUGGUUUGCAUACAAUGCUUUGGCUAGAUGAUUAGUUAGGAAAUGACACUUUAGCCUCCAAAUUCCCUCCUCUCUAUGUGUUACAUAGGAGGAAAUCAUGUUUUUAUAUAUGAGAGAACGAGUUAUGCCACCUUUUCGUGGGCUUGGAAGAAGCAACCUAGUAGACAUCAUGAGCUGUCAGAUGUAGGUCACUUAAAAUGGGUUGAUCAAUCAGUUUGUGCGUUCUGAUGGCCUCGUUCUUGGAGGUCGAGGUUGUCGAGUAAAGGUAAGUUCUAUGUUCAUGAUCUAAGGGCUUUAAUUGACAAUAAGGUGACCAUACUUGUAUUAAUCCUAUGAUUUGGAUUCAUUUGGUACCUCCAAAAUGCAUCAGGUUUGUUUGGCGGCCUUGUAUGGGUCGUAUCCCCUCGAUAAUGGUCCUUUCGAGUAGAUGUAUUAAUAUUUCCUCUACUACCUGUCAGUUGUGUUCUAAUGGGGUGGAUGAAUCUGAUCAUUUGGUUGGUGAAUGUUCUUUUGCGAUUGACACUUUUUCUUGGGUCUUUAAUUGGUGUGGUAUUCUCCACGGUUUUUGAGUUUGUGAACUUCGUGACAACCUGAGACAAUUGCCAAAAAAUGGAGAAUUCUUCUCGUCAUCUUUUAUGGCUUCCGUUGGCACGUUUGGAAAGCGAGAAACGACAUAUGGUUUAACAAGGUUCAUACGACCUCUUCUUGGAUGAAGCAUAUGGGUAAUUUCGAAAAUUAUAAAUAUGUUUAUUGGAGUUUCUACCUUUUAACAUUUUGUAAUAUUUUCUUUGUUGUUUUCUUGCCCUAUUUUUUUUUCUUUUUAGGCAGUCGUUUUUUUAUAAAAUCCACGGUUAAAAAAUAACCAACAGAAAAAAAAAAAAAAUGAAAGUUGCCCUAACUUAACUCUGGCCCGUUUUAAACAACAUAAUAAUUGCAUUUAUUUAUUCUUUUGUGUGAAAAAUUGUACAUAUAUUUAUUGAAUUAAAAAAAGAUUAAUAUAAAAGCUUAAAAUUAUACAACUCGUGGGAGUCGCAAUUGAAACUUUUUUAAAAAUAGAUAAAAUCAAUGCGGAUAUAGUUCUUGCUGAUGCUAUAUGACCAAAUAAGAGGUUUUUAAUAUGAAAUCAGACUCUAUGAAUAUGAUCGAGUCAAAUUUAACUUUUCACCGGACCUAAUAAAAAACAUAUCGAAUAAUUCCUAAUUUUCAAUUUACAAGAUAGGAAUACUUAUGUUGAAAAGAAUUAAACACAUCAAAUUGUAUUAAAAAGUGAAAGAGAUAUCAUAAAUGCAAGAUUAAAUAUUAAAUAAUUGUUUGAGAUUCCGAAUAUCAAGUUGUUAAAAUAUUGAGAAUCUUUUGGUAUUUUGACCUUGACUAAAGUCCUAACUGACUACAACGGAGAUCAAUCAAUACAGCAUACGCAACUGCUUACGUUAUGUGUUUCCAUUUUCCAAGUCAAACAAAAGGCGCACGCAUGAAGAUGAUGAUGUAGCUGCUUACGUCAUUAAACAUUGUCACUACCUGCGAUCAAGUUUUUACUGCAUGUUAAGUGCUAAAUAUUAAAUGUAAUUGACAAGUCUUCGCUAUAUGGAUGUGUAGAAGUAUAUCUUGCUUUUUUGUGUAAUCAUGUUAUAUGUUUUAUGAAGGGUAAAUUACAUGGUUAAGGUAAUCAUCGAGUUUAGUUUUUACAAUUUUUUUGUAAUGCGGACCGUCCCUAAAUAUAAAAAGACAAUUUUACCCUUAAUAUAUAUAUUUUUUAAACUCUUUUAUCCAUUAUAUUUUAUUUUAUGUUAAAGAAAAAAUAAAACAAAAUAAUUCAUCCACCUACCGGCCCACCCUAAAUUAACGUCUUCUAUUAAAUCGCUCAAUGUCUUUUCCCUGUAACUAGGUUACCUAAAACCAUAACUAAAGAAGCUAUAUCUCUCCAACAUUGGUGGCCUUACCCUCGUAGACAACCUUACCAUUCGUCGGCAACCCCUAUCUCCCUCAUCUCCAUCUCUGAGAACUCCACAGAACUCUGAACAAUCAGCUUAUCGAUGAGAAUCUCAUCAACAACAAGUGGUAGUACAUGUGUUCGUUAAAGUAAAAUAGUUGAAAAAUCUAAAAGCCCCAAAAUUGUAAAAUAUAUAUAAAAAAAAUUCUAAAAGCCCCCCAAAAAAACUUUUUAUUUAAAUAAAAAUUAAAUACUCGUACUCUCAAACAUUGAUCAUCAACCUAUUUUUUUUAGAUAAAAAUUCAUAUUGAUUACUCAACCCAUUGGUUUUAUUCAUAGUCAAAUUUUAUAUUAGUGACUAUUUUGGGAGUCUAAUGCUAUUAUGUUGUUGCAUUCUCGUUUUCUACUAUCUUUAACAAACUAGCACAUUAACUCACCGUAAAUCCUCUGGUUUUCAUAUUAUUUAAAAACCAAAUUUAUUUAUUAUUCCAAACCAAAAUUAUAUGAUUUUUAAUGUUUAAAACUAGUACAAUAAUAUUUCAAAAGCAAAAUAUUAAUAUUCCAAAAUCAUUACAUUAAUAUCUCAAAACCAAAUUUUUCAAAAACAAAAACUAUUGAAAUUACGUGUUUUAAUAGAUUUUAAAGCAUCAAAGGCAAAUAAUCACAAUGUUAAUGUAUCAAGGUCGUAGGUUGUUUGGUCUUCAAUUUAUCCACCUUGGGUCUUGGUCAAAAUUUCUUCACACUAUGUCACAAUUUCUUCAAGCAUUUGUUCAUAUAAAAACAAUUCUUUUAUAAAUAAAAAAGUACAUUGCUAUAAUCAUGUUGAUUUUUUGUCUAUACAAUGCUUUAAUAAAAAAAAGAAUUUAAUAGUAAAAAUUUUAACAAAAAAAAAAAAUGAAAACACAUUGAUAUUUCUUCUAACGGGCCUUCUUAUCUAAAAGUUUGCAUCUAAUCAUUUAUAUCACUUGAAGAGACAACUUUAAUCUACACUAGGUAGUACAUGUGUGUAACCCCCUCUUACUUUGUCGUUGUCCCCUCAUAAAAUUUCCAAAAAACAUGUCAUUUUUGUAAACAUCGACAAACAAUUGCAAGAGAAUGAGGACAUUUUACUACAGUUAAAAUUUAGGCUAUUUGUACUCAUUGUAUGUGAAAAACUAUUGGUGCAUGCUAACCGGUAAUGUCAGGUCUGAUUGAUGUUUUCUCUAUAUUUCAAUCAAUGUGAAGUCUUCAUCCUUUUGUAAAAAAUCUUCACUAAUGACAUGGAAAACUUGUAAAAGAAAUGUACUAAAGACAGUCUCACCAUAUCAUACUAAACAUUUGCUUUUAAUUCCCAAGGUUAAAGACCUGCUCACUCUAAACGACUUCCGACCCAUUAGCCUCAUCGGCUGUUUGUACAAAAUCAUUGCCAAAGCCCUUGUGUCCAGAAUUAAAAAGAUAAUUGGCUUAUUAGUGGAGGAGGUCUAGAGUGGAUUCAUUGUGGGACGCAACAUUUUAGACGAACCUCUUAUUGUCAACGAAAUAGUUUCUUGGGUUAAAAAGUGUAAAGAGCAGGCGUUCCUUUUCAAAAUUGACUUCGACAAGGCUUUCGAUUCUCAUAAUUGGAACUCCCUUUAUUCUUUGAUGUUAAAAAUAGGGUUUGGUAACAGGUGGCGGUUGUGUAUCAGGGGAUGUCACGCAUCCGCUAGAGAUUUUGUGUUGAUCAAUAGAUCCCCCUUUCAAGAGUUCUUUAUCACCAAAGGAGUCCGACAUGGCGAUCCCUUAUCACCAUUUCUUUUUAUCAUUGUGAUGGAAGACUUGAACGUUCUUAUGAACUCCACGGUGCAACACUCUAUUUUUCAAGGGCUCCAGAUUCCUUACAAUGGCCUAAGUAUAUCACAUAUCUUUUACACCGACAAAGCAAUUUUUUUGUGUGAACGAACUAGAUCCAACAUUGUCAACAUGUCUCGAAUUCUCAAAUGUUUCUAGGCCAUUUCGGGGCUAAACGUCAACUUUCAAAAAUCUAAAGUUUAUAGCAUUAGUGUCUGUUAUAUCGAGAUCAACAAUUGUGCACGUAUAUUAGGGUGCACAGUCGCUUCUUUUCUUUUUGUUUAUUUGGGUGUGAUGGUGGGUGCUAAUAUGACACGUAAGAAGAGUUAGAAAAUUGUUAUCGAAAAGGUUCAAGGUAGAUUGUCCAAUUGAAAAUCUAAAACUCUGUGUUUCGGUGGAAGACUUACUUUAGUGAAUUCGGUCCUUGGGAGUAUCCCAUUGUUUUACUUCUGGAUUUUUAAAGCUCCAUCUUGCGUUAUUGACUCUCUAGAGAGAAUUAGGCGUAAUUUCAUGUGGGGAGGUUGUGAGAAGAAGAACAAGAUUUGUUGGGUUACUUGGAAAACCGUCCUUGCCCCCGAAGAUAAUGGCAUAUUAGGGGAGGGAUCACUUUAGAGUAUUAACAUUUCUCUCUUGAAUAAAUGGUUUUGACAACUUAAAACGGAUAAUAAGUCUAUUUGGAGCAAAAUCAUUCGGGGCAUUCAUAAUCUCAAUCGAAAACCAACUUUCACUCUUGCUAAAAAUUCAAUUCCUGGUGUUUGGCAAAAUAUUUAUAGUAUUACCAAAAACCUUGAUAACCUUGGUAUUGAUAUAAAGUCUAUUUUCUCUUGUAAGGUGGGUUGUGGCUCUAAAUUUCUAUUUUAGCAAGAUCCUUGGUUGAAUGAAGUUCCACUUGCUUCUAGAUUUCCUAGCAUUUACGCCAUAGAUAAAAGAAAAUCUUGUGUUAUUUCGGAUAGGUUGACCUAAUCUGGACCGAAUUGGGAUUGGUAUAAAACUCUACGCAAUUAUAUUGAGUUAUCAAAAUUACAUCAACUUGGUGGGCUUCUUUCUAAUUUCUCUCUUCCUGUUGGUUUGGACGCUUGGUAGGCUAACUCGGCUUUUGAUGGAAGAUUUCAUGUUUACGAUUUCAGAAGCAUUAUUGAUGUUAAGCUUACUGAGGGUGCUGAUAACCCUACAGCUUGGAUACAUUGGGUGCCCCUUAAAGUUAAUACUUUCGUUUGGUGCACUACUAUGGACCAGAUUCCUUCUUCAACGACUCUUUGUCGAAGGGAAGUUUGCAUUCCUUUCAUCAAUUGCCAACUGUCCAGUUCCUCUAAUUCAGAGGUCAUUGAUCACAUCUUGGUCAGAUGCAGCUAUGNGGAGGGGCUCCAAAAGUGGAUCAUAAGAUGGUGUGGUAUCUCUUCAUUUCAUCCGGACUCGGUGACUGCUUUCAUUAGGUUUGCAGAUUUUUGGGGUAAUUUUCCCAAAAACGAAAGAUUAUAUUGGCGAUUGUCUACGGAUACAUUUGGAUCAUUUGGAAAGCUAGGAACGAUACAGUUUCCAACAACAUUUACACUUCUCCUGUUAAGAGGACGGAUAGUGCUAUUUCAUUUGUGUUUAAUUUGCUCAAAUAUAGAGGUAAUUUUGUAGGUUGUAAUUGGUCAAAGUGGUGUUGUCCUUUUAAUAUCCUAUAAUGUGUUUCUUCUUGUUUCCCCUUACCUUCUUUCUCAUUGGCAUGGACUUGUUUUGCUUUCCUGAAUAAAAUGGCGGUUUAAAAAAUAUUUGCUUUUAAAAUUUAAAUAUGUGAAUAAUACUCGUCCAUCUAAAAGUUUGUAAUAUUCAAUUUGACACUUAGUUUAGAUUUUUUUUUUUGAACAACAAAACAUUUCACUAGAAAAAAAAAAAAAAAAAACAAAAGCUUAAGCAAGGCGCUCAAGACAAAAUACAUGAAAAACAAGAUAAAGGUGAAUUACACCACAUAUGCCAGUUAAGAGCAUUAAAUUUAGAUAUAUUCUUAAUCCAAUUAAACGUAAACAUGCUAAUAUCAUCAGCAAUCGUCAUUGAAUGUCAUCUCUUGUUCCUGGAAACCGUCCUUGCUUAAUACUCAUGCUUAAACUAUACUAUAAUAAAGUUAUAUUAUUGUAAACAAAAAUCAACGUCAAAAGUGUCUUGUAAUAAUUACUAAAUUGACAAGCAUAUAAAUAUGAACCAAUUGUUACGUUAAAAAAUUGUAUUUAGUUUACAUGUACGAAACAAAAAUCAUCAUAAAACUCUACUCAAGAAUUCAAUGGUAUAUACAUGAAUGAAAUCUCAUGAAUCUACUCCUACUAAUAUGUUUAAAACCCUAAUUGAAAAAAUAUUGUUGAUUUGGGUUAUAAAUGAUUGGCAAUUCAUCAACAUCAUGAUUAGGAGGCAUUGCUUCCAACCAAUGAUUCAAAUCUUCCAAACUCAAGCUGUCAAGCCACUCAUUCCCAUCAUCACCUCUUUGCAUCAAAUUUUCCAUUUCUUCUAUGCUGCUUUCCUCACUUGUACCUUUGACUUUGG
RNAcentral lists this long non-coding RNA (140430 nucleotides) under Lactuca sativa (garden lettuce). The record is from RNAcentral. Lineage: Eukaryota; Viridiplantae; Streptophyta; Magnoliopsida; Asterales; Asteraceae.